This 139234-nucleotide long non-coding RNA is filed under the name Citrus maxima (pomelo). Its description in RNAcentral is "long non-coding RNA (CMAX_LNC001758)". The record is from RNAcentral. Lineage: Eukaryota; Viridiplantae; Streptophyta; Magnoliopsida; Sapindales; Rutaceae.
CUACCAUUUCUUAAAUUUAAAGCAUUCCACCAUUUAAUUAAAAAAAUUCGAAAACCCAUUAUAUACAAUACAAAAAGCCCACCGACACCAAACCAUAUUAAUUUAAAAUAAUUUUCAAUUGAGAUUUGAAUUUUAAAAUUACAUACACAAACACACCCGAUUUAAAAUAAUAAUAAUAAUAAUAAUGCUAACAAUAAAAAAUUUCAGCCGUCCUAUGUGUUAUCGCCAAAAACGGAUUUCCAAUCUAUUACAACAUGAGGUAUAUGGGUUAACAAGUCCCAAUAUUGUCCUCCAUCCUUUCUGCACUUCUCUUCUAUCAACGGACAUUCCCAGAUAUUUAAUUGCAAAAGUGAGGAAGGCAGGCCCUUCUCCGGAAAGUAUUUGAGCUUGGGACAAUCAUAGAGAUACAAAUGAGUGAGGUUUUGAAGAUCAACAAUUGAAGAAGAUAGGCGUUCCAGAUUUGGAAAAUCUUGAAUCCACAGAGACGUUAGAGAGGCAGGAAGAGGAAGCGCGGUCCCUAAUCUUUUGUCCUCUAGUGGAAAUGACACCAUCACCGUGUCGUCAUCACAUCCUUGGAUUAUGAGUUCUCGCAAAGAGGAGAAUCUGUGAAAUCCCCGGCCCCGCUCAAUCAUUGACUUCCAAAUCUCCAUAUUACCCCAAAUACAAAGUGACUGAAGGUUGGUGGGAAGGCCAUCUUCUUCAAGGCUUGGAAGCUCACCUCCUCUUCUUAUUGUUAAUUUUUGAAGAGAGGUCAGAUUGUGCAAUCCCUUGGGUAAGGCCUCUAGUCUCUCACAAUCAGAUAUCGUCAGCCUCCUGAGUUUCGCACAAGGCAAUCCCCCUUCGGGAAAGGACACCAGGUUUCCACAACUCCGUAUAGUAAUCCCUCGAAGCUGCCGGAGAUUAUGUAAACCACUCGGUAAAUUUUUUAGAUUUUCACAAUCAUCUACACUAAUUGUUUCAAGAGAUGUGUUGUUGUCCAACCUUUCUGCUAUUGACUCCAGCUUUGAACAUCCAUAAACACGAAGGGACUUAAGAGACGGAGGUAGAUUGCCAACUUCAAGGGACUCAAGCGUGGCAGGUAACUCGUUUUUUGAAAAUAUACAUGUCAGUGAUGGACAAUCCCUAAUUUCUAACUUCUCAAGAAGAGAUGAGGUGUACCUUCUAUUGCUGCUGCUUCUGCUACUCUGGAUGCCCUCUUCCACUGUCAAAGUCCUUAUAUUAUCGCAACACCAGAUCAUCAACUUCUUAAGGCUUGAUGGUAGCUGGACAGCAGCAAUAUAUGUCAACGAAUGGCAAUACUCAAUAUACAAGAUCUCCAGAGACGAAUUGGUGUCGCACAUCCAUGCCUCUGGUAACGAUUUCAGUGCAUCACAUUCCCCAAUCAGAAUUUUCUUCAACUUGGAAGGCAGAGCAACCUCAGGAAAGGAAACAAGGGAACUGCAUUUGUAGAUGUCUAUCUCUCUCAAGGAACUGAGGCUGAACGAUGAUUGUGGCAACUUCACAAGGCCUUCGCAUUCUCUCAAUCUUAGACAUUCAAGUCUGCAUGACAACUCGCGGAGCUGCUGUUGUUGGUCUUUCUCUUCCUCCGCGACCAAGGAUUGAAGUUUGGGACAACUUGUAAUCAGCAGUCUUUUGAGAGAGCAAAUGUCUUGCAGUAAUUCGUUAUGACUCUUCCAUAUAUGUGUUUCAUUUUUAAUAUUUUUUAUCUCCAAUUCUUCCAGUUUUGGUAUUCGCGGCUUCAAUGGCCCUGCGAGAAACACUUGAUUUGAUGUAUCUCUACAAACCACUGAAUUCUGUGAGCCGAGAUGAUCAGUUGCACUUCUCCACACAACCUUUUUACAUCCACGAAUUACCAAUUUGCAAAGAGCUGGAAGACUCCUAAUUGAAAUUGACAAUUCUUCGCAUUGUUCAAUAACAAGCAUCUCCAAUGCAGGAAGGUGCUCUGGAAAUGUUCCUUGCAGUUUAGAACAUCUUAAAAUGUGAAGCUCUCUCAAUUUAGGAAACCGUUCAACUCCCUGACUGGAUCCAUGAGGAAUCCACUCUUCCCACUCUUGCAGGUUUUCAAAACGAAGAGUCUCCAAGCAUGUAAAUGGAAUUUGAGAGUCAUUCCCAUAGAACUCUGAACCCAAACUCUUUACUCUACUCAUUCCACGCACUGCAAGAUGCUUUAGAAAGGAUAGUUGCCCGACUGACGGCAAGGUAGUACACACGCCGCAAUCUUCAAAUUUAAGUGUCACUAAAUUUGAGAAUGAGGAAUCUCCUAACCAUGUUGGAAAUUUUGUACCUCCAUAGCCACUGAUACAAAAUUGUUCCAGAUUUUCAUGAGGUUUUAGCAUGUCGAGGACAUCCUUUUCAGUUUCUGCCUCCCUUGAAGACAAACCAUUGGUACUCCGUGUCCAUCGAAACUUUAACACUUUAAGAUUCUUCUUUCCAUCCAACCGAGCCUCCUUUGCAUCACCAAUGUCUUUUACAUUCCCUAAAUUUGAAAUUUUAAGUGUCCCCUGAAGAUGUAUCAAUGACUUUAGCUCUCGUAACCCAGAACCAUUGUCUUUUCCCACAGCAAAAUUACUCAACGUCUGAAGACAAGUCAGCUUACCAAUUCCUACUGGCAUUUCCUCCAACGAAUCUGUAUUUGAAUUAUUGAGAUGAUGCAAUUUGAUGAGGUUUCCCGUGGCUGCACACAACUUCUUCAGUCGCCGACAGUCUUCCAACAGAAGGGUGUGCAAAUUGUAAAGCUUGCUGACUGAUUCAGGCAGAGUUUUAAUCUCAGUUCCAGACAGGUUAAGGUGCCUUAAAUACCUCAAAUCACCAACUGAAUCCGGCAGCUCGGAGAUGUGAUAUCCACGCAAAGAGAAGACCCUCAACCGUUGGAGUUUGAACAACUUAGGAAGAAUGCUAUGAGCCAAGUAUCCACGCGAACUAUUUGUCAACAUUACUGGUAAAAAAGUUCGCAAAUGUUGGAUAUCGUACAAGCCCUCAAACCUUUUAACGCCAUCACAUGCUCCACCAAUGUACGAUAGAUGACGAAGAUUUUUGGAAAAACUUUGUUGCUUGUUAACCUCUGAGGUAUACUCCAUUGUGAAGUACAUCUCCCCUGCAGCCCAAUGAGCAAGGUCGUUGACAAGGUCGUGCAUCACAAAUCGUGAUUUAUUGUUGCUUGAUUGCUGAAAAAAAGAUCUUGAACGUAGCUCUUGAAAGAACUUUCGACCUAGAUCUUCAUUAGGAUUCCCGCUCUCUUUGUGAUCCAAGAAACCCGAAGCACACCAUAAUAAAAUUAUCUCCUCCUCUUCAAAUUCAUAAUCCUUUGGAAACAAUGAGCAGUAUGCAAAGCAUUGUUUCAAAGGUGCCGAAAGAUAAUAGUAGCUCACUCUAAGCGCCGGUAUAAUGUCACAUCUCUCUUCUGGUAAAUCCCAUAUCUUGCAACUGAGCACACCUUCCCAAUCACUCCGGUCAAGUUUACCACGCAAGAGACCACCAAGAGUUUUCGCAGCUAAGGGCAAGCCGUUGCAUUUGAUCACUAUCUUCUUGCCAAUUUCCUCCAAUGACUUGUUUGAACUGAAAUCUCUUGUCCCCAAAGAGUGUUGAGCGAACACAGACAGACAAUCAUCAUUUGACAGCUUUUUCAAAUGAUAAGCCCGAGCAGUCCCCAUGAUGGCUGCAACCUCUUGAUUACGAGCUGUGACAAUAAUCUUACUCCCCGGUGCGCCAGCUUCAAACGGACGGCUCAUGUCAACCCAGUCAUUGUAAUUCUCAUUCCAAACAUCGUCUAAAACAAGCAAAAAUUUCUUUUGAGAUAACUUCUUCUUCAGCUCCUCUUGAAGCAAAUUUAAAUCACUGUCAUCAGUAGUCUGCUUAGUAAUGGAUCUUAGAAUUGUUUUUGUUAGCCUGAUAACAUCAAAAUCAUCAGAGACACAAGUCCAUGCCUUGAGAUCAAAAUGACCCUGCACUCGAGCAUCAUUAUAGACAAGCUGAGCGAGAGUGGUUUUGCCCAGCCCGCCCAUGCCUAUAAUAGGAAUAACAGAGAAUUCACCAUCAUUUCUCAAAUCAUCCCUCAACAACAAUUCAACAAUUUCAUUCUUUUCUGUUUCCCUCCCAUAUACCUUGGCUUCAGUCACUAAAGAGGUUGUGGGUAGUCUUUGCCUGUCUUUUCUGGACCUCCCAGCUGAACUUACGUUCAAACCGAGCGAGUCUUUCUGUGUUACAAUAUCUUGAAAUCUGUCGUUGAUCUCUUUGAUUUUGGACAUUAUGGCGUAAUCGAACUGAAUCGAUUGUGGAGUAAAAGUGGUGCAGCAAGUAGGAAUGAGCUUCUGAAACUUACUUGUUCUUGUACGACUGCUACUGGGUUGAUCCUGAGCCGCAGCUGGAUCUCCAUUUCCAAGCAGCAACUUCCUCCGGAAAGCCUCAGUUUGAAACUCAUCCAGCAAGUCUUCAACAUCAAAAGCCAAGUUCUGAAGCUCAUCAAGCCACAACUUCACAGACUGAUCAGUCUUCUUCUCCUCAGCAUCAGCAAGCACCGCCUUGAUCAUCACCAACAUAUUCUUCCACUUCUUUAGGUCGGCUUGGAUUUGCUCUUGGCGUGCAAACAGCCGAAUCCCCUCUGAAGCUAACUUACUGACCAGCAAAUCAACGGACGCCGUAAGGAUUGCCUCUCCGAUGAAUGACAUUUUUUGUUCUUUUUCUUUUUUUUUGGUUUUGCAAAGAAAGAAAGGAGCAGAAUUAUGGGUUAUGGAAAGCAGAAUGAGAAAAUGGAACAGGUGAGAAAAUGGAUAAUUAAGCAGAAUGAGUUUGUGAUUGUGAAGGGUCUGGCCCAGCAAGCUUAGUAGAAAUCACGCGUUUAUACUUUAUUGACCAAUGACUAAUAAUUUGGCAAUUCACUCAUUAAUAUUUAGCAAUUCACCAAUCAUCACCACUUGUUACGAAACCAUCUCAUAAACCAAGUUCGUAGGUCGAGCAGUUAAUCCAGUGUCUAUUUCCUAGAACCUUCAUCUCAUAAACAAGUUCAAUCAAAACGUUCCUCUCUCUAUUUUUUUUUUUUUUCAAAACUCCUAAAACGUUUCUUUUUAGAAAUAUUUUACUUUAUUCAUCUAAUAUGUUAUCUAACAAAUAGACACAAUUGAAAUCACUCUAAAGUGAAGAUGAAAGGGGAAAAAAAUAACCUUCCAACCACCAGUAAUUUAGCAAGCUUCACUUUAUUCCACCACCAAAGUGUAAAUAAAGCCAGCCCCCACCACCAUCAAUAAUUUUGUUGUCUUCUCCUUGACGAACUGGACAUGAGUGCACCAAGAAUUAAUGACAGAAUUUUAAAAAUAAUAAUAAGAGAAAAACCUACACAUUUUGGACUUAGAGUAGAACCAUAAUUAAUGCUAAAAUCUACUCAGCUAACAUUUUCAAAAUAUUGUUCUUUAUGAUUUUCAAAACCGUGAUUAAGGUUCAUCUCAAAUGUUUGAAGAGAGUCUAUCAGUUCUUCUACGUUAAGAAUAUUAAAAUUCUUACUUUUUCUUCAAACAUUGAAUAAUGAAAAAAAAAAUUGAAUAUGGAGGAAAAUAGAAUGCAUCCAUCUUCGCUGUAGAAGUCUUCUACUUAUAAAAGCAAGUUAGAAUAAACGAUUUUAAUCUCUCUUUUUAUUCCUGUAAGUGUACUAUAUUUUUUUUUUAUCUCAAUGCGAAAUCGUAUCAUAAUGUUAUAUUUCUGUUGUAAAACGAAAUUUUAAAUAAAACAAAUUCGACUUAUUUUUUAAAGGUAUAUAUUUAGUAGGUUACUAACAUAACUAACAAAACGUGAUUAUUACACUAUUUGUUUUUGUUUUAACUUUAUUAAUCAAUAAGCAAACAUGUAAUGAUUUGUAUAUAUCACUAGCAUCACAUUAUUAGGAGGUAUUGCGCUUAGUAUUCACAAUUUUUGUAAGAUGAAUUUGUAAGACUAAUUAAUUUUGAUGAAAAUGUAUUUGUAUUAAGAUAUUAUUUAAUUCAUUAAGUUAACUUGAGGUAUUAAUAUUCACUAAUUGUGGUGCUGAUUAAUUUACUUAACUUGUCACUAUUUACAAUUAAGAAUGAGGUUCAAUCAAUUUAUUGGGAAAAAAAACAAAGAUUUGAUUUUAAUUCUUAGGAUUUGAUUUCGCUCUCUUUCGCUUUUUUACGUUGCUAAAGAGGCAGUAAAAAGCUUGCUGAAUGUCAUCAAAUGCUUGUAUCUCAUCUCACAAAUUGGUAAUAUUUGUUUGGUAUUUCAUCUCAACGGAUGCAGUAAGGAUUGCCUCUCCGAUGACUGACAUUUUUUUUUCUUUUUUCCGGCAAAGACUGGAACAGAAUUUUGAGUUUCGAAAAGCAAAAUGAGAAAAUUGAGCAAUUCACCAAUCGGUCAAGCAAAAUGCGCGUAACAAGUCUUCCGCUUGUUGUUUAUUCCACUCAAGUGAAAAUAAAAACAGAGCCCACCACCCAUUAAUAAUUGAGCAAUUCACCAAUCACCAGUCACCACCACCCGUUACCAUGAAUAUAAUAAAUUGCACCUUGAUAUUUGCAGGGUCCGGCAACAUUGACCCAGUGUCCGGGUAAAUGCUGAAUAAAGAGGAAAAUGAAGUGUAUCCACUACGAACCCUCGCUUUACAAGUCUUCAAACUCAUAAACCAAGUUAAAUCAAAACGUUUAUCUCUCUCUCGCUCUUUUUGCCAUAUAAUAACUUUAUUUAUUAAAUUAAUUUCCAUGCUAAAAGGAAGACUUAAAAGUGCACUACAAUUUUUUAUAAUCACAAUAGUAAUUUCUACUAUCAUGUUAUUUUAAUGUCGUGUUAAAAUAAAUUAUUACAAAAUUUUUUUUAUGAACACUCUUUUCAUUUAUAAUUUUUAAUUUUUUUCUUACUCUUUUAGUCUUAGAGCCAGUUUAGUAAUGCUGCAACUUUUAAAAUAAUUAAAUAAAGCUUAUAACAGUAGAGCUUAUAGCAGAAGAACUUAUACCAAUGAAGCUUUUGAACAAAAAGUCAUUGGGUAUUUGAUUAUCAAUAAAAAAAAAUAUUUUUAAAUUAUUAAACUAUAUGAUAUUUUUUAUAUUAAAUAUUUUUUAGAUAAGCUCUCUAACCUCUAUUCCCAAAAGCUUAAAUUUUGGGCUUUUGCUAGUAAAGGUAAAUUAACUUAUUUAAAUUAAAAAAACUUUAAUAAAAAAAUAACUAAACACUAUAAAAAUUUUUAAAAAGUGCUUAUACGAUUAAAUAAAUACUUAUAUCUCUUAAAUAAGGCAUACCAAACAGUCACUUAAUAUUUAUAUUUCUCUUCAAAAUUUUUUUAUUAUUUAAUUUUUAAAUAAAAAUAUAAAAAAAAGUAAGAAAAAUAUUAUACUUACAAAAUAAUAAAUAUUUUAUGAAUUAAUACAAACUGUAUUAUUUUUUACGAUGAAAGAACACGCGAAAAAUCUUACUCAUUAAAAAUUUUGUGAAAGGCAUUUGAAUGUGUGGCCACAUUUUCCGAACGAAACGAUAAGGCUUUAGUCUUAUAAUUGCAAUUAGUUUGUCUUGUAACUAAAUUAUUGCCGACAAACACCAUCAUGCCGACAAACCGUGCAUGCACGUCCUCAAAGACUUUGACAUUGGGGACAAAGUGGUUGUAAGGGGUGGGGAUUAGUCAUAAGGUGCUUUGAAAUAAAUAGGUACUUGACAUUUGGCUCACUGAUUAUGUGUGCAAUAUUCCCGUAUUUCCCAUUACUUCCCGUACUUUAUGCUUUAUUGUUUUGUAUGUCUUUUGGUGUUUACGGUGCAGUUAGGGAUGGCAGCGGGUAGGGUCUGGUACGGAUUUGACAUCACCAGACCCGCAUCUAAAAACAAAUUUAAUUACUAAAUUCGCUAUGGGUUAUAUUUAAUUUUAUUUUUUUAACAAAGCCCAUUCACCGUGGGUUUGAUUGGUGCCCGGUAGAUAUUUUGUGAGUUCCCACGUAUAAAAUCACACUUGCAACAAAAUAUAAAAAUUUAAAUUACGUAAUUUAAAUUAUAAAUUUAUAAUUGUUGCUAAAAAACCACAUAAAAUAUUUAGUUCUACAUUUUAUUAACGUAAAUGAGAAAUGAAAAUAUCAACAUUAAAACAAAUAUACAAAAUAUAUCAAUUUAACACGAAUUUUUAAAUUUAAUUACCAAAUAAAUAAGCCUAUCACAACUCGAUGUGCUUUCAAUUGAAAAAGAAAAAAGAGAAAGAGAAAAAAAUAAAGAACUACAAAUCAAAGUAGCACCCAUGACCUAUUUCAUAGGCUCAUUUGACACUAAGAUCUUAGAAUUAAGAUCUUCAAUUCACUCAUUACCACUAGCACCCAUUCAAUGUAGUUUUUCUAAACAAAAUAUAAAGUACAAAAUUACAAUAAGCAUAUGAUACUCCAUACUUUAUGUUAAAGAUCCUUAUAUAAUUUUAUGACUAUUUUUUAGCGAAAUUUUAUGAUUAAAGUUAAAAAUACAAAUAUUAAAAUAAGAAUUUUGGACACUUGCGCAACUAUUUGCCAAAUUUUUUUUCUAUGAAAAUCCACCUGCAACUUGCAGCAAGUUUAAGUUUAUAAUAUCAAACUUGAUUGUAGCUCGCAAAAUUUUUGGAUUUGAGAUAAUUUUACCACCCUAAGUGUAGUUAGUAUUAUAUGUCGUGUGCUUCCAAUUGGCUCUUAUAAAAAGCCUAGGAGUUGUUUGAAUAAUGAUGGAGACAAAUAUUUCCCAAAAAUAUUCUCUUUUAACAUUGUGGCUUUUGGCUUGUCCAGAGAAAUUUAGGAUAGAUUUUGAUGUAUUAAGGCUCGUUUUACUAUUGAGAUUUUGGAACUUUUGAGCCACACUUGAAAUUUGUAUUAUUCUAAUAUGUGAUUGGUAUUAAUCAGGUGUUAUGUUUACAGCAGUUAAAGGCAUAUUGAAUCAAAGUCCACUUUUGAUUGAGAUUUUAAAGUAGGUUUUUAAUUUGAUAGCCACUCAAGUUCAAAUAUUGGAACCACAGUGCUUUAUAACCAAGUGGGAGAACUUCUAUCCUGAAAGUUGAGAGCUGCAGAUCGAGUUUUACUACCAACAAAAGUUGGUGUUAAGACUUUAGUUGCCCUCCUACUUAUGGAUAAGGGUAAUUAGGACUUUACAUCCCCUCCUACUAAUAGAUAGGGGUUACUAGGAAUAUUAAAAAAAGGUUCAAAUAUUGAAAAAAAUAGGUAUGGGUUAUAAAAUUCAUAAUACAAGAACAGUAAAUCAAGAUAAAAAUUUAAAAAUUUAGAACCAUGAAAGCGUAACUUGUAAGUUUCAAAGAAGCAUGUGCAAACAUAUGUGUAUCGAUACCCAUUAAGGGUGGGCAUUAAGAUCGGGUUAACUCGAACUGAACCUUAAAUUUAUUUUGGGUUCAAUUUGAUUUUGGUUGAACCUUUCAACUGAGUUAAAAACUUAUAAACGAUUGGGUUGUAUUUCUAUUCGAAUUUAACAACAAACUAAGCAACCUAAUCAACUUAAGUAAGCAAAUUUUAAAAAAAAAAUCCCAAAAAAUUAAAUCUAACCCUAAUUAAAAAAAAUUCAACCCCGGCCUCCUUCUCGUCUUCUUUUCUUCUUCUUCCUCUUGCUCACCCCUAAUGCCCCAUUAAUGGAAUUCCAACAGCUAGAAACGCGUUUCAGCCGCUUGCGCGUGUGUGAAAUUUUCCUUCCCAUAGGAUUGUUCGUUUCCUUGGCUUGCAUUAACAAAUUUGAAGAACAAUUAAAAAUUAAAAGAAAAUAAAAAGUGCUUUCUUUUUUAACGAUGAUAAUUUGUUCGGAUGAUGAAAAUUCUUAGAGUGGUAUAAUAAGUAUUUUCGAGUGUUGCCAUCGCGAAUAAUAUUUAAUUUCAUUUAUAUAGUUAUAUCUCAAGUAACAUUUAAACAGAAGCAAGUUGGAAAUUAAAAAAAAAAAAGAACCAUUGAGAGUAUGAAAAACUAACCAAAAAAAAAAAGUUAAAAAUUUGUAUCUCAAUAAAUUUACUUGAGAGCUACUCUACUAAUCCGUGAAGAGAAAACACAAAGAAUAAUGAUGUAUCUCAAUUAAUAGGACAAUUUUUGUAUUUUUCGUUUAUUCAAGAAUCAUGAAACUUCAUUUAAACUUGUUAUUUCAUUAAUAAUAUAUUAAUAUUGAACAAUUUAGGAGACAUUCCUUUCCAAUUAUGCCCAUGUAUUAAUUAAAAACCACAAAAAUGUUCAGGGAUACUAUAGUAAUUUAAGUCAACAAUUUCUGUGCUUCAAAUCAUCCUAUUAGACUCACUUCAGAAUAAACUGAGAUAUCAAAAUCACAUUCUCCAAUUCUACAAUUUCAAUUCAUCUUCAUAACUUCAACUGAAGAAUUGAUUGUAUCUCGUUUUAAUUUUUUUUUAUGUAAAGAUAAAUAUAAAAUAUAAAUGGCGAGGAGACUGGAAAAGUAAAAUCAAAAGAAGAGCACGAGUUUUAUUGAAAAUUACUCUUUUUCAUCAUUUUGCCGGAGUGAAUGUAUCUACAUUUAAACGAAAGAAGCACAUUUGUUUGUAUUAGCUUUUUUAUUGUAUUUUUAAUAAUAAGUCAUUUUUCAAUUAACUUAUAUCAUUUUUUACGAAAAUAAUAGGUGUUAGUUAGUUGAUUCAAAUGGCAAGACCUCUUGGGAUAGAGUUUGUAAUUUAGUGGCUUAUCAAUUGUUUAAAUAGGCAUUAUUAGAGCCAAAUUAUUGUAUUUGGUUAAAAAAGCUCCUACUUAGCUUACAACUUUAUUAUCCAAUUAUGUUUAUUAAUAAAUAACAAUUUUAUUGAAAAAAAAACAAGAUAUGUUGAAAUGAUACAAAAAAUUUGGGAUGUAAAUCUUACUCGAAUUUAGCUUGAGGUUGGCAUUGUUAGCAUAAUAUUUGAAGAUAGAUUUUUUAAAUUAAAAAAAAAAUUGGGUUCACACUAGUUAGUUUUAACUCAUAGUGAGAUUUAAACAAAAACGGAAUAAUAAAUCUUGAUAUCCUAACUCAUGAAUAACAUCUACAUAAAAUAGGAAAAUCUAUUGUGUCGAAAAUAAGGGGUUUGGAGUUUGAAUUUCGCUCACAUAGGUAGCAAGAGAAUCAAAUUAUUGUUAGAUUAAAUUAAUUAAAAAAUUAUCUGAUAUCCAAAACACAGCAUAUCAAAAAAAAUUGAAAUAAAGGAAAAUUGAAAAGCAAAACGAUUGAGAGAACGAAGAACUAACACAAGAAAAUGCCGAUAAUUAAUUGCCUCAGCGGCCACCAACUUAAUUAUGCUUAUUAAAGCCUGGGUUAUUUCAUUUUCAUUGAUAAUCAUUUUGACACCGGUCAAAUUUAAAAGUUUAAAUAAUGGGGGCCAUUUUUCUUUCCAGCUAUGCCCAUUAGCUAAUAAAAGAACCGCCGAAAGGGUUCGGGGAUAAUAUAGUAAUAUGAUUGAUAAUCAUUUUGGAGCUGAGUAUUCUUCGUUCCACAUUUUGGGUUUUGGUUGACCAUAUUUUAAUACUUUUCUGGAAAAUAAGUUUAUAUUUAUUGACUUGUAAUGGGUGCAACUCAUGUUUUUGAAACAUUAAGAUCUGGAAAAUGCUUCUCAGCGAGAAUGCUGAGAGAAUGCCGAGAGAAACGGCAUACAGUAAUGCCGUUUCUCUCGGCCCCACCCCCCACCACGUGAACUUUUGCCCCUUUUGUUUUUUCUUGCUACUUUUGCUUUUUCCACAUUCUCUCGGCGUUCUCUCGGCAUUCUUGACGUCUAGCACUCCUCGAAAGCAACAUCAUAUUUUAAUUACUUACACUAAUGCGGCAACUGCUGCUUACUUACACUAGUUAGUUUUUUUUUGCAACAUCAUAUUUUAAAAAUAUUAUUAUUAUUAUCGUCGUUAUUCUUAACAGCAAUGACUAGAAUUAUAAUAAGAACAAUAACGUUAAUACAAUAAUAUAACAACAUAAUAAUAUUUUAAUUGAGAGGAUAAGAAUGAAAUUAUGAAAUUUAGGUUGGAUAAAAAUGGUGAGUAUGAAGAAAUUAAAUUAUCAUUUUUUAAGCUAAACAAUUCAUAAAUUCCACAUAUUUCAUUCUUAUUUCUCUUAUAUUUUAACAAGUAAACAUUAUCAAUCGUUUUAAUAUUUUAAUUAAUAAACACGGCAUUAACUCGGGACUAAAAGAUCCCAAAAAAAAAAAAAAACACAGAGACGCGUGUAUGUAUUGCUUGUGACAAAUCUCACCCAUGGAAAACUUUGUGAAAGUCAUUUGAAUGUGUGGCCACAUUUAAUGAACGAAACGAUAACUAUAACAGAAAGUAUGUACUGUGUUCAUUAUUAGGCUUUAGCUUAAUGAUUGCAAUUAGUUUGUCUUUUAAUUAAAUUAUUGCCGACAAACACUAUCACGACCCACGUCCGCUACUUGUGUGAAUGUGUGUAUAAAUAUCCGCAGCAUAUUAUCAAACCUGAUGCGUGAUCAUCUUUAACUUUUGGUUAGGGUUCAUCAGACGUUGGAAGAUAUCUUUCCUAAUUUGAAGAAGAUGGAAACUCCUUAUCCAGGUUCUUAGGCCAUGUUCAGUUGAAUGUCAUUUAUAAUUUUUAUUUUAACAUUAUGUAUUUAUGAAUACAAUUAUUGUUAUGAUUUUUUCAGGUAAGAAUGGAUGGUCUGAGGGUAACCCAAUAACUAUGUACAGUAUUAUUAAUGAUGAGAGCGUGAAUGACAAUUUGGAUUUUAUUCUCGUCCCUCAAUACGGAAGAAAUCUUGACCAUAGAGGUUAAGUGCUAUGUAACUCUUUCGUAUUAUGUUUAAUUAAUAAUAAAAUGAUGGGUUAUUAUUACUUGUCAAUUAUGUGAGUGUCUUUGUUUGGUUUAGUUCAACUUAUAAAAUCUCUUGAGAUAUACAAGAGAUUUUCUUUAUUUAAUUUUGUGUACCGUGUCUUCUUGUAAAAAGAAAUUAAUAAAAAAAAUAUCAUCGUGUGCAAUGUAUUAACUAAGUUAGUGUAUUCAUGUUAGGUUAAUUGUGCUCUCUCUUCUUGAUAUUUAAAAAAAAAAAACUCCACAUAUUGUUGGUUAGCUAAUUCUUGCAGCUAGCAAGUGAUCCUUUUCUUUCCCCUACUGCCGUAGCAUCAAAUCCUUACAAUUACAUAUCAAGCGGUAUUCGAGCCGUCAAAUGAUCCAUAGAAACACGCAACAAAUCAAAUGCUGAAUUUUGCGAAGAGAUUCACGAAAUCCUUGCUAUACAUGAGUCUAGUUUUGACCAAGUUCACGUCACCCAUCAGCUACGGGUUUGAAUGGUACCUAGUGGAUAUUUUGUGAGUUCCCACUAAUAAAAUCACACUUGCAACAAAACUUAAAAAUUUAAAUUACGUAAUUCAAAUUAUAAAUUUAUAAUCGUAGCCUAAAAAAUACAUAAAAUACUUAAUUAUAGAUUUUAUCAAUGUAAAUGAGAAAUGAAAGUUUUAACAUUAAAAUAAAUACACAAAAUAUAUCAAUUUAACACAAAUUCUCAAAUUUAAUUACCAAAUACAUAAGUCUAUCGCAACUCAAAGUGCAUUCAAUUGAAAACGAAAAAAGAGAAAGAGAAAAAAAACAAAGAACUACAAAUCAAAGUAGCAGCCAUGACCCAUUUUGCAGUCUCAUUCAAUACCACUAUGUUACGGACCGCCCAAUUCGCUAGCCCAAUUGCCCACAAUUUCGGGCUAGAGAGCCAACACAAGGCCAAGAGUGCUAGCUUGGCCCAAUUCCGGAAGGUUCUAGGCAACUCUAGCACAUGUGAACAUGUAAAUAUUCUAGAAUACCUAAUACAAUUCCAGCACAUGUAAAUAGCUAGGAAAUUGUAUAAUAUUCUAGAGUUUGACCAAGUUUGUCAAAGUUAGGCAAAGUUAGGCAAAAGUUAGGUAAAGCCUCCCCUAUAAAUAUGGGAUGGCAUUUGGCAUUUGUAUCCAACAAGCAUUGUAAUCUCUCUUUGUGCAAUACAAGUUUCUUUGGCUCAAUUGCUCUCUCUUCUCUUGUUCGAGAAUCUCUAGGCUUACUUAGCAACAUUCGGCAAAGUUGUCUAAGUGCCGCACGGGUUAGCUGCGCAAAACACUCAUCCCGUGACAAGUGGUAUCAGAGCUAAGGUUUGCACGCACGCAAAUUAGCUCACGAAGCAAUGGCCAACCCUUCGAACGUAGCACAAGAGGGUGUUGUUGGUGUGGAUGUUCCACCGGAACCAAGCCGCGGCCGAGAGGGAGAACGCGCCCAAGGCAAGACUCGCGGCAAGUCCAAGGCCCUAUCCGUGGAUGCGUUGGAGCCUCGUGUAGGCACUCUCGAAAUAGCAUUGUCCGCCACUCAAGAUAGCCUCGUGGGAUUGGAGGAAAGAGUGGAUGGUCUCGAGGGAGAAUACGCCGAGUUCACGGUGGCCACAAAAGCUCUCAUCCAUGAGCAAGCAAACAUUCUCCGAGGUGAGUUUCGUUCUUUCCAUGAUGAGUUGCUCAAACUUCGUAGUUUUGUUCAGGACGAACUACGUGCUGUCCGUGCGGAAGUGGAUGAAGUCCGCUCGGAUUGGGCAUGGCACAAGCGCACACUCUCCACAAGUCCAGCUUCCGCAAACUCGAGUAAUGCGCGCCGCAUUGACGUGCCAAAGCCCGACACCUACGAUGGCACACGCAAUGCCACCAUCGUGGACAAUUUCCUCUUUGGGCUGGAUCAAUACUUCGAUGCCAUGGGCGUCCGAGAUGAGGCAUCGAAAGUGGGCACUGCACCCACCUAUCUUAGAGGCGCUGCACAACUAUGGUGGCGUCGCAAGUAUGGAGAGAUGGGCAAGGGCAUUUGCACCAUCGACACUUGGGCCGACUUCAAGCAAGAACUCCGAAAGCAGUUCGCCCCAAGCAAUGCGGAGAAAGAAGCGCGAGUGCGCUUACGUCGCCUCAAGCAAUCGGGUAGCAUUCGGGACUACAUCAACGAAUUCACUACCCUCAUGUUGGAGAUAAGCGACAUGUCCGACAAGGAUUCACUCUUCUACUUCCAAGAUGGCCUCAAGGAUUGGGCCAAGACCGAGCUUGAUAGGCGUGGUGUUCAAACACUUGACGACGCCAUUGCCGUUGCGGAGUCGCUCACUGAAUACUCUACCCAAUCCAAGGACAAAAAGGCCAACCAAGGCAAAGGUGGGGGAGAGAGUCGCAAGGACAAGGGCAACAACCGCAAAGAUUGGGGGCAGAAAAAGCCACCUAGCAACAAGAGUUGGCAAGGAAAAUCGGAGGGCAAGAAGGAGGCGCCAAAGCCGCGAAACCCAUGCUUCAUAUGCAAUGGUCCUCAUUGGGUACGCGACUGUCCGGAGAAGAGGUCGCUUAACGCUCUUGCUGCCCAACUCAAGAGCAACCCCACAAUGUCCACGGAGGAACCCCAACUCAGCAUGGGUUCUCUCCAACGCCUCGGCGCACUCAACCGCCAACAGCCCGCACUAGUCAAGAAAGGGCUCAUGUAUGUUAGUGCAAAGGUAAACGGCCAGUCCGUUCGCGCACUGCUAGACACGGGAGCAACACACAACUUCGUGUCCGUAGAUGAGGCCAAGCGUUUAGGCCUCAAGGCCACCAAGGAAGGAGGCACAAUGAAGGCAGUAAACUCACCCGCCAAGCCAAUUGCGGGAAUUGCACAAGGCGUGCACAUCACACUUGGUACGUGGAGCGGAAAGCUUGACUUCUCUAUUGUGCCCAUGGAUGACUUCAAGAUGGUCCUCGGCAUGGAAUUCUUCGACCAAGUCCAUGCCUUCCCACUGCCCGCUACCAACUCCCUAAGUAUCCUCGACGGGAGUAAGGCAUGCAUGGUUCCCACGGAACGAGGCAAGUCCGAAGAGAAGACACUCUCCGCCAUGCAAUUCAAGAAGGCUUUCAAGAAGGACCCAAGCUUCUUAGUCUCCAUUCGGGAACUAAAUGAGGAAGGAAAUAGCGGAACUUCGCCAAGCCAAGUCCCUCCGCAAAUUCAAGCCGUCCUCAAUAAGUACAAGGACGUGAUGCCUCCAGAACUUCCGAAGAAGCUCCCACCUCUGCGAGAGGUGGAUCAUGCGAUCGAACUGGAACAAGGCGCGAAGCCACCAGCCUUGGCACCCUACCGCAUGGCGCCACCAGAAUUAGAGGAGUUGCGGAGACAACUCAAAGACUUGCUGGACGCAGGCUAUAUUCGCCCCUCAAAGGCCCCAUUCGGUGCACCGGUCCUCUUCCAAAAGAAAAAGGAUGGAUCGCUGCGGAUGUGCAUCGACUAUAGAGCGCUCAACAAGAUCACCAUCAAGAACAAGUAUCCGAUUCCCUUGAUUGCGGACUUGUUCGACCAGCUUGGUAAAGCACGGUACUUCACCAAACUUGACUUGCGCUCCGGGUACUACCAAGUGCGCAUCGCCAAGGGAGAUGAACAAAAGACAGCGUGCACAACAAGGUACGGGUCUUUCGAAUUCCUUGUGAUGCCUUUUGGCCUUACUAAUGCACCCGCCACAUUUUGCACACUCAUGAACAAGGUGCUCCAACCAUUCCUCGACCGCUUCGUGGUCGUGUACUUGGACGACAUAGUGGUGUAUAGCACCACGCUCGAGGAGCAUGCCCAACACUUGCAACAAGUCCUCCAAGUACUUCGAGACAAUGAGCUCUUCCUCAAACUAGAGAAGUGCUCAUUUGCCCAACAAGAGGUGGAGUUCCUUGGCCACAAGAUUGCGGGCGGGAAGAUCAUGAUGGAGAAUGACAAAGUAAAGGCCAUCCUCGAUUGGGAGCCUCCCUCGAAAGUACCCGAACUUCGCUCAUUCCUUGGACUGGUGAAUUACUACCGCCGCUUCAUCAAGGGCUAUUCAGCUAAGGCGGCACCCUUGACGGAUAUGCUCAAGAAAAACAGAACAUGGCAUUGGUCCGAAGAGUGCCAACGUGCCUUCGAGAAGUUGAAGAAGGCAAUUUCGGAGGAACCAGUCCUCGCUCUUCCGGACCACACCAAGCCCUUUGAAGUUCAAACGGAUGCCUCGGAUUUCGCCAUAGGUGGAGUCCUUAUGCAAGAAGGCCAUCCAAUAGCGUUCGAGAGUCGAAAGCUAAAUGACACGGAACGCCGCUACACGGUGCAAGAGAAGGAGAUGACCGCAAUCAUACAUUGCUUGCGGGUGUGGCGACAUUACUUGCUUGGCUCACACUUCACGAUCAUGACGGACAACGUGGCGACAAGCUACUUUCAAACUCAAAAGAAGUUGAGUCCGAAGCAAGCCCGGUGGCAAGAUUUCCUAGCGGAAUUCGACUAUCGGCUGGAGUACAAACCGGGGAAAGCCAAUGUCGUUGCGGACGCUCUAAGCCGCAAGGCCGAAUUGGCGACACUUAGCAUGAGCCAACCGAAGUCUGACCUUGUCUUACGCAUCAAGGAAGGCCUCCAACAAGAUCCGCUAGCAAAGGAUUUGCUGGAGAAGGUGCUCGAGGGAAAGACAAGACGGUUUUGGCAAGAGGAAGGCAUCCUCCUCACCAAGGGAGAUCGGCUGUUCGUGCCAAGGUGGGGAAAUUUACGGAAGGAAGUAAUCAAGGAGUGCCACGACUCUAAGUGGGCUGGUCACCCAGGAAUUGAGCGCACCACCGCACUAGUCCAAGCCUCGUAUUUCUGGCCGCACAUGAGGGACGACAUCGAGGCAUAUGUGCGAACUUGUCUUGUGUGCCAACAAGACAAGGUGGAUCAUCAACUUCCAGCGGGAUUGUUAGAGCCGCUACCACUAGCAACAAGGCCAUGGGAGAGUGUCUCCAUGGACUUCAUCACAUCGCUGCCCAAGUCCGAAGGUUGUGGUAGCAUCAUGGUCGUUGUCGACCGAUACAGCAAGUAUGCUACAUUCAUUGCCGCACCCGUCGAUUGCAAAGCGGAUGAGGCAGCCCGCCUAUUCGUCAAGCACAUUGUGAAGCUUUGGGGAGUUCCGAAGAGCAUUGUGAGCGACCGAGACCCUCGGUUCACUGGGCGUUUUUGGACGGAGCUCUUCAAGAUGUUGGGGACCGAUCUCAAGUUCUCGACAAGCUUCCACCCACAAACGGAUGGGCAGACCGAGCGCAUCAAUGGCAUUCUCGAGAUGUACUUGAGGCAUUAUGUGAGCGCUCACCAGCGGGAUUGGGCAAAGCUACUUGACAUUGCCCAAUUUUCUUAUAACUUGCAGCGAAGCGAGGCUACGGGCAAGAGUCCAUUCGAGAUCAUCAUGGGAUUCCAGCCCAUGACCCCCAAUGCCAUAGCCUCGACUUACGGAGGGAAAAGCCCCGCGGCACACAAGCUCGCCCGCGAAUGGCAUGAGGAAGCGGACAUCACGCGAGCCUACCUCGACAAAGCCGCGAGGAAAAUGAAGAAAUGGGCGGAUACAAGGAGACGGCAUGUUGAGUACAAGGAAGGUGAUCAAGUCAUGAUCAAGCUCCUACCCCAACAAUUCAAGACUUUGCGGAAAGUUCACAAGGGGUUAGUGAGGCGCUACGAGGGACCCUUCCGAGUUGUUCGACGUGUAGGCAAGGUCUCGUAUCAACUCCAACUUCCGCCAAGACUCAAGAUCCAUCCGGUCUUCCAUGUGAGCCUUCUCAAGCCAUAUCACGAAGACAUGGGAGAACCAAGUCGCGGAGAAUCGAGGCGCGCGCCAACUGCCGUUGUCACCGCAUUCGACAAAGAUGUGGACUACAUCAUUGCGGACCGAACGGUUUCGAGGAGGGGCGUGCCAGCACAUAGCGAGUACUUGGUGAAGUGGAAAAACCUCCCCGAGAGCGAAGCCACUUGGGAACGGGAAGAUGAUUUGUGGCAAUUCGCUGAGCACAUCCAGCACUUCAUGCACGAAAGCGCGACGAGGACGCCGCGAGCUUAAGUGGGGGAGGAUGUUACGGACCGCCCAAUUCGCUAGCCCAAUUGCCCACAAUUUCGGGCUAGAGAGCCAACACAAGGCCAAGAGUGCUAGCUUGGCCCAAUUCCGGAAGGUUCUAGGCAACUCUAGCACAUGUGAACAUGUAAAUAUUCUAGAAUACCUAAUACAAUUCCAGCACAUGUAAAUAGCUAGGAAAUUGUAUAAUAUUCUAGAGUUUGACCAAGUUUGUCAAAGUUAGGCAAAGUUAGGCAAAAGUUAGGUAAAGCCUCCCCUAUAAAUAUGGGAUGGCAUUUGGCAUUUGUAUCCAACAAGCAUUGUAAUCUCUCUUUGUGCAAUACAAGUUUCUUUGGCUCAAUUGCUCUCUCUUCUCUUGUUCGAGAAUCUCUAGGCUUACUUAGCAACAUUCGGCAAAGUUGUCUAAGUGCCGCACGGGUUAGCUGCGCAAAACACUCAUCCCGUGACAACUAGCACCCAUCCAACACGAUUUUUCUAAACAAAGUAUAAAGUACAAAAUUACAAUAAGCAUAUCAUACUCCAUGCUUUAAGUUAAAGAUCCUUAUAUAUUUUUAUGAAUAAUUUUUUAAUGAAAUUUUAUGAUUAAAAUUAAAAAUACAAACAUUCAAAUAAGAAUGUCGGACACUUGCGCAACUAUUUACCAAAUUUUUUCUCUAUAAAAAUCGACCUGCAACUUUCAAUAGGUUUAAAUUUAUAAUAUCAAACCCGAUUGCAGCUCGCAAAAAUUAUCCGUUGCGGCCAAGACUUUGGAUUUGCGAUGAUUUUUCCACCCUAAGUGUAGUUAGUAUUGUUUAUCAUGUGGCUCUUAUAAAAAGCCUAGAAGUUGUUUGAAUAACGAGUGAGACACAUAUCUCCCAAAGAUUUUUUCUUUUUCAAAUUAUUAUGUUUUCUCUAUUAUUGUAACUUCGAAUCCUUAUAAAUUACAGAUUGGAGACAUGAACACAAUGUUUUGACAUAGUGGACUUUUGACUUGUCCAGAGAAAUUUAGGAUAGAUUUUUACGCACUAAGGCUCUAUUUACUAUUGAGGUUUUAGAACUUUUAAGCCACACUAGAAAUUUGUAUUGUUUUGAUAGAGUUGUAGUCUUUGAUAUGUGAUUGUUAUUAAUCAAGUGUUAUGUUUACAAUAGUUAAAGGCAUAUUGAAUCAAAAUCCACUUCUAAGGGCUUGAUUGAGUGAUUGUAAAGUAGGUUUUUAGUUUGCUAGCCACUCAAGUUCAAAUAUUGGAACCACAGAGCUUUAUAGCCAAGUGAGAGAACUUGUGCCCUAAAAAUUGAGGGGUGCAUAUCGAGUUUUACCACCAAUAAAAGUUGGUGUUAAAACUUUAAUUUCCCUUUUAUUGAUGGAUAUGGGUAAUUAGGAGUUUACAUCCCCUCCUAUUAAUAGACAGGGGUUAUUAGGAAUAUUAAAAAAAAGUUUAAAUAUUGAAAAUAUAGGUAUGGGUUAUAAAAUUCAUAAUAUAAAGACACAAAAUCAAGAUAAAGAUUUAAAAAUUUAGAACCAUGAGAGCGUGAUUUGUAAGUUUCAAAGAAGUAUGUGCAAAUAUAUGCAUUAUCGAUGCCCAAUUAAGGGUGGGCAUUAAGAUUGGGUUAACCCGAACAGAAUCGAACUUAAAAUUUAUUUGCUCACAAAUGGGUGGUUUGUGGGGGGGAUUCACUUGCUUUUGUUUGCAUUGCCUGAUUGGAUAAAAGUUUGUAGAACAUCGUCUGUUUGGUUAAAGCCGAGCAUGAGUGAAUAAAAAUUAAAAAUAAAUAAUUUUCCAUUAAUUUGCAACAAGUAUUAAUAAAGUGCAUGAGAAAAGACACCAGGAUAUGCUUUUUUUUUAAAAAAAUUAAAAUAAAUGUGUUAAUUAGUCAAUUUAAAUGGUAUGACAUUUUGAAAUGACAGAAGCGAUCUAAAGUUUAAAUCUCACUCACACUUAAUUUAGGGUUGGGGAUUAAUUGACGUAAUAUAUAAUAACGAAUUCAAAAGACAAUUAAAAAUUAAAAGAAAAUAAAAAAGUGCUUUCUUUUUUAUGAUGGUAAUUUGUUUAGAUGAUGAAAACUCUUAGAGUGGUAUUAUCAAUACAUAGUUUCUAGCGUUGCCAAUGUGAAUAAUAUUUAAUUUCCUUUAUAUAGUUAUAUCUCAACUAACAUUUAAACAGAAGUAAGUUGUAAAAAAAAUGAACCAUUGAGAUUUGAGAGAACAAAAAACUAAAAAAAAAAAAAGUUAAAAAAUUAGAUCUCAAUAAAUUUACUUGAGAACUACUUUACUGAUUAGUGAAGAGAAAACACAAAAAAUAAUGAUGUAUCUCAAUUAAUAAGACAAUUUUUGUAUUUUUCAUUUAUUCAAGAAUCACGAAACUUCAUUUAAACUUGUUAUUUCAUUGAUAAUAUAUUAAUAUUGAACAAUUAAUGUGGGAGACAUUCCUUUCCAAUUAUGCCCAUAUAUUAAUUAAAGAUCACCAAAAAGUUCAGGGAUACUAUAAUAAUUUAAGUCAACAAUUUCUGAGCUUGAAAUCAGCCGAUCAAACUCACUUUAGAAUAAACUGAGAAAUCAAAAUCACAUUCUCCGAUUCUACUAUUUCAAUUCAUCUUAUUUCUUCAACUGAAAAAUUGGUUGUAUUUUGUUUUAUUUUAUUUUUAUUUUUAUAUAAAGAUAAAUAUAAAAUAUAAAUGACGAGGAGACUGUAAAAGUAAAAUCAAAAGAAGAGCACAAGUUUUAUUGAAAAUGACUCUUUUCAUCAUUUUGCCGGAGUUAAUGUAUCUACAUAUAAACUAAAGAAGCACAUUUGUUUGUAUUAGCUUUUUUAUUGUAUUUUUAAUAAUAAGUCACUUGCCAAUGAACUUAUAUCGAUUUUUACGAAAAUAAUAGGUGUUAGUUAGAUUAUUCAAAUGGCAAAACCUCUUGGGACAGAGCUUGUAAUUUAGUGGCUCAUGAAUUGUCUAAAUUGACACUACCGAAUUAUUGUAUUUGGUUAAAAAAGCUCCUACUCUGCUUCAACUUUAUUAUCCUAUGAUGUUUAUUAAUAAAUAACAAUUUUAUUGAAAAAAAGACCUCUUGAAAUGAUACAAAAGAUUUGGGACAUGAAUCUCACUCGAAUUUAGCUUGAGGUUGGCAUUGUUAGCAUAAUAUUGAAGAUAGAUUUUUUUUUAAUUAAAAAUCAAAAGAUUUUUUUUUUUGGGUUCAUACUAGUUAGUUUUAACUUAUAGUGAGAUUUAAACAAAAAAGGAAUAGUAAAUCUUGAUAUCCUGACUCAUGGAUAAUGUAUAAAUAAGAUAGUAAAAUUUAUUGUGUCAAAAAUAAGAGGUCUGAAGUUUGAAUUUCGCUCACAUAGGUAGUAAGAGAAUCAAAUUAUUGAUAGAUUAAAUUAAUUUAAAAAAUUUCUGAUAUCCAAAACAGCAUACCAACAAAAUUGAAAUAAAAGAAAAUUGAAGAGAAAAACCAUUGAGAGAACGAAAAAUUAACACAAGAAAAUUUCUAUAACUAAUUGUAUCAGUGUGCGCCAACUUCACUUAUUAAAACAUGGUUAUUUCAUUUUCAUGGAUAAUCAUUUUGACACCGGUCAAAUUUAAAAGUUUCAAAAAAUAUGGGCGAUUUUUCUUUCCAGCUAUGCCCAUUAACUAAUAAAAGAACCGCCGAAAGGGUUCGGGGAUAGUAUAGUAAUUUAAACUAACAGUUUCUGUGCUUCAUAUCGUCAGAUCAAACUCACACCUCACAAACGCAGAGAAAUCAAACGGUUUCCGACUCUACGCUUUAAAUUCAGCUUCAUUUCUUCAACUGAAGAAUCGGUCGUCUCUCAUUUUUUAUUUAUUAUAUAAAGAUAAAUAUCUAAAUUUAAAUGGCGAGAAGAGCGGACGAGGAAUACGAUUACUUGUUCAAAGUGGUAUUAAUCGGCGAUUCGGGAGUCGGCAAUUCGAACUUACUCUCCCGAUUUACUCGUAACGAGUUCUGUUUGGAGUCCAAAUCCACUAUUGGCGUCGAAUUCGCCACCCGCACUCUUCAAGUAACUAACUUUUCCUCUUUCCCUUCACUUCUUUUUUAUUAAUUAAUUAAUUAAUUAAGAUCCAGUUAAUGUAAUUAAUUUUAUUUAAUCUUUUAAAUAAAGUUCUAGAUUAGGCUAACUUAGAUUCAUGUGAAGUUGAAGUGAUUUACUUUCGAUCUCUUUUUCGUCCUAUGUUUAUUUGUACUUACUAUUACUUUUUUUUGGGUUUAAAUUUUCGUUUUUGAAGUGUUUACUGAAUAAAUUUCUGAGCUUUAUUUGUGUAUGCUGAUUGAUUUGUGAUUUUAAUUUUGUGACUUUUUUUUUGGAAUUUAAAUUUGAAUGCUUUUUAAGUUGAAUCUGAUUGUGUUGGGCUGCGAUUUAAUUAAGUCAUCUGUGAGCGCCAAAUUGUGAUAGCUAUAUAUUGGGGUGAAAAUUUGGGAUUUAAAGUUAUGUAUUUAAGAUGCAGUUAAUUCGCAAGUGAAAAUUAUGGGCCGGCAGAUUUUGUCAUUGGAAGACUGUUCUCCACAUGUUGAAGUUAGUGAUGCAAGUUGAAACCAAUCUGUUUAAGCUUGGGGUUUCAUGUCUUGAAUCAAGGCUGUGACUUGGGGUGGGUUGAAAGUAUUAUAGCUUUAGCUAUUCCUGAAGUGAUCUGUUUAGACUCACCGUGAUGAGACCGAGUGCUGUACAGUAAAAUGAAAGGAAGUUGGAAAAUAUUUACUUAGCAUUUCGCGUUACUAAUGUUGAACUAAUAAAACCUAGCCCCUAUCCUAGUGAAUUUAUCUUAAAAUAAUAGCAAUAAUAAGUGGACAAAGCUAAGUUCCAGAGGUGAGAUAGGAAAUUCUCCCGCACAACACAGCACAAACAAACUUUCCCUUUCAUUUUCUUUUCUUUUCUUUUUCUUGCUCUCCAAACAGAGCAAAAGUAACGUCGCAAGAUUCUUCACUUCCAUCCAAAAUCAUGAGCAACGAAUAGCGAGCCUCCCUGUUUCCUUCCUUUUUUUGAUAUUAACAUUGUUAACAUCUACUCAUUUUCAUUUGACAAUACUUCAAUUUUUUUAAUUUUUGGCUUUUCAUUUUUUUUUGUUGCUAAACCGAUUAUCUGUUCAAGCUGUUGCUUAUCGGAGACUCGUCCAUCGGAAAGUCCUGCCUGCUGCUCCGAUUUGCUGUCUGUUGACUUUUCCUUUUCCUCUUUAUUUUCUUUUUUUUUUUAUAUAAAUUACUUUCUAUUUUAGCUUUUUGUUCUUUGAAUUUGUGUUAUUAAAAUGAUAAUUUAGAUGGUAAAUAAUUGUUAUUCUUGGAAAUUUCAGUUUUCAUUACGUUAAUUACUAGUUUUUAGGUUUAUUAAUGUAAUUUUUUUUUUAAUUUUUCAGGAUGAUUCUUAUGUCGACAGCUACAUCAGUACCAUUGGAGUAGAUUUUGUGAGUCUCUCUUCUAUAUAUAUGUAUAUAUGUGUAUAAGUUAUAGUAUGAGUCUAUGUACGUGUAUGUAUGUAUGUGUAUGCAUAUGUGGAAAGAAAUGUUGGCAGACUUCAGCAUUUUACUUUUUUUUUUUUAAUUUUGGCAGAAAAUAAGAACUGUGGAGCUGGAUGGGAAGACGAUCAAACUGCAGAUUGUGAGUCAAAAUUUCCUUUUAUCCUGUAUUGAGAGAAAUUCGACUUGUCUUAUUUAGUGAAGGUUAUGUUCAAGAACCUUGUGUUAUUUUCUUUGUUUGAAGAGUUAUAUGUCUUUUAAACAUCAUUUAGGUAAUGUCUGAUGUUUGAUUGUUUUUCAUCUGUUUAGUGGGACACUGCUGGACAGGAGCGAUUCAGGACUAUAACUAGCAGUUAUUACCGAGCCCAUGGAAUCAUAGUAAGGAGCCUUCCCUGUUCUUGGUUUAAAUCAGAAAGUUUGUGAUUUACAUGUGACAUCUUAACAACAUUGUAUGUGUUUAUUAACUUAUUUUUCAUCUUUCAUUAAGCAGUACAUUUUCCAAUAAAUCUGUAUACAAGAUGAUGUAGUCCAAGAAUGGGAGCGAUAAUAUGAUGCAUAUUGUCUAAUAAAUUCUUAUGACAUAUGAUGUUGUCGGAAGUAAAAGUCUUGCAAUGCUGUAUUCUCUUUUAAGAAAGAAUAAGUGAUACUUUUGUUUUUCCAAUUUUUUAAUUGAGCAACUGUGUGAGAUUAAUUAAAUGUGUUUGGAUUUCAACAGAUUGUCUAUGAUGUAACUGAGAUGGAGAGCUUCAAUAAUGUCAAGCAGUGGUUGAAUGAGAUUGACAGAUACGCAAAUGACAGUGUAUGCAAGCUUCUAGUUGGGAACAAAUGCGAUUUAGCUGAGAACAAGGUUGUGGACACAUAGACAGCCAAGGUAUAUUCGUGACUUCUGUCGCCUGAACUUUGAACAUAAUUUUAAGCUCUUCUCAAGUGCAUUUGCUUGGUAAGUUUCUGCAUACCCAGGACGCUCAAACUUUGGACAUUUUGUAUCUCGAGUUGGAAUCUUUUCUGUCAAUACAACUUGUUAAAAUAAGGGUUAUUAUCGUUUGAAUCCUUCAAGAAUUGCAAUAAAUCUAAAGUCCAUAAAAAAUAUGAUUCCAUCAUUUUACUAUUAUAUCCAGACAAAACCCAUUAUUUUACUACAUUUCAUUAGCACCGAUAGUUGACCUGUUGGCUGACUGAUAAAAUAUCAAUUUUGCACUUUAUAUUAAUUCUUUUUUGGUUAAAAAAUAACACACAAAGUAUUACAAUAUUAUAAAUUCAAAAUAUAAAGUAGCUACAAAUAAUUGCUAUUAGCCUAUGAAUUUAAUAUUUGAUACCUCUAUUUGUGUAAUUUUUUUCCAAGAGUGAAAUUGGUAUUUUUUUUGUACUAACGGAAAUGUAGUAAAAUGAUAAGUUUUGUAAAGAUAUAGUAGUAAAAUGAUAGGCUAAAAUACUUCUUGUAGUUGUUUGAUAUAUUGUAAUUCUUAAAGUAGUCAAUUGAUAAUAUCCCCUAAAAUAAAUGUUCGUAAUAUGUUCUCAUUUUAAUGCAACUGAUUGUUUAAUAAAAUUGUAUUUCUUUGUUAAUCUUUUUUCAUGUGCAUGCUCAGUGAGAAUUUGACUUACUAGAACACAAGUUUGACUCUUCAUUUAAAUGUCUCUUGUAUCAUAUCCUUCAAUGUUGAGUGUGAUUCCAAUAAAAUUGAGUAGGGGGAUCCUUAAAUACCUUUUCCUAUUUUCCAAGGGCCUGCCAAAUUGCUCUAAGUGGUUCUACCCUUUAUCAAUGAAUAAUGAAAAUAAAAUUUUUAUUAAAGCAUUUUGUUCCUUAAAUGGUGACUAAUAGUACCCCUUUUUUUGGAGAGGAAAGCCAAACAUGCCCAAAGAGAAUCAUUUACUUUCCUCUAAUGUAUUUUCUAAUUCGUUUUGAGCCUUGAAUGUCUGUUUUGGUGCGUAUUCUCAUUCCAUGUCGAAUCUUAUCCAUAUGGACAACCCCACUUACAAAAAAGUCUAAUGAAUCUAUUGAAGUUCAUAUGAGGUUUGUGCUUUAGAUUUAGACCUCUCUCUCUCUCUCUCUCUCUCUCUCUCCACUUACAUGUCUUUCACUUACCUGUUUGCAUGCAUGCCCAUUCACACACUUUCAAGAUAAUACACAGUCACUCGUACUUGUGUUUUGGUUGAAUUACUGGCUGCUAACCUCUGUAAUUCAGUUUGAAACUUGCCACCCUUAGUGCUUCACUCAAAUGGUUGGUUAGGGUGAGAUCUGUAUCGUUUUCCUGGUCUCUUUCCAAGGUUAUCUAAAGGGAUUUGCCAGUCUGAUUCUUUUGGGAAUAUCAUUGCAUAAGAUAUCUAUUGUUUGUUAAUGAAUAAUUUCUAUUUAACUAGUUAUCUAUAUAAAUUGGUCAAUUUUAACUGCAUAAUUUGCAUGCAAUAAGAUUUUAUAAGAAUCUUGUUUUCAACUCAUGACUUAGACUAAUGUGAUAUGUUGAGCAUUAAGCUACAAGAUCUGCACAUCAAAGUGCUUCACAAUGUUAAGGAGAAAGCAUCUUUUUCUGCUUCUUCAUCUGAUUUAAAGUUUCCAAGGUACUUAUCCAAUAAAAUAUCCUUCAAGACUUUGGAAAUGCUUUUAUGUAUGACUGAGAGAAACUUGUUGGGUUGGUUUUUAGCAACAGACGGAGUUAUGGACUUUGUGUUGACUUGUUAUUGAUUAAGACAGUACAUCGGCUGAUCUAUUGGCAUCAAGCAGCAGAUGCAGAAAUUAUGGGUGGCAUACCAUUGUAUCCAAAUAACAUACUACAUUGAUUUUUCUGACUUUCUGUUGGUCUCCGAGAAAUGCAGGCAUUUGCAGAUGAACUGGGGAUUCCUUUCCUGGAGACGAGUGCCAAAGAUGCAAUCAAUGUGGAGCAGGCUUUCUUGACCAUGGCUGGCGAGAUUAAGAAAAAGUAAAAUCACUUAACUCUUUCCUUCUUGCCGACUGUUCUUAUUUAACAAUCACCAUUAUUGCUGGUUAUAUGCAUUGUGAUGAAAAUUCUGCAAUGAGUAACUUUUUACCUAAUGUUUUCUGUUGGAACAAAUUACUCUGGUAGAAAAGCCCUACAGGGUUUGAGAAAUCCCAUGAUGUGAUGAUUGUGAGCAUUUUAGACACCGUGUAUGGGUUUAUUUUGUGACUAUAAAAUGUUAAGAUUGUUUCUAGUUUUGGUUUGUAGUGCAUAAAAGGAUUCAAAAUUUGACAUCUGUCUAAAUCAGAUUAAUAACAUGAUAAUGUACCUAUGCAAGAUGUGAGGAAUUGUUUUAUCUCACCCCUAAACUUUAAGAAAUUGAAACAUUAUUAUUCAAAAUAUUUAACAUUUCCAGAAUUGAUAGUUGUCUAUUUGAGCAGUGACUGGUGGUUAUCAUGAACUGAUGUGUGGUUGUGGUUUCAAAUCUUGGUGAAACCUGUUGUCAUAUGCUGAUUAACAUAGCUAGUCUCUGAAACAAUUUGUUGAUUCACUAAUUAUGAGUUCAAAUUUGAUGCAGAAUGGGCAACCAGCCUUCUGCAAACAAAUCUUCUGGAACAGUUCAGAUGAAGGGAUAGCCAAUCCAGCAAAACUGCAACCGCUGUGGUUAGCCGAGCAUCUUAUUUUACUUCUACAUGUUAGCUGACUGAUUGUAGACAGUUUUAACUAUGUUGACUGCAUUAUCUUAUGAAUCUUUUAAUCUGUCAAAUAUUUAUUUCCUGGUUUAAGUUCUUUCCCGUUUAUAACAAAUUUAAUUUCUUGCUCCAUUGCAUUCCAAAUUCCUGUCAAUUUACGAGGGAAAAGGAAAAGAGAGACAAAAUGGGAGAAAAUGGUCAAAUUUGUUAGGGGGAGAGAGCUGUUCAAGUAGUUUUUGUUCUCGUUUAUUGUCAUAUCGGAUGGGUAAAGUUACCGAAACAGCGUCAUUUUGGGUGAAUUAUCAUAUUUAUGUAACACUUUUGAUAAUAUUUUUAUGCAACAAAAAAAUGUUAGUACCCUUUUCACAUUGUGAAGCGCAUGAUCGGAUGAGAGCAGUCUGUAUUCUGGCAUCACAAGCUAAUGCUUUGAUUUGCUUAGUUUGUUUUUUUUUUUUUCAUGGAAUUUGGAGAUGUUGUACAUGUAUGAAGAUGACGUAAUAAAGUUGCUUUGAUAAAUUUCCCUGGUCGGUUUACUUCACUAACCAUUAAUGCGCAAAGCCUCCUAAUGACCCUAAAAAAUCCCGUACAUAAUUAAAGAAUUUCAAUUUUAUACGUACAAAAAUAAAUAACUCUCAAAUAUAUUAUUUGAUAAUUCCAAAAACAGCAAUUCAUUCUAAUAAAUCUCGUAGGAAAUACAUGGUCUAUAUUGCAAGUUUUUUUUAGACUAAUUCAAAGAGAAAAUAUGAAGGACAUAUAAUUGUCCUUUAAUUGUCAUAAAGAACUCUAAAUAAAUUCUUAUACGCAUUGCAACUAAUUACAGCCUUGAUACUUCAUUUGGUUUUUGUUAAUUUUCUAUACAGUUGUGUUGUGCAUAAAAGUUUUGUUAAAUGAAAUCGGUAGGUGAGGGUUAAUUAAUCAAUUAAUUAAGAUCCAGUUAAUGUAAUUAAUUUUAUUUGAUUUUUUUAAUUCGAGUUCUAAAUUAAUCAAUGAAUUUAGAUUCAUGUGAAAUUGAAGUGAAUUAGUUUCGAUCUGUUUUUCGUCCUAUGUUUGUCUGUGUUUACUCUUACUUUGUUUUUUUUGUUUAAAUUUUGUUUUCUUAUUGUUUACUGAAUAAAUUUCUGAGCUUUAUUUGAGUAUGAUGAUUGAUUUGUGAUUUUAAUCUAAAUGUGUUGGGCUGCGAUUUAAUUGAGUGAUGUGUGAGCGCCAAAUAUUCAAUAACUGAUAAAUUAUAUUUAUAAAUAUUAAUAGCGAUGGCACAUAAACAAUUAAUUCAAGAACUUGCCCAUAGUGAUUAAUUUAAAGAGUAUAAGUAACAUCGCAAUACAGUCUAGCCCUUACAUGUUUAAUUAGCAAUUGAAAACUACUGUUGCUGAUGAGGUAGAACAUUAUAACACUGUUGCUGAUGAGGCAGCUGGUAAUUCUUCUGGUGAAGAUAUUAAGACUAUUAAAGCUGAAAUGUAAUUAGAGAAAUAUAAUGCAUUCCCUUAGUUUGCUUUUUGUUUUUUAUAUUUGUUUGGCUAAUGCUUUGCUUAGAUUGCUUUUUGUUUUUUGAGAUUUUAUUGGCUUAGUCGUGGGGUAUUGUUUUCUCUUCUAAUUUCUAUUUUUGUUGUUAUGGGAUUUGAUUGUGGUGUACAUAUACGAAAAUUAUGUAAUCAAAUGCUUUCAAUAAAUUAUUUAAAUUAGUUUUCAACUGAGAUUUGAAUUUUGAAAUUACAUACACAAACAAGCCCAUUUUUUUUAAAUACUAAUAAUAAAAUAUUUCAUUUUUCAUCUAUUACUACAAGAGGUAUAAUCGCAAAAGUGAGGAAGGCAGUCAUCCUCUGUUCAAUUAUCAAAAACUCCUUUUACCAUCCAUUUGAACAUACACAAACACGCCCAAUUUGAAAAAAAAAAAAGUAGUCAUUUUAAAAUAUUUCAAUCGUCCACUGUUCAGUCACCAAAAACUCCUUUUACCAUCCAUUUCAACGCCUAAUUUGAAAAAAGAAAAUACUAAUAAUAAUAAAAUAUUCUAGUCGUCCAUCCUUUUACAAAUCAAAAAUAUCACCAAAAACCAAUUUCCAAUCUAUUUCAAAACAAAUUUUGCCAAAGUCCUCCUCGGCUAAUUAAUUCAUACAUUAAUACAGUCCUCCUCUGCUGAAUAAUGCAAACCCGUUACGUUAUUCUACCAUUUCUUAAAUUUAAAGCAUUCCACCAUUUAAUAAAAAAAAUUCGAAAACCCAUUAUAUACAAUACAAAAAGCCCACCGACACCAAACCAUAUUAAUUUAAAAUAGUUUUCAAUUGAGAUUUGAAUUUUAAAAUUACAUACACAAACACACCCGAUUUAAAAUAAUAAUAAUAAUAAUGCUAACAAUAAAAUAUUUCAGCCGUCCUCUGUUCGGUCACUAUUCACUAAAAACCAAUUUACCAGCUAUUACAACAAGAGGUAUAUGGGUUAACAAGUCCCAAUAUUGUCCUCCAUCCUUUCUGCACUUCUCUUCCAUCAACGGACAUCUCCAGAAAGUAUUUGAGCUUGGGACAUCCCCUGAGAAACAAUGAAGUGAGGUUUUGAAGAUCAACAAUUGAAGAAGAUAGGCGUUCCAGAUUUGGAAAAUUGAAAAUCUUCAGAGACGUUAGAGAGGCAGGAAGAGGAAGCGCGGUCCCUAAUCUUUUGUCCUCUAGUGGAAAUGACACCAUGUCCUCAUCACAUCCACUGAUUAAAAGAUAUCGCAGAGAGGAGAAUCUGUGAAAUCCCCGUCCCCGCUCAAUCAUUGACUUCCAAAUCUCCAUAUUACCCCAAAUAUUAAGUGACUGAAGGUUGGUGGGAAGGCCAUCUUCUUCUUCAAGGCUUGGAAGCGCACCUCCUUUUCCUAUUGUUAAGUCUUGAAGAGAGCUCAGUUUGUGCAAUCCCUUGGGUAAGGCCUCUAGUCUCUUACAAUUAGAUAUCGCCAGCCUCCUGAGUUUCGCACAAGGCAAUCCCCCUUCGGGAAAGGACACCAGAUUUCCACAACUCUGUAUAUCAAUCUCUCGAAGCUGGUGGAGUUUAUGUAAACCACUCGGUAAAAUUUUCAGAUUUUCACAAUUAUAAAUACUGAUUGUUUCAAGAGAUGUGUUGUUGUCCAACCUUUCUGCUAUUGACUCCAGCUUUGAACAUCCAUAAACAAAAAGGGACUUAAGAGACGGAGGUAGAUUGCCAACUUCAAGGGACUCAAGCGUGGCAGGUGUUGAUGCGAGAUUCCGGUUCUCCUCGUUCCACGACCAGGAUCUCUGCUCGAUCAACUUCUCCACGACCAGGAGGUCUCCUAGUAAUACUUCUUCUCCAGAUGUCCCUGCACAAACAGACAAGUCAGAGUACGCCGGUUGUUCCCCCGGCGCAAACCCUCCGACGCUCAAGUCAGAUAUGAAGGUUCAGGGAACGCUUGCCACAGGUCUUAUGGCUUUUUCGUGGUUUUUCUCUAAUCUCAAAAAUGCCAACCCUUUUACCUUCGUUGGCUACCUUUUUAUAGGCUUCCUCUGAAUCUCAGUCUUCCGCUCUUUUCGAGACGGUAUGGGACUCCAACUGCUGCGUUAUGGGCAAACGUGGGAUCUAGCGUGUUACGCCACGGUUCAGGGGAAAGCGUGGCUGUCAUGGCUCUGUGAGACCUUGCGUGUUACGCCACGGUUCAGGGGAAAGCGUGGCUGUCAUGGUUCUGUGAGAUCUUGCGUGUUACGUCACGGUUCCGGGGAAAGCGUGGCUGUUGUGCCUAGAUUCUCGUGCUGGAGAGCACGUCUUGCCAACUGCCGUCGACCGGGUCUCCUCGCCUCUCGACCUCUAGCCGGGAUGGCCUUAUGCCUCUUAUAGGAAAUUGGCCUCGCGGAUGACAACAUCGUGGACGAGCAGGAUAUUUCUGCUCCUGUUCUUCCACGCACCAGGCUUUAACGGAACACACCGGUUCGCAGAACUCCGCCAUCAGAUAUCUGCUCGUCAUUCCUGGUCCCGUCGACGCAUUUAUCCCAAACAGUAUCUCUCCCAAACACCGGUCCCCCAGUUUCUGGUGUUGGGUAAUGUAGUGGACCAGCAGUAGAAACUCGAUAGUACUCGCUCGCGUGGGAUUGGAAAAGGCUGCCAAGAGUCAUGUCGCAUUUAAUUGCGGACGAGGUGACGUGGCAGAAAUCCCGCCCUCCAUUUGAAUUUCAAACCGACGGUUACCAGAUCCUCGGGAUUCGGCGCGGUUAUAUGCUGGCAACCCAAGAGUCUGUCCUCAUUUGGAAAGCCGAAUCCUCUCGAACGGCAUAUUCACAAUUCACUCCGUCUCUGUCUCUGUUUCUCCGGCGAAGAAGUUCCGGCACAAAGCCCCCAUCCUUGCCUUUCUCCGAUUGGAGCAGUACUUCAGGUAUUACUUCUCUCUCCUCGGUCUCGGAUAGUUUGUAGAUAACUUCUUUUUUCUUUCGUUUGGGUGGUAGUUGGUGGCGUUGUAGUUAGAGUUUAGGGAAUGCCGAAAGGCAAAGAGAAGGUCAUUGAGGUUGAUGACGACGAGUUGGACUUCCUACCUAGUCUGCUCGCUGAUCCCGCUUUUGACCCCGGGAUCCCCUUAGAGCCCAUUAGGUCUAGUGUUGGUACUAGCGCUAGGAGGAUGUCUCCCCAAACAACCUCCUCGAGCGACAGUAGCGAUGAAGAAGGAUCUUCUGGAUCGGAGAACACCUUGAGUGAGGGUCAAGGGGAUGAUUCUGGUGAGGCGUCCCCCUCAGGAGCGCCGCGACCAGAAAGGAGGAGUAGAAUAGGAGGUAGAGCCCUAUCGCGGGAUUACGCUAUUGAUUACAUGACGUGCACGACCACGUUUGAUGAGCUCGAGGACCUCCGGCUGAGGUAUAGCAUUCCUGGUGAAAUACAUCUCAAGGUCCCAGGAAAGAAGGAUGCUCCCAGCCGCCCUCCGAGGGGACAUGUUACCCUGUAUCUGGACAGCUUUAAGUACGGGCUGAGGUGUCCCUUGCAGCCUUACUUUGCCCGGAUACUCAACGGGCUAAAUCUGGCUCCUGGUCAGUUGAAUCCCAAUGGGUGGAGAGUGCUCUCUGGUCUGUUCAUUUUGUGGGACAGAUGUUGCCAAAGCGAGCCCACGGUUGAUGAGGUGAAGCACCUGUACCAGCUAAAGAGCAGCCCCAAAGAUGCCGGCUGGUACUACUUCCAAUCUAGCACCAAGAGCAGGAAACCUAUAACCGACCUCCCUACUGGUGGUGGCGGGAAUUGGAAGAGAAAGUUCUUUUUUGCUGGGGGUCCGUGGGGUCAGGUCGCGCAAACGGACGGGAAGGAUUAUCGGGUCCCACCCCGUUUCACGGUCCCAGGUUGCCUGCUCGCUUCAGAUGCCUUGUAUCCAUACUUGUUCUUGUUUUGUCGGCUUGUUUCUAACCAAGUGUCUUGUUUGUGUUGUAGUUUCUUGGGGUGUCCACUUCCCGCUCGGACCUGAACAGCUCAAACGGGUCGAAGCGGUGCUGGCCAAUUCUUGCUCGACCCGAGAACUGCUAAGUACAUACAACUUGCUCGAGUCUCGCUUGAUACUCCCUGGCCAUAAGAUGGAGGACGCUGUGAUUGGGGCUCUGACCCGAAAACGUUCUCGACCUUCAACCACGAAGAGGGAUGAGAGUAAGGAUGCCCCUACUGCAAAGCGGGCCAACAUCGUGCAGCAGGCUCCACCCUUGAAGAUUUUACCUCCUGCUCCUGAAAAAGUUGGGGAAGCUAGUGGAGCAGCCACAGAUCCCGCCACCUCUUCUCCUCCUGUCGGGCCUCGACCUCGCUUACCUGACAGCCGAGCAGAACCUCUGGUCCCUUACCUCAAUGAGUUAGCUAAACUCGUGAGCAAGGAGGAGCUGGAGGACUUUGAUGGCCGCACCUUGGGCGAGCUGGUGGGGGCCAUUCAGCAUAGCGCCUUCCACCUCAGCUGCAUGGCCACCUAUUAUAAGGCUAAAGUGGGCCGUUACGACCGGAAGAUGAAGGGGGACAUCCAGUCGGCGACGACCAGGGCCGACGUUGCCGAGAAGAAAGCAGGGGAGCUGAAUCUCGAGAACCUGAAGCUGGUAGAGCAAGAAUCGCUUGCUCAAGCAAAAGCCAUUACCCUUGAGGGGGAGCUCACCAAGGUCAAGGAGGAUCUGCAAAGGCAGAAGGCUAUGUAUGAGGCUCAGCUCGAAUCUCUCCGCGACUCCCACCGAGCUCAGGUCGAGAACCAUCGAGCUCAAGUCGAGAACUUGGAGAGGGAGGCCGACAACCAGUACGACCAGGGACUUCGGCAUUCCUAUCGUUGCAUCAUGGCCGUCCUUGCGAAGCAACACCCUGACCUGAAGAUGGAAGACCUUGCAGCUGGUGUUGCCCAGCAUAUGGAUGAGGAGGCGGCCAAGGAAGAUACCGAAGGGGUAGAGCCGAUCGUGAUCGAGGAGGAAAACUCUCCUCCUCGUGUAGUCCCUGCUGAUGUCGGCGAGGCGGGCACCCCCCGGACGCAACUGGUGAUACCCCCCCUGCACCCGAGGAGGUCCAGCCGACCGAUGCUACUCGGCUCACUGAUCCACCAUCUUUGUGAUAUAUUUCUUUUUGUAUUGUAAUGAACAACGUUUAUGAAAUUUCCUUUGUUAGCCAUUAACACAUUAAUAAAAAUGUUGUUGAUUACUUUCUCGUGUAUAUGAAUUAUUUUUCGUUCAAGAGUCUGCUUGUCUUUGUCUUACACGAGCAGGUUCCGACGAGCCUUUGCACGCCUUAGGAUUUUCUUCAAACGAUUUGGAUUCUGCUGCCUUCUCGUGGCCGAGCAGAUCCUGGCAUGCUUGGCUUCUGUCUCGCCAUAAGACAGGCUCUGAGACUUGGCGAGCCUUUGCAUGCCUUAGGUUUUUCUUCAAACGAUUUGGAUUCUGCUGCCUUCUCGUGGCCGAGCAUAUCCUGGCAUGCUUGGCUUCUGUCUCGCCAUAAGACAGGCUUUGAGACUUGGCGAGCCUUUGCAUGCCUUAGGUUUUUCUUCAAACGAUUUGGAUUCUGCUGCCUUCUCGUGGCCGAGCAGAUCCUGGCAUGCUUGGCUUCUGUCUCGCCAUAAGACAGGCUCUGAGACUUGGCGAGCCUUUGCAUGCCUUAGGAUUUUCUUCAAACGAUUUGGAUUCUGCUGCCUUCUCGUGGCCGAGCAGAUCCUGGCAUGCUUGGCUUCUGUCUCGCCAUAAGACAGGCUCUGAGACUUGGCGAGCCUUUGCAUGCCUUAGGAUUUUCUUCAAACGAUUUGGAUUCUGCUGCCUUCUCGUGGCCGAGCAGAUCCUGGCAUGCUUGGCUUCUGUCUCGCCAUAAGACAGGCUCUGAGACUUGGCGAGCCUUUGCAUGCCUUAGGAUUUUCUUCAAACGAUUUGGAUUCUGCUGCCUUCUCGUGGCCGAGCAGAUCCUGGCAUGCUUGGCUUCUGUCUCGCCAUAAGACAGGCUCUGAGACUUGGCGAGCCUUUGCAUGCCUUAGGAUUUUUUCGGUUUCAAGCGAAUGGAAUUCGUCGACGCUCCAUUAAUGGCAGGAUUUGACUUACAUGAAAUUGUUCGGACAUAAAACGUGAAAAAUAAACGAUAAUGAACAUGAGCAACAACGGUUUUUAAAUGUGAACAAGUCUUACUGGAAGUAUUUCCGGAGGUGUGCUGCGUUCCAUGGGCGUUUCACUUCGUGGCCGUCCUCGCGAACCAGCUUGUAAGCUCCGGGUCCCGCUAUCUGCUUGACUCUAUACGGCCCUUCCCAAUUCGGUCCCAGUACUCCUUGAGUCGAAUCUUUGGUGCUCUGAUUCACUCUUCUCAGUACCCAGUCUCCGACUCUGAAUUGCCGUAUGUUCACCUUCUGGUUAUAAUACCGAGCAACCCUCUGCUGGUAAGUGGCUGAUCGCUCGGCUGCUUGUUCCCUCCUCUCCGUUAGCAGAUCAAGAUUCAAACAUAUCUGCUCGUCGUUCUCGUGCUCAUUGAAGUGCUCUGUCCGGUGUGUGGUCGUUCCUAUCUCAGCCGGCACAACCGCUUCAUGUCCGAAAGCCAAAGCGAACGGUGUCUCCCCAGUUGCGGUCUUGUGGGUUGUUCUGUAUGCCCAUAGCACACCCGACAGCUCGUCAACCCACGCACCCUUUUUUGCUCCGAGCCUGGUUUUCAGAAGCCUCUUGACGGUCUUGUUGGCUGCUUCUACUUGUCCAUUCGAUUGAGGGUGAGCAGGCGAGCAGUACUUCAGUUCUAUCCCGAGGUUCUGGCAAAAAUCCCUGAAGCUGUGAUUAUCGAACUGCCUGCCAUUAUCCGUUACCAAGGCAUAUGGGAUCCCGUAUCGACAGACCAGGUUUCUCCACACGAAGUCUGUUGUUUUCUUCUCUGUGAUCCUGCUAAGGGCUUCUACCUCUAUCCACUUCGUGAAGUAAUCUAUAGCAACUAUUGCAUGUGUUGCUGCUCCUCGUCCCUUCGGCAAUGGGCCGAUCAGAUCAAUUCCCCAUUGAGCGAAUGGCCAAGGGGAGGCCAUGGAGGUGAGCUUCUCUGGUGGUUGGUUAGAGAAAUUUGCAAAACUCUGGCAGCUUGCACAGCUCCUGGUCUUCCUUUGUGCAUCCUGGUGCAUCGUCGGCCAGAAAUAUCCCUGCCUUAGAACCUUGUGGGCCAGGGACCUCCCGCCAGAAUGAUUUCCGCAAAUUCCUUCAUGUACUUCCCUCAGCACGUAAUCUGCGUCGUCAUCGUCCAAACACCGAAGGAACGGUAAUGUAUAUCCUCGCCGAUACAGUACCCCAUCGAUCAUCGUGUACCUCGAGGCCUGAGCCCUAGUCUUCCGAGCUCGCAGCUUGUCUGGUGGUAAGACCCCGUCUCUAAGGUAUGAAACUAUCGGGUCCCUCCACGAGCCUUUUUGUUCUAUCCGUAGCACGCCCACAUUUUGCUCGAUACUUGGGCGAGACUUCACCUCUAGGGGGACCGACUUCGGCAUUUUUGGGUCGGCUACGGCUGCCAUCCUAGCCAAAAUGUCUGCUCGACUAUUCUGCUCCCUGGGGAUUUGUAUCACCUCCACUGCUUUGAACUUCCCCAUCAUCUGCCUGACUAUCUUUAGGUACUGUUCCAUCUUCUCCUCUCUUGGUUGGAAUCUUUCACUAACAUGAUUCGCAACCAACUGGGAAUCGGUUCUGAUCUUAACUCUGUCUGCUUUCACGGCCCUAGCCAAUUCCAGACCCGCUAUCAAGGCCUCAUAUUCUGCCUGGUUAUUGGUGGCUGCAAAUCCCAACUUUAUAGCAUAAGAGAUCUCCUCCCCCUGUGGGCCUUCCAGGACAAUCCCUGCUCCUGAACCCCGCUCUCCUGAUGACCCAUCCACAGAUAUCUGCCAUACUUGAGUUUCGUCGCUGCCUAUAUCUGCAUCUUGUUGCUCUAAGCAUACUUCGGGCUCUGCGAACUCAGCUACGAAAUCGGCCAUUGCCUGGGCCUUUAUCGCCGCGCGGGGUUUAUAGUCUAUGUCGAAUUCGCUCAUCUCUACGGCCCACUUGACGAGCCGACCAGAGGCAUCUGGCUUGUGCAGAAUUUGACGCAAUGGCUGGUUGGUUAUUACCGAGACCGGGAAUGCUUGAAAGUAUGGCCUCAACUUCCGAGCAGCUACCACAAGGGCAAGUGCCCAUUUCUCCAACGGUGGGUAUCUGGUCUCAGCGUCGAGCAGGGCCUUACUGGUGUAGUAUAUCGGAUACUGAACUCCUUCUUCCUCUCUCACCAGAACGGAACUGGCGGCCCGAUCCGAUACCGCCAAAUACAGAUUCAACUUGUCCCCAUCCCUCGGUGUGGACAGUAGCGGAGCUUGCUGCAAGUAUUGCUUCAAGUUCCGGAAGGCUUCCUCGCAUUCCGGGGUCCAUUCCGUUUUCUUUCCCCUCCUUAUCACUCGAAAGAAUGGCUGACACUUAUCUGUAGCCUUGGAUAUGAAUCUGCUCAACGCCGCCAACCUCCCCGUGAGGCUCUGCAUCUCCUUCAGGUUUCGAGGAGACGUCAUUUGCACAAUCGCCUGGAUCUUCUCGGGAUUUGCUUCAAUCCCCCUAUGGCUCACCAUGAAUCCCAGGAAUUUCCCUGACUCGACCCCAAAAGCACACUUCUCCGGGUUGAGCUUCAUCUUAUACUUCCUCAAAAGUUCGAACGUCUCCUCGAGAUGUCUGACAUGUUCCUUCGGGAUUUUGGACUUGGUGAUCAUGUCGUCCACGUACACCUCCAUGGUUUUCCCGAUCAAGGGCUUAAAGACUUUAUUCACCAGCCUUUGAUAGGUGGCCCCAGCAUUCUUGAGACCGAAUGGCAUCACCCUGUAACAGAACAAACCUUGGUUAGUGAUGAAAGCUGUGCUCUCCUCAUCCGGCUCGUACAUGGGGAUCUGGUUGUAUCCCGAGAAUGCGUCCAUGAAGCUGAGCAGACCAUGUCCAGCCGUUGAAUCUACUAGCUGAUCGAUCUUUGGUAAAGGGAAACUGUCUUUUGGGCACGCCUUAUUGAGGUCUGUGAAAUCCACACACAUCCUCCACUUGCCGUUUGCCUUCUUUACCAACACCACAUUUGAUAUCCACUCUGGGUAAUUGACUUCCCGAAUGAACCCUGCUCUCAGAAGCUUCUCCACCUCAUCAUUUACAGCCUCAUACCUCUCCUGGUUGAAGCACCUCCUCUUCUGCCUUACUGCCCGAGCACCUUUCUUUAUUGCCAGCUUAUGACAUGCUACCUCUGGAUCAAUCCCUGGCAUGUCUUCAUGUGUCCAGGCGAACACGUCAGCGUGAGCCUGUAAGCAUUUCACCAACUCCUGCUUUUGCUCUCCCUUAAGUCUCGACCCGAUUCUGAUCGUCUUUCCCGAGUUCUCUGGUCCCAUGCUUACUGUCUCCAGAUCCUCUACGGGUUCUUGUCUGCCAGUCUUGUUUUCCACUCGGGUAUCGAGGGAUGUUAUCUGCAUCGCCUCCCUUGCUGCCGAGGAGUAGCAGCUUCUCGCGAUCCUCUGGUCUCCUCGUACCACUCCGACUACCCCAUUCACCCGGUACUUCAGAGCCAGAUAAUGGUUGGACAACACCGCUUUGCUCAUCCUUAAAAAUGGCCGACCUAGGAUCAUCUGGUAAGGACCUUCCUCAUCCACUACGACGAAGUCCAGUAUCAUUGUUCUUUCUGUCGGGGGGCUCCCAAUUGUGAUAGGUAGUUCGACCACGCCCAGGGGGACCAGCUUCCCUCCUCCGAACCCCUUCAAGGAGGUGUUGGUGUAUUCCAACUUCCGGUCGGCUAUUCCCAUCUCUUCCAGAGUUGACUUAAAUAACACAUCGACCGAGCUCCCCGUAUCAACCAGUAUCCGGUCAAGCUUCUUGCUAGCGACCGUAGCCUUGAUGACUAAAGCAUCCUCGUGGGGGUAUAGAAUCCCUUCCUCAUCCUCAUCCGUCCACAUGAUUGGCACUUGCCUGACCCUUGCUCGUUUGGCUGCCGGGGUGUUGAAGAGUAUCUCUUUGCUGGUCAUGGCAUAUCUGGCGUAAUUUUUUCUCGAUCUGUUCGAAUCUCCGGCCAACGUUGGGCCCCCAGCUAUCACCCUUACUGCGGGCUGCUCGCGUCUCAAGAUUCCAUCACUCUGCUCCCCUUCAUCUGUUGUGGCCAUCAUCGGAAAAGUCCCAUCCAUAAACUCGUCCAGGUACCGAUUUCUCACCAAAUCUUCAACCUGGGUCUUGAGAUCUCUACACUCUGCUGUGGUAUGGCCAUGGGUGCCAUGGAACUUACAAUAACGUCCUCUAUCCCUCCUGUUGGGUAGCUUUGUUAUUGGUGUAGGGAGGUGCAGCAGCCCUCGAUCCUUUAUGGCCUCGUACACCUCAUCCAGGGGCAUCUUCAAGGGAGUGUACCGCCCAUAGUCCUGGUUCUGGUCGACCAGAUGUACUGCUCUUUCUCUGUUCGCCCCACUGUGAGUUGGGGGCGGUGGAAGUGCUUCUGGUCUGCUCGUCCUGCUACCGUGGGAAUGUUGAUGAAGACCACCGGGUGCCGAAUCAUGCCUUCUCCAAGGCUCCCUAGCUGGGGAACGAGGAGGUGGCACCCUGCUGCGCUGAUACUGUGGCGGCCUCUGAUGAGGCUGGUAAGCAAUCACCCUACCUCCUGCUCCACUACCGGAGACCUGGUGGUCCCUCCUCCUGAUCGGCCCAUUCCCUGGUGAUGCUUUCUUCUCUUUCCUCCCUAACCCUUCCAACUGGUCUGUCUUGAUUCGUGCAGCCUUCUCCUCCUCAAUCUCGAUGUCUCUUUUAGCCUGUUCGUAUGCGGCCGCAUACGUUUGAAUAGCUGGGCUUCUCAAAUUGUACCACAGCCUUCCUAUCUUCACCCCUUCUUUCAAUCCCCUUAACGCCUGAGGGUGGUUGAAGGCUCCCAAGUCGAGGACAGCCCGAUGAAACCUCUUGAUGAAUUCCCGAAGGGUUUCUUGCUCCCCCUGUUUCAUGCUCUUCAGCUCCAUCAUGUCAUCUUCCGGAGACAUUGCCCCACUAAACUGCUCUGCGAAUUCCUGGCACAUCUGCUCGAAGGUUUUAAUGCUGCCCCGAGGAAGUUUCCUGUACCAUUCUCGUGCACGUCCCUCAAGGGAUAGUGGGAAUACCCUGCACCUUUGGGAUGGAGAUAAUCCCUGUACCCCCGUUAUGUCGUUGAAGCGCUCUAUGUGCAUCAGCGGAUCAGUUCUUCCCGAGUAUCUGAGGUCGGGGAGGCGGAAAUCUCUCGGAAUAACUGCCCUCAUGAUCUCUGCUGCGAGCGGUGAUUCUCCGUCCAGCAUUAUCCUCCAACCAGGGGCUCUGUUCCUCCCUUGCAUGUCGUCAAUUAUUUGCGCUAGCCUUCGCACUUCCUCCUCCAGCUGCCCUGCACGACCAGGGUCACGUGCCGCAACUUGAUCCCGCUCUUGCUCUACAUCAUGCAAGUGUUGCCUCAGCUCUGUUUCCUCUGCAUUCACCACCCCGUCGCCCUCGUCGCAAGUCUGUCUCGCCGGGGACUGCUCUCUUUCUCUAUGAAAUUCUCCCCGCAGAGGUACGUUACCUCUCUCACCACCAAAUCUCCCAGCGGUUAGACUUCUCCCCGCACUAUCGGGACCUGGUGCCGCUCCACCGCCUCUCACCCUUCCCUCUUGGGUUGCCCUCCGCUCGUUCCGCAGCUCAUGCAGGAUGGUUGUCAAGGUCUCCAUCUGCUUUUCCAUUCGUUCCAUCCGGUCGAACAUGACUUGUUCCCGUGCUUCGCUGAUUACCUCCCUCAGCGUCACGGAAUCGUUAAGCCUCAUGUCACCCCCUUGUGCGCUACUUCCUCCUCUCUCCAUUGCUUCUCGCUUACUCCACCCCUCUUCUUGCUAUCGACAGAAGCUUUUCGCUCUGGAUCCCCACAGACGGCGCCAAAAUGUUGAUGCGAGAUUCCGGUUCUCCUCGUUCCACGACCAGGAUCUCUGCUCGAUCAACUUCUCCACGACCAGGAGGUCUCCUAGUAAUACUUCUUCUCCAGAUGUCCCUGCACAAACAGACAAGUCAGAGUACGCCGGUUGUUCCCCCGGCGCAAACCCUCCGACGCUCAAGUCAGAUAUGAAGGUUCAGGGAACGCUUGCCACAGGUCUUAUGGCUUUUUCGUGGUUUUUCUCUAAUCUCAAAAAUGCCAACCCUUUUACCUUCGUUGGCUACCUUUUUAUAGGCUUCCUCUGAAUCUCAGUCUUCCGCUCUUUUCGAGACGGUAUGGGACUCCAACUGCUGCGUUAUGGGCAAACGUGGGAUCUAGCGUGUUACGCCACGGUUCAGGGGAAAGCGUGGCUGUCAUGGCUCUGUGAGACCUUGCGUGUUACGCCACGGUUCAGGGGAAAGCGUGGCUGUCAUGGUUCUGUGAGAUCUUGCGUGUUACGUCACGGUUCCGGGGAAAGCGUGGCUGUUGUGCCUAGAUUCUCGUGCUGGAGAGCACGUCUUGCCAACUGCCGUCGACCGGGUCUCCUCGCCUCUCGACCUCUAGCCGGGAUGGCCUUAUGCCUCUUAUAGGAAAUUGGCCUCGCGGAUGACAACAUCGUGGACGAGCAGGAUAUUUCUGCUCCUGUUCUUCCACGCACCAGGCUUUAACGGAACACACCGGUUCGCAGAACUCCGCCAUCAGAUAUCUGCUCGUCAUUCCUGGUCCCGUCGACGCAUUUAUCCCAAACAGUAUCUCUCCCAAACAGCAGGUAACUCGUUUUUUGAAAAUAUACAUGUCAGUGAUGGACAGCGGUCAAUUGAUAAGUGCUCAAGAAUAGAUGAGGUGUACCUUCUGCCGCUGCUACACUGGAUGCCCUCUUCCACUGUCAAAGUCCUUAUAUUAUCACAAUGCCAGAUCGUCAACUUCUUAAGGCUCGAUGGUAGCUGGACAGCAGCAAUAUAUGUCAACGAACGGCAACCAUGAAUACUCAAGAUCUCGAGAGACGAAUUGGUGUCGCACAUCCAUGCCUCUGGUAACGAUUUCAGUGCAUCACAAUACCUAAUCUCAAUUUUCCUCAACUUGGAAGGCAGAGCAACCUCAGGAAAGGAAACAAGGGAACUGCACUCGUAGAUUUCUAUCUCUCUCAAGGAACUGAGGCUGAACGAUGAUUGUGGCAGCUUCACAAGGCCUUCGCAAUUACUCAAUCUUAGAUAUUCAAGUCUGCAUGACAACUCGCAGAGCUGCUGUUGUUGGUCUUUCUUUUCCUCCGCCACCAAGGAUUGAAGUUUGGGACAGCUGUCAAUCGUCAGUCUUUUGAGAGAGUAAAUGUCUUGCAGUAAUUCGUUAUGACUCUUCCAUAUAUGUGUUUCAUUUUUAAUAUUUUUUAUCUCCAAUUCUUCCAGUUUUGGUAUUCGCGGCUUCAAUGGCCCUGCGAGAAACACUUGAUUUGAUGUAUCUCUACAAACCACUGAAUUCUGUGAGCCGAGAUGAUCAAUUACACUUCUCCACACAACCUUUUUACAUCCACGAAUUACCAAUUUGCAAAGAGCUGGAAGACUCCUAAUUGAAAUUGACAAUUCUUCGCAUUGUUCAAUAACAAGCAUCUCCAAUGCAGGAAGGUGCUCUGGAAAUGUUCCUUGCAGUUUAGAACAUCUUAAAAUGUGAAGCUCUCUCAAUUUAGGAAACCGUUCAACUCCCUGACUGGAUCCAUGAGGAAUCCACUCUUCCCACUCUUGCAGGUCUUCAAAACGAAGAGUCUCCAAGCAUGUAAAUGGAAUUUGAGAGUCAUCCCCAUAGAACUCUGAACCCAAUCUCUUUACUCUACUCAUUCCACGCACUGUAAGAUGCUUCAGAGAGGGCAGUUGGCCGACUGACGGCAGGGCAGUACACAUGCCGCAAUCUUCAAAUUUAAGUGUUACUAAAUUUAAGAAUGAGGAAUCUCCUAACCAUGUUGGAAAUUUUGUACCUCCAUAGCCACAGAUACCAAAUUGUUCCAGAUUUUUAUGGGGUUUGAGCAUGUCAAGCACACCCAUUUCAGUUUCUGCCUCCCUUGAAGAUGAACCAUCGGUGCUGCAAGUCCAAUUAAGCGAUAAUUCUCUAAGAUUCUUCUUUCCAUCCAACCGAGCCUCCUUUGCAUCACCAAUGUCUUUUACAUUCUCUAAUUUUGAAAUUUUAAGUGUCCCCUGAAGAUGUAUCAAUGACUUUAGCUCUCGUAACCCAGAACCAUUGUCUUUUCCCACAGCAAAAUUACCCAGCGUUUGAAGACAAGUCAGCUUACCAAUUCCUAGUGGCAUUUCCUCCAAGGAAUCUGUAUUUGAAUUAUUGAGAUGAUGCAAUUUGAUGAGAUUUCCCAUGUCUGCACACAACUUCUUCAGUCGUCGACAGCCCUCCAAAAGAAGGGUGUGCAAGUUGUAAAGCUUGCUAACUGAUUCAGGCAGAGUUUUAAUCUCAGUUCCAGACAGGUUAAGGUGCCUUAAAUACCUCAAAUCACCAACUGAAUCCGGCAGCUCGGCGAUGCAAUAUCCACGCAGAGAGAAGACCCUUAAGCUUUGGAGUUUGAACAACUUAGGAAGAAUGCUAUGAGCCAAGUAUCCAUGCUGACUAUUUAACAUCACUGGUAAAAAAGUUCUCAAAUGUUGGAUAUCAUACAAUUUCUCAAACCUUUGAACGCCACCAUAAUCUCCACGAAUGUACGACAGAUGACGAAGAUUUCUAGAAAAACAUUGUUGCUUGUUAACCUCCGAGGUAUACUCCAGUGUGAAGUAUGUCUCCCCUGCAGCCCAACGGGCAAGGUCGUUGAUAAGAUCGUGCAUAACAAAUCGUGAUAUACUGUUGCUCGAUUGCUGGAAAAAAGAUCUUCCACGUAGCUCUUGAAAGAACUUUCGACCGAGAUCUUCACUAGGAUUCCCACUCUCUCCGUGAUUCGAGAAACCCACAGCACUCCAUAAUAAAAUUAUCUCCCCCUCUUCAAAUUCAUAAUCCUUUGGAAACAAUGAGCAAUACGCAAAGCAUUGUUUCAAAGGUGCCGAAAGAUAAUAGUAGCUCACUCUAAGCGCCGGCAUAAUGUCACAUCUCUCUUCUUGCAAUUCCCAUAUCUUGGUACUGAGCACUCUCUCCCAAUCACAUCUGUCAUCUUUUCCUCGCAAAAGUCCUCCAAGUGUUUGCGCUGCCAAGGGCAAGCCAUCGCAUUUGGCCACUAUCUUCUUGCCAAUUUCCUCCAAUAACUUAUCUGACCCCAAAGAGUGUUGAGCGAACACAGACAGACAAUCAUCAUUUGACAACUUUUUCAAUUGAUAAGCCCGAACAGUCCCCAUGAUGGCUGCAACCCCUUGAUUACGAGCUGUGACAAUAAUCUUACUUCCCGGUGCGCCAGCUUCAAAAGGACGCCUGAGUCGAUCCCAAUCAUUGUAAUUCUCAUUCCAAACGUCAUCUAAAACAAGCAAAAAUUUAUUUUGAGAUAACUUCUUCUUCAGCUCCUCUUGAAGCUUAUUCAAGUCGUGAUUAUCCACAUUCUGGUCACUAGCAAUUGAAAGUAGGAUUGAUUUUGUAAGCCUGAUAACAUCAAAAUCAUCAGAGACACAAGUCCAUGCCUUGAGAUCAAAAUGACCCUGCACUCGAGCAUCAUUAUAGACAAGCUGAGCGAGAGUGGUUUUGCCCAGCCCGCCCAUGCCUAUAAUAGGAAUAACAGAGAAUUCACCAUCAUUUCUCAAAUCAUCCCUCAACAACAAUUCAACAAUUUUAUUCUUUUCUGUUUCCCUCCCAUAUACCUUGGCUUCAGUCACUAAAGAGGUUGUGGGUAGUCUUUGCCUGUCUUUUCUGGACCUCCCAGCUGAACUUACGUUCAAACCGAGCGAGUCUUUCUGUGUUACAAUAUCUUGAAAUCUGUCGUUGAUCUCUUUGAUUUUGGACAUUAUGGCGUAAUCGAACUGAAUCGAUUGUGGAGUAAAAGUGGUGCAGCAAGUAGGAAUGAGCUUCCGAAACUUAUUUGUUCUUGUACGACUGCUACUGGGUUGAUCAAGAGCAGCAGCUGGAUCUCCAUUUCCAAGCAGCAACUUCCUCCGGAAAACCUCAGUUUGAAACUCAUCCAGCAAGUCUUCAACAUCAAAAGCCAAGUUCUGAAGCUCGGCAAGCCACAACUUCACAGACUGAUCAGUCUUCUUCUCCUCAGCAUCAGCAAGCACCGCCUUGAUCAUCACCAACAUAUUCUUCCACUUCUUUAGGUCGGCUUCGAUUUGCUCUUGGCGUGCAAACAGCCGAAUCCCCUCUGAAGCUAACUUAUUGACCAGCAAAUCAACGGACGCCGUAAGGAUUGCCUCUCCGAUGAAUGACAUUUUUUUCUUCUUUUUCUUUUUUUUGGUUUUGCAAAGAAAGAAAGGAGCAGAAUUAUGGGUUAUGGAAAGCAGAAUGAGAAAAUGGAUAAUUAAGCAGAAUGAGUUUGUGAUUGUGAAGGGUCUGGCCCAGCAAGCUUAGUAGAAAUCACGCGUUUAUACUUUAUUGACCAAUGACUAAUAAUUUGGCAAUUCACUCAUCACCACCACUUGGUAAGCAAAAUGAAAAUGCUUAGUAAUUAAGUGUCAAGGGUCAAGCAAAAUACGACGUAAAAUGUGUCAAGGGUCUCUCCACUACUUGUUCCUUGCAGCUUAGAAAAGAAAAACAGAGCCCACCACCCAUUAAUAAUUUAGCAAUUCACCAAUCAUCACCACUUGUUACGAAACCAUCUCAUAAACCAAGUUCGUAGGUCGAGCAGUUAAUCCAGUGUCUAUUUCCUAGAACCUUCAUCUCAUAAACCAAGUUCAAUCAAAACGUUCCUCUCUCGCUAUUUUUUUUUUUUUUUUCAAAACUCCUAAAACGCUUCUUUUUAGAAAUAUUUUACUUUAUUCAUCUAAUAUGUUAUCUAACAAAUAGACACAAUUGAAAUCACUCUAAAGUGAAGAUGAAAGGGGAAAAAAAUAACCUUCCAACCACCAGUAAUUUAGCAAGCUUCACUUUAUUCCACCAAAGUGUAAAUAAAGCCAGCCCCCACCACCAUCAAUAAUUUUGCAAGCUUCACACGCUUGUCGUCUUCUCCUUGACGAACUGGACAUGAGUGCACCAAGAAUCAAUGACAGAAUUUUAAAAAUAAUAAUAAGAGAAAAACCUACACAUUUUCGACUUAGAGUAGAACCGUAACUAAUGCUAAAAUCUACUCAGCUAACAUUUUCAAAAUAUUGUUCUUUAUGAUUUUCAAAACCGUGAUUAAGGUUCAUCUCAAAUGUUUGAAGAGAGUCUAUCAGUUCUUCUACGCUAAGAAUAUCAAAAUUCUUGCUUUUUCUUCAAACGUUGAAUAAUGAAAAAAAAAAGUUGAAUAUGGAGGAAAAUAGAAUGCAUCCAUCUUCGCUGUAGAAGUCUUCUACUUAUAAAAGCAAGUUAGAAUAAAUGAUUUUAAUCUCUCUUUUUAUUCCUGUAAGUGCACUACAUUUUUUUUUUUUUAUCUCAAUGCGAAGUCGUAUCAUAAUGUUAUAUACCUGUUGUAAAACAAAAUUUUAGAUAAAACAAAUUCGACUCAUGUUUUAAAGGUAUAUAUUUAGUAGGUUACUAACAUAACUAACAAAACGUGAUUAUUACACUAAAUGAAAUAAAAGACAGUACUAUCACCAAUAAUUUAGCAAGUUUCGCAUGCACGAGUUUCUAAAAACAUUAUAUGGAAUCAAUCAACAGUGAUACAAAGAGAAAAGUGGAAAUCCUCUUAUUGUAUUUUUUUUUUCUUUUUCAAAAGAAAUGGUGGGGUUGGUUUGUUUGCAAAGUUAUUAGCGUGUGUCUAUUUGUUUUUGUUUUAACUUUAUUUUUUUUUAAACUAUUCAAUUUCUGGCGACCGUAUUAAGUCGCGACUAAUCCGAAUUUGAAGUAUAAUCAUAAUUAAGGCAUCUUACCCCUCCUAAAUGGUGUAUUUAGUGGGGAUCGAACCCGAGAACUCUUUGCACAAUCCAACCAGUGUUGCCAACUGAGCCAUAACCAUUUGGUUUGUUUUAACUUUAUUAAUCGAUAAGCAAUCGUGUAAUGAUUUGUAAAUAUCACUAGCAUCACAUUAUUGGGAGGUAUUGGGCUUAGUAUUCACAAUUUUUGUAAGAUGAAUUUGUAAGACAAAUUAAUUUUGAUGAAAAUGUAUCGAUAUUAAGAUAUUAUUUAAUUAUAUUAUUUAAUUCAUUAAGUUAACUUGAGGUAUUAAUAUUCACUAAUUGUGGUGCUGAUUAAUUUACUUAACUUGUCACUAUUUGCAAUUAAGAAUGAGGUUCAAUCAAUUUAUUGGGAAAAAAAAACAAAGAUUUGAUUUUAAUUCUUAGGAUUUGAUUUCGCUCUCUUUCGCUAUUUUACGUUGCUAAAGAGGCAGUAAAAAGCUUGCUGAGUGUCAUCAAAUGCUUGUAUCUCAUCUCACAAAUUGGCAAUAUUUGUUUGGUAUUUCAUCUCAACGGAUGCAGUAAGGAUUGCCUCUCCGAUGACUGACAUUUUUUUUCUUUUUUCCAGCAAAGAACGAAACAGAAUUUUGAGUUUCGAAAAGCAAAAUGAGAAAAUUGAGCAAUUCACCAAUCGGUCAAGCAAAAUGCGCGUAACAAGUCUUCCGCUUCUUGUUUAUUCCAGGAAAGUGCAAAUAAAAAUAGAGCCCACCACCCAGUAAUAAUUGAGCAAUUCACCAAUUACGAGUCACCACCACUCGUUACCAUGAAUAUAAUAAAUUGCAUCUUGAUAUUUGCAGGGUCCAGCAACAUUGACCCAGUGUCCGGGUAAAUGCUGAAUAACGAGGAAAAUGGAAUGUAUCCGCUACGAACCUUCGCUUUGCAAGUCUUCAAACUCAUAAACCAAGUUAAAUCAAAACGUUUAUCUCUCUCUCUCUCUUUUUGCCAUAUAAUUACUUUAUUUAUUGAAUUAAUUUCCAUGCUAAAAGGAAGACUUAAAAGUGCACUACAAUUUUUUUAUAAUCACAAUGGUAAUUUCUACUAUCAUGUUAUUUUAAUGUCGUGUUAAAAUAAAUUAUUACAAAAUUUUUUUUAUGAACACUCUUUUCAUUUAUAAAUUUUUUAAUUUUUAAUAUUUUCUCACUAUUUUUAGUCUUAAUAUUUAUAUUUCUCUCUUCAAACUUUCUUUAUUAUUUAAUUUUUUAAAAAAAUAUGAAAAAAAGUAAAAAAAAUAUUAUAUUUAAAAAAUAGUGAAUAUUUUAUGGAUCUAUUACAAGUCUGUAUUGUUUUUGACAAUGAAAGAGCACGCGAAAAAUCUCACUCAUAGAAAACUUUGUGAAAGGCAUUUGAAUGUGUGGCCACAUUUUCCGAACGAAACGAUAAGGCUUUAGCCUUAUAAUUGCAAUUAGUUUGUCUUGUAACUAAAUUAUUGCCGACAAACACCAUCAUGCUGACAAACCGUGCAUGCACGUCCUCAAUCACCCACCCUUCAAACAAUCCUUACUGAACUUCAAUCCUUGCAUCUCCACUCUCCAAUGUACUUCCCCAGAGGGAAAACCAUUAGCGAUUCUCAAAGACUUUGACAUUGUGGACAAAGUGGUUGUAAGGGGUGGGGAUUAACAUGUCUCCAAACGACAAGCAGCCAUGCAUGUAAUUAGUCACAAGUUGCUUUGAAAUAAAAUAAAUAGUUACUUGACAUUUGGCUCACUGAUUAGUUUCCCGUAUUUCCCAUUACUUCCCGUACUUUAUGCUUUAUUGUUUUGUAUGUCUUUUGGUGUUUACGGUGUAGUUAGGGAUGGUAGCGGGUAGGGUCUGGUACGGGUUUGACAUCACCAAACCCGCAGCUACAAAAAAAAUUAAUUACUAAAUUCGCUGUGGGUUAUAUUUAAUUUUAUUUUUUUAACAAAGCCCAUUCACUGUGUGUUUGAUUGGUGCCUAGUGGAUACUCAUUAGCGGUGGGCAUUAAGAUCGGAUUAACUCGAACCGAAUCUUAAAUUUAUUUUGAGUUCAAUUUGAUUUUGGUUGAACCUUUCAACUGAGUUGAAAACUUAUAAACGAUUGCGUUGUAUUUCUGUUCGAAUUUAACAACAAACUAAGCUACCUAAUCAACUUAAGUAAGCAAAUUUUAAAAAAAAUCCCAAAAAAUUAAAUCUAACCCUAAUUAAAAAAAUUCAACCGAGGCCUCCUUCUCGUCUUCUUUUCUUCUUCUUCCUCUUGCUCACCCCUAAUGCCCCAUUAAUGGAAUUCCAACAGCUAGAAACGCGUUUCAGCCGCUUGCGCGUGUAAGAAAUUUUCCUUCCCAUAGGAUUGUUCGUUUCCUUGGCUUGCAUUAAUAAAUUUGAAGAACAAUUAAAAAUUAAAAGAAAAUAAAAAGUGCUUUCUUUUUUAACGAUGAUAAUUUGUUCGGAUGAUGAAAAUUCUUAGAGUGGUAUAAUAAGUAUUUUCGAGUGUUGCCAUCGCGAAUAAUAUUUAAUUUCAUUUAUAUAGUUAUAUCUCAAGUAACAUUUAAACAGAAGCAAGUUGGAAAUUAAAAAAAAAAAAAAAAGAACCAUUGAGAGAAUGAAAAACUAACCAAAAAAAAAAGUUAAAAAUUUGUAUCUCAAUAAAUUUACUUGAGAGCUACUCUACUAAUCCGUGAAGAGAAAACACAAAGAAUAAUGAUGUAUCUUAAUUAAUAGGACAAUUUUUGUAUUUUUCGUUUAUUUAAGAAUCAUGAAACUUCAUUUAAACUUGUUAUUUCAUUGAUAAUAUAUUAAUAUUGAACAAUUUAGGAGACAUUCCUUUCCAAUUAUGCCCAUGUAUUAAUUAAAAACCACAAAAACGUUCAGGGAUACUAUAGUAAUUUAAGUCAACAAUUUAUGUGCUUGAAAUCAUCCGAUUAGACUCACUUCAGAAUAAACUAAGAUAUCAAAAUCACAUUCUUCAAUUCUACAAUUUCAAUUCAUCUUCAUAACUUCAACUGAAGAAUUGAUUUUAUCUCGUUUUAAUUUUUUUUAUGUAAAGAUAAAUAUAAAAUAUAAAUGGCGAGGAGACUGGAAAAGUAAAAUCAAAAGAAGAGCACGAGUUUUAUUGAAAAUUACUCUUUUUCAUCAUUUUGCCGGAGUGAAUGUAUCUACAUUUAAACAAAAGAAGCACAUUUGUUUGUAUUAACUUUUUUAUUGUAUUUUUAAUAAUAAGUCAUUUUUCAAUUAACUUAUAUCAUUUUUUACGAAAAUAAUAGGUGUUAGUUAGUUGAUUCAAAUGGCAAGACCUCUUGGGAUAGAGUUUGUAAUUUAGUGGCUUAUCAAUUGUUUAAAUAGGCAUUAUUAGAGCCAAAUUAUUGUAUUUGGUUAAAAAAGCUCCUACUUAGCUUACAACUUUAUUAUCCUAUUAUGUUUAUUAAUAAAUAACAAUUUUAUUGAAAAAAAAAAGAUAUGUUGAAAAGAUACAAAAAAUUUGGGAUGUAAAUCUUACUCGAAUUUAGCUUGAGGUUGGCAUUGUUAGCAUAAUAUUUGAAGAUAUAUUUUUUAAAUUAAAAAAAAAAAUUGGGUUCACACUAGUUAGUUUUAACUCAUAGUGAGAUUUAAACAAAAACGGAAUAAUAAAUCUUGAUAUCUUAACUCAUGGAUAACAUCUACAUAAAAUAAUAAAAUCUAUUGUGUCGAAAAUAAGGGGUCUAAAGUUUGAAUUUCGCUCACAUAGGUAGCAAGAGAAUUAAAUUAUUGUUAGAUUAAAUUAAUUAAAAAAAUUAUCUGAUAUCCAAAACACAGCAUAUCAAAAAAAUUGAAAUAAAAGAAAAUUGAAAAGCAAAACGAUUGAGAGAACGAAAAACUCACACAAGAAACUGCCGAUAAUUAAUUGCCUCAGCGGGCACCAACUUAAUUAUGCUUAUUAAAGCAUGGGUUAUUUCAUUUUCAUUGAUAAUCAUUUUGACACCGGUCAAAUUUAAAAGUUUAAAUAAUGGGGGCCAUUUUUCUUUCCAGCUAUGCCCAUUAGCUAAUAAAAGAACCGCCGAAAGGGUUCGGGGAUAAUAUAGUAAUAUGAUUGAUAAUCAUUUUGGAGCUGAGUAUUCUUCGUUCCACAUUUUGGGUUUUGGUUGACCAUAUUUUAAUACUUUUCUGGAAAACAAAUAUAUAUUUAUUGACUUGUAAUGGGUGCAACUCAUGUUUUUGAAACAUUAAGAUCUUUACUUACUUACACUAAUACGGCAACUGCUGCUUGCUUUUUUUUUUUUUCCUUUUGACUUUUAUUUUUACUUUUUGACUUUUGCUUUUGGUUAAUAAUAAUAAUAAUAAUAAUAACAACUUUUUAAUUUAAUAUAAUAUUAAAUAAUAUUUUUAUUUUUACAUUAUAAUUUAUUAUAACUAAUAAUAAAUAUUUAAAUUUGAAUAAUAUUAAUUUAAAAUUAAUAAUAAUAUAAAUAAUAAUAUAAAAUAUUAAUACAAUUUAAAUAUAGUAAUAUAAUAUAAUAUUUAAUUUAAAUUAAUCACAAAAAUUAAUACAAUACAUUGUAGCACCAAAUAUUAUACAGUAUUACUAUAAUACAGUACUGAUACAAUUUGAGGGAGAUUGUCAGCUUUUUUGGAUUAAAAAUAAUAUAUACCACUUACUCUUUAUUGUUUUUAUAAUGUUCAACAAUGAUAAAAAAAAAACGAAAAGAAGAAAUAAAUAGAUGAUUUGCUUGAAAUUGUAUCUUAGAAAUAUAAAAUAUAUAUUUAUUAUUAAAAAUAAUAAAGAGUACAUAAAAAAAUAUCUUAUCCUCAACAACAAGAUCAGACGACGUCAAUUCAGCAAAAUGACUUGUACAAUUUGAAAGUCCAGCGACGGUCACCUCUUGGCACACAUACGGCAACGUGUGUAGCUUUGGCAAGAGGUCUCCCAAAAGGACGAUUAAGGAAAGAUUGCAAGACAAAAUCAUGAAAAUAGUAGUACAGAUAUCCAAUCGCAAACAAGUCUUAGAAAUCGCACCCCUGUAUUAAUUUCCAGAAAUAUGUUUGUUCCAUAUUUAUCGUGCACGUAUACAUUGUAUGUAUUGGGAAUAGAAAGAGUGUAUGAAAAAAAUUCUUCAUUCAUCAAUUAAAACUUAACUUAUGUACGAGGGUUAAGUGUAGAGUUUUUAAAUUUGAAACGGAUAAGUAUUAUAGUCCAUUUCAAUUUAGAUACAAGUACUUCGAACUUAUAUUUGAGGCAAAAAUCUGUAUACCAUAGUACAUAUUAUAUAUCCAGUCAUGGGAUCCAUGCAUGGUUCCAUGUCAUUCGCAGAGUUGAACUGGAGACACUGAUUAUGUACAAGUAAUUGCAUGCACCAUUUGCGCCUUAUCUAUCACCCUGCUUGCAUUGCAUUAACUACGUCCCCAAUCACCCACGUCCGCUACUUGUGUGAACGUGUAUAUAAAUAUAUAUAUCCGCAGCAUAUUAUCAAACCAGAAUCAGAAGCAACUUAAGUUUUGAUUACGGUUCACCAGAAGUCACAGCUAGCAAGUGAUCCUUGCAUCAUUUUGCAUCAAAGUAAGAAACAGAGCUAACGAGAGAUGGACAAGUAUUAACCAUCGUUACCAGAAAUUAAAUAUGUCCGCAUUUUGUCAGUUCUGGCCAUAUUUUGAAAGAUUGGAACUAUUAGCACCCUAAUUUUCUUUUGAAGCUCCUUUUCUGUGGAAACCUAUUUUAAUUUCCAAAAUAUCUUUUUCCAUUCUUUUAGUUUCUUUCUGAUUCAAAAAAAAUAAAUCAGUUUCUUAAAUAACUCCAACUACAAAUAUUUUUUUACAAAUUUUUGAAUUGUUAAAUCAUAUGUGUGUGUAUAAAUUGAAUAGAAUUAAAAGUGAACUCAAAUGGUUAUUAUGUAAUUUUUUAUAAUUAAAGAAAAGUUUAGAAUGCAAAAGUGUGUGUGAGAAAACAAAAAAUAUAAAUCGCCUUUGAUGUAGUUGUAUGAUUGUAAAGAGUUAAAUGGAGAAAUAUAGUAUAUAGUUAAAUUUAUUUUGUUCUUUAAAACGGGUAGGUUUUAUAAGAAAUUUUUAGAGGAGUGCCAAUAUUUCAACUCUUUUUCAAAUGAAGUGAUGUCCAAGAAUAAAAUCACUACUCUAUCAUUGCUAUUAGUUUGUCUUGUAUUUCAAUCACUGCCGACAAGUAUUAAUUAUGAAUAUUAUUAUUUUAAAAAUAUUAUUAUUAUUAUCGUCGUUAUUCUUAACAGCAAUGACUAGAAUUAUAAUAAGAACAAUAACGUUAAUACAAUAAUAUAACAACAUAAUAAUAUUUUAAUUGAGAGGAUAAGAAUGAAAUUAUGAAAUUUAAGUUGGGUAAAAUGGUGAGUAUGAGGAAAUUAAAUUAUCAUUCUUUAAGCUAAAUAGUUCGUAAAUCCCACAUAUUUCAUUCUUAUUUCUCUUAUAUUUUAAUAAGUAAAUAUUAUUAAUUAUUUUAAUAUUUUAAUUAAUAAACACGACAUUAACUACGGAACUAAAAGAUCCCCAAAAAAAAAAAAAAGGGGAGACGCGUCUAUGUAUUGCUUGUGACAAGUCUCACCCAUGGAAAACUUUGUGAAAGGCAUUUGAAUGUGUGGCCGCAUUUAAUGAACGAAACGAUAACUUUAAAAGAAAGUAUGUACUGUGUUAAUUAUUAGGCUUUAGCUUAAUGAUUGCAAUUAGUUUGUCUUGUAAUUAAAUUAUUGCCGACAAACACUAUCACGACUCACGUCCGCUACUUGUGUGAAUGUGUGUAUAAAUAUACGCAGCAUAUUAUCAUCUUUUCUAAUUCGAAGAAGAUGGAAACUCCUUAUCCAGGUUAUUAGGCCAUGUUUAGUUGAAUGUCAUUUAUAAUUUUUAUUUUAAUAUUAUGUAUUUAUGAAUACAAUUAUUGUUAUGAUUUGUUUAGGUAAGAAUAGAUGAUCUGAGGGUAACCCAAUAACUAUGUACAAUAUUAUUAAUGGUGAGAGCGUGAAUAACAAUUUAGAUUUUAUUCUCGUCCCUUAAUACGGAAGAAAUAUUGAUCAUAGCGGUUAAAUGCUAUGCAACUCUUUCAUAUUAUGUUUAAUUAAUAAUAAAAUGAUGGGUUAUUAUUACCUGUCAAUUAUGUGAGGAGUGUCUUUGUUUGGUUUAGUUACACUUAUAAAAUCUCUUGAGAUAUACAAGAGAUUUUCUUUAUUUAAUUUUGUGUACCCUGUCUUCUUGUAAAAAGAAAUUAAUAAAAAGAAAAUCAUUGUGUGCAAUGUAUUAACUAAGUUAGUGUAUUCAUGUUAGCUUAAUUGUGCUCUCUCUUCUUGAUAUUUAAAAAAAAAAAAAAAAACUCCACAUAUUAUUGGUUAGCUAAUUCUUGCAGCUAGCAAGUGAUCAUUUUCUUUCCCCUACUGCCGUAGCAUCAAAUCCUUACAAUUACAUAUCAAGUGGUAGUCGAGCCGUCAAAUGAUCCAUGGAAACGCGCAACAAAUCAAAUGCUGAAUUUUGCGAAGAGAUUCACGAAAUCCUUGCUAUACAUGAGUCUAGUUUUGACCAAGUUCACGUCACUCAUCAGCUGCGGGGUUUUUUUUUUUUUAUUACAUGAGACUAUUGCUCAGAUUACAACUCAUAUACAUGAGAUUAUUACUGAUAUUUACAAAUCAGACUAUUACUGGGACCAACUUACAUCAAUGCUAAUGGAGCUCUGCCCAGAUUUUAACCUUCACAAAUAUUUGAGGGAUGUCUACUCCUCACUCAUGGGUAAGGGAGAAGACUAUUUUCACUCAAAUUAAUUGAGGAAGGAAAUACCCCCACAAUGCUUUUGUGGGGGAGAAGACUACCAUCAGCUGCGGGUUUGAAUGGUACCUAGUGGAUAUUUUGUGAGUUCCCACUAAUAAAAUCACACUUGCAACAAAACUUAAAAAUUUAAAUUACGUAAUUUAAAUUAUAAAUUUAUAAUCGUAGCCUAAAAAAUCACAUAAAAUACUUAAUUCUAGAUUUUAUCAAUGUAAAUGAGAAAUAAAAGUUUUAACAUUAAAAUAAAUACACAAAAUAUAUCAAUUUAACCUAAAUUCUCAAAUUUAAUUACCAAAUACAUAAGUCUAUCGCAACUCAAAGAGCUUUCAAUUGAAAAUGAAAAAAGAGAAAGAGAAAAAAAAAACACUACAAAUCAAAGUAGCACCCAUGACCCAUUUCGCGGUCUCAUUCAAUACCACUAGCACCCAUCCAACAUGAUUUUUCUAAACAAAGUAUAAAGUACAAAAUUACAAUAAGCAUAUCAUACUUCAUGCUUUAAGUUAAAGAUCCUUAUAUAUUUUUAUGAAUAAAUUUUUAAUGAAAUUUUAUGAUUAAAAUUAAAAAUACAAACAUUCAAAUAAGAAUGUCGGACACUUGCACAACUAUUUAUCAAAGUUUUUCUCUAUAAAAAUCGACCUGCAACUUUCAAUAGGUUUAAAUUUAUAAUAUCAAACCUAAUUGCAGCUUGCAAAAAUUAUCCGUUGCGGCCAAGACUUUGGAUUUGCGAUGAUUUUGCCACCCUAAGUGUAGUUAGUAUUGUAUAUCAUGUGGCUCUUAUAAAAAGCCUAGAAGUUGUUUGAAUAACGGGGGAGACACAUAUCGCCCAAAGAUUUUCUCUUUUUCAAAUUAUUAUUUUUUCUCUAUUAUUGUAACUUCGAAUCCUUAUAAAUUACAGAUUGGAGACAUGAACACAAUGUUUUGACAUAGUGGACUUUUGGCUUUGUCCUGAGAAAUUUAGGAUAGAUUUUUACGCACUAAGGCUCUAUUUACUAUUGAGGUUUUAGAACUUUUAAGCCACACUAGAAAUUUGUAUUGUUUUGAUAGAGUUCUAGUUCUUGAUAUGUGAUUGGUAUUAAUCAAGUGUUAUGUUUACAAUAGUUAAAUGCAUAUUGAAUCAAAAUCCACUUCUAAGGGCUUGAUUGAGUGAUUGUAAAGUAGGUUUUUAGUUUGCUAGCCACUCAAGUUCAAAUAUUGGAACCACAAAGCUUAUAGCCAGGUGAGAGAACUUGUGCCCUAAAAAUUGAGGGGUGCAUAUCGAGUUUUACCACCAAUAAAAGUUGGUGUUAAAACUUUAAUUUCUCAUCUAUUGAUGGAUAGGGGUGAUUAGGAGUUUACAUCUCCUCCUAUUAAUAGACAAGGGUUAUUAGGAAUAUUAAAAAAAAAGUUCAAAUAAUGAAAAUGUAGGUAUGGGUUAUAAAAUUCAUAAUAUAAAGACACAAAAUCAAGAUAAAGAUUUAAAAAUUUAGAACUAUGAGAGUGUGACUUGUAAGUUUCAAAGAAGCGUGUGCAAAUAUAUGCAUUAUCGAUGCCCAAUUAAGGGUGGGCAUUAAGAUCAGGUUAACCCGAAUCGAACCGAACCGAACUUAAAAUUUAUUUUGGAUUCAAUUUGGUUAUGGUUGAAGUUUUCAACUAAGUUCAAAACUUAAAAAUGAUUGGGUUGUUGUUCUGUUCGAAUUUAACCCCAAAAGACUAAUCAAUCCAAUCGAGUUAAGUAAGCAAAUUAAGAAAAAAAAUCCCAAAAAAUUAAAACUAACCCUAACUAAAAUAUUCGACCGCGGCCUCCUCGUUUUCUUUUCUUCUUCCUCCUCUCGCUCACCCCUAAUGCCCUUCAUGGAAAUCCAACAGCUCCAAACGCGUUUCGGCCGCUCGCACGUGUGAGAAAUUUUCCUUCUCAUAGGAUUAUUCGUUUCCUUCGCUUGCAUGCCAGCAAAACCCAAUCAUAAGUUCAUAACGUUUAGCGUUUGCUAUUACUAUAAUUUUUUUUAACCAAUUUUCACAUUCAUCAACAUCGGCUGACAGAUUUUGUAGAAAAUUAAAUUAAAUAAAAAUACAAGCUCACGAAAUUCCUUUUACACCUUUCACGUGCUUUUCUUUUUUUGGUGGGGGGGUGAAUUCACUUGCUUUUGUUUGCAUUGCCUUAUUGGAUAAAAGUUUGUAGAACAUCGUCUGUUUGGUUAAAGCCGAGCAUGAGUGAAGAAAAAUUAAAAAUAAAUAAUUUCCCAUUAAUUUGCAACAAGUAUUAAUAAAGUGCAUGAGAAAAGACACCAAGAUAUGCCUUUUUUUAAAUGAAAAUAAAUGUGUUAAUUAGUCAAUUUAAAUGGUAUGAUAUUUUGAAAUGAUAGAAGCGAUCUAAAGUUUAAAUCUUACUCACACUUAAUUUAGGGUUGGGGAUUAAUUGACGUAAUAUAUAAUAACGAAUUCGAAAGACAAUUAAAAAUUAAAAGAAAAUAAAAAAGUGCUUUCUUUUUUAUGAUGGUAAUUUGUUUAGAUGAUGAAAACUCUUAGAGUGGUAUUAUCAAUACAUAGUUUCGAGCGUUGCCAACGUGAAUAAUAUUUAAUUUCCUUUAUAUAGUUAUAUCUCAACUAACAUUUAAACAGAAGUAAGUUGUAAAAAAAAUGAACCAUUGAGAUUUGAGAGAACGAAAAACUAAAAAAAAAAGUUAAAAAAUCAGAUCUCAAUAAAUUUACUUGAGAACUACUUUACUGAUUAGUGAAGAGAAAACGCAAAGAAUAAUGAUGUAUCUCAAUUAAUAGGACAAUUUUUGUAUUUUUCGUUUAUUCAAGAAUCAUGAAACUUCAUUUAAACUUGUUAUUUCAUUGAUAAUAUAUUAAUAUUGAACAAUUAAUGUAGGAGACAUUCCUUUCCAAUUAUGCCCAUAUAUUAAUUAAAGACCACCAAAAAGUUCAGGGAUACUAUAGUAAUUUAAGUCAACAAUUUAUGUGCUUGAAAUCAGCCGAUCAAACUCACUUUAGAAUAAACUGAGAAAUCAAAAUCGCAUUCUCCGAUUCCACGAUUUCAAUUCAUCUUAUUUCUUCAACUGAAAAAUUGGUUGUAUAUCGUUUUAUUUUAUUUUUAUUUUUAUAUAAAAAUAAAUAUAAAAUAUAAAUGACGAGGAGACUGUAAAAGUAAAAUUAAAAGAACACAAGUUUUAUUGAAAAUGACUCUUUUCAUCAUUUUGCCGGAGUGAAUGUAUCUACAUAUAAACUAAAGAAGCACAUUUAUUUGUAUUAGCUUUUUUAUUGUAUUUUUAAUAAUAAGUCAUUUGUCAAUAAACUUAUAUCAAUUUUUACGAAAAUAAUAGGUGUUAGUUAGAUUAUUCAAAUGGCAAAACCUCUUGGGAUAGAGCUUGUAAUUUAGUGGCUCAUGAAUUGUCUAAAUUGACACUACCGAAUUAUUGUAUUUGGUUAAAAAAGCUCCUACUCUGCUUCAACUUUAUUAUCCUAUGAUGUUUAUUAAUAAAUAGCAAUUUUAUUGAAAAAAAAAAAGACCUCUUGAAAUGAUACAAAAGAUUUGGGAUAUGAAUCUCACUCGAAUUUAGCUUGAGGUUGGCAUGGUUAGCAUAAUAUUUGAAGAUAGAUUUUUUUUUAAUUAAAAAUCAAAAGAUUUUUUUUUGGGGUUCAUACUAGUUAGUUUUAACUCAUAGUGAGAUUUAAACAAAAACGGAAUAAUAAAUCUUGAUAUCCUGACUCAUGGAUAAUGUAUAGAUAAGAUAGUAAAAUUUAUUGUGUCUGAAAAUAAGAGGUCUAAAGUUUGAAUUUCGCUCACAUAGGUAGUAAGAGAAUCAAAUUAUUGAUAGAUUAAAUUAAUUAAAAAAAUUUCUGAUAUCCGAAACAACAUAUCAACAAAAUUGAAAUAAAAGAAAAUUGAAGAGAAAAACCAUUGAGAGAACGAAAAAUUAACACCAGAAAAUUUCUAUAACUAAUUGUAUCAGUGUGCGCCAACUUCACUUAUUAAAACAUGCUUAUUUCAUUUUCAUGGAUAAUCAUUUAAAAAAAUAUGGGCUUUUUCUGUGCUUCAAAUCAUCAAAUCAAACUCACACCUCACAAAAGCAGAGAAAUCAAACGGUUUCCGACUCUACGCUUUAAAUUCAACUGAAGAAUCGGUCGUCUCUCAUUUUUUAUUUAUUAUAUAAAGAUAAAUAUCUAAAUUUAAAUGGCGAGAAGAGCGGACGAGGAAUACGAUUACUUGUUCAAAGUGGUAUUAAUCGGCGAUUCGGGAGUCGGCAAUUCGAACUUACUCUCCCGAUUUACUCGUAACGAGUUCUGUUUGGAGUCCAAAUCCACUAUUGGCGUCGAAUUCGCCACCCGCACUCUUCAAGUAACUAACUUUUCCUCUUUCCCUUCACUUCUUUUUUAUUAAUUAAUUAAUUAAUUAAGAUCCAGUUAAUGUAAUUAAUUUUAUUUAAUCUUUUAAAUAAAGUUCUAGAUUAGGCUAACUUAGAUUCAUGUGAAGUUGAAGUGAUUUACUUUCGAUCUCUUUUUCGUCCUAUGUUUAUUUGUACUUACUAUUACUUUUUUUUGGGUUUAAAUUUUCGUUUUUGAAGUGUUUACUGAAUAAAUUUCUGAGCUUUAUUUGUGUAUGCUGAUUGAUUUGUGAUUUUAAUUUUGUGACUUUUUUUUUGGAAUUUAAAUUUGAAUGCUUUUUAAGUUGAAUCUGAAUGUGUUGGGCUGCAAUUUAAUUAAGUCAUCUGUGAGCGCCAAAUUGUGAUAGCUAUAUAUUGGGGUGAAAAUUUGGGAUUUAAAGUUAUGUAUUUAAGAUGCAGUUAAUUCGCAAGUGAAAAUUAUGGGCCGGCAGAUUUUGUCAUUGGAAGACUGUUCUCCACAUGUUGAAGUUAGUGAUGCAAGUUGAAACCAAUCUGUUUAAGCUUGGGGUUUCAUGUCUUGAAUCAAGGCUGUGACUUGGGGUGGGUUGAAAGUAUUAUAGCUUUAGCUAUUCCUGAAGUGAUCUGUUUAGACUCACCGUGAUGAGACCGAGUGCUGUACAGUAAAAUGAAAGGAAGUUGGAAAAUAUUUACUUAGCAUUUCGCGUUACUAAUGUUGAACUAAUAAAACCUAGCCCCUAUCCUAGUGAAUUUAUCUUAAAAUAAUAGCAAUAAUAAGUGGACAAAGCUAAGUUCCAGAGGUGAGAUAGGAAAUUCUCCCACACGACACAGCACAAACAAACUUUCCCUUUCAUUUUCUUUUCUUUUCUUUUUCUUGCUCUCCAAACAGAGCAAAAGUAACGUCGCAAGAUUCUUCACUUCCAUCCAAAAUCAUGAGCAACGAAUAGCGAGCCUCCCUGUUUCCUUCCUUUUUUUGAUAUUAACAUUGUUAACAUCUACUCAUUUUCAUUUGACAAUACUUCAAUUUUUUUAAUUUUUGGCUUUUCAUUUUUUUUUGUUGCCAAACCGAUUAUCUGUUCAAGCUGUUGCUUAUCGGAGACUCGUCCAUCGGAAAGUCCUGCCUGCUGCUCCGAUUUGCUGUCUGUUGACUCUUCCUUUUCCUCUUUAUUUUCUUUUUUUUUUUAUAUAAAUUACUUUCUAUUUUAGCUUUUUGUUCUUUGAAUUUGUGUUAUUAAAAUGAUAAUUUAGAUGGUAAAUAAUUGUUAUUCUUGGAAAUUUCAGUUUUCAUUACGUUAAUUACUAGUUUUUAGGUUUAUUAAUGUAAUUUUUUUUUUAAUUUUUCAGGAUGAUUCUUAUGUCGACAGCUACAUCAGUACCAUUGGAGUAGAUUUUGUGAGUCUCUCUUCUAUAUAUAUGUAUAUAUGUGUAUAAGUUAUAGUAUGAGUCUAUGUACGUGUAUGUAUGUAUGUGUAUGCAUAUGUGGAAAGAAAUGUUGGCAGACUUCAGCAUUUUACUUUUUUUUUUUUUAAUUUUGGCAGAAAAUAAGAACUGUGGAGCUGGAUGGGAAGACGAUCAAACUGCAGAUUGUGAGUCAAAAUUUCCUUUUAUCCUGUAUUGAGAGAAAUUCGACUUGUCUUAUUUAGUGAAGGUUAUGUUCAAGAACCUUGUGUUAUUUUCUUUGUUUGAAGAGUUAUAUGUCUUUUAAACAUCAUUUAGGUAAUGUCUGAUGUUUGAUUGUUUUUCAUCUGUUUAGUGGGACACUGCUGGACAGGAGCGAUUCAGGACUAUAACUAGCAGUUAUUACCGAGCCCAUGGAAUCAUAGUAAGGAGCCUUCCCUGUUCUUGGUUUAAAUCAGAAAGUUUGUGAUUUACAUGUGACAUCUUAACAACAUUGUAUGUGUUUAUUAACUUAUUUUUCAUCUUUCAUUAAGCAGUACAUUUUCCAAUAAAUCUGUAUACAAGAUGAUGUAGUCCAAGAAUGGGAGCGAUAAUAUGAUGCAUAUUGUCUAAUAAAUUCUUAUGACAUAUGAUGUUGUCGGAAGUAAAAGUCUUGCAAUGCUGUAUUCUCUUUUAAGAAAGAAUAAGUGAUACUUUUGUUUUUCCAAUUUUUUAAUUGAGCAACUGUGUGAGAUUAAUUAAAUGUGUUUGGAUUUCAACAGAUUGUCUAUGAUGUAACUGAGAUGGAGAGCUUCAAUAAUGUCAAGCAGUGGUUGAAUGAGAUUGACAGAUACGCAAAUGACAGUGUAUGCAAGCUUCUAGUUGGGAACAAAUGCGAUUUAGCUGAGAACAAGGUUGUGGACACAUAGACAGCCAAGGUAUAUUCGUGACUUCUGUCGCCUGAACUUUGAACAUAAUUUUAAGCUCUUCUCAAGUGCAUUUGCUUGGUAAGUUUCUGCAUACCCAGGACGCUCAAACUUUGGACAUUUUGUAUCUCGAGUUGGAAUCUUUUCUGUCAAUACAACUUUUUAAAAUAAGGGUUAUUAUCGUUUGAAUCCUUCAAGAAUUGCAAUAAAUCUAAAGUCCAUAAAAAAUAUGAUUCCAUCAUUUUACUAUUAUAUCCAGACAAAACCCAUUAUUUUACUACAUUUCAUUAGCACCGAUAGUUGACCUGUUGGCUGACUGAUAAAAUAUCAAUUUUGCACUUUAUAUUAAUUCUUUUUUGGUUAAAAAAUAACACACAAAGUAUUACAAUAUUAUAAAUUCAAAAUAUAAAGUAGCUACAAAUAAUUGCUAUUAGCCUAUGAAUUUAAUAUUUGAUACCUCUAUUUGUGUAAUUUUUUUCCAAGAGUGAAAUUGGUAUUUUUUUUGUACUAACGGAAAUGUAGUAAAAUGAUAAGUUUUGUAAAGAUAUAGUAGUAAAAUGAUAGGCUAAAAUACUUCUUGUAGUUGUUUGAUAUAUUGUAAUUCUUAAAGUAGUCAAUUGAUAAUAUCCCCUAAAAUAAAUGUUCGUAAUAUGUUCUCAUUUUAAUGCAACUGAUUGUUUAAUAAAAUUGUAUUUCUUUGUUAAUCUUUUUUCAUGUGCAUGCUCAGUGAGAAUUUGACUUACUAGAACACAAGUUUGACUCUUCAUUUAAAUGUCUCUUGUAUCAUAUCCUUCAAUGUUGAGUGUGAUUCCAAUAAAAUUGAGUAGGGGGAUCCUUAAAUACCUUUUCCUUUUUUCCAAGGGCCUGCCAAAUUGCUCUAAGUGGUUCUACCCUUUAUCAAUGAAUUAUGACAAUAAAAUUUUUAUUAAAGCAUUUUGUUCCUUAAAUGGUGACUAAUAGUACCCCUUUUUUUGGAGAGGAAAGCCAAACAUGCCCAAAGAGAAUCAUUUACUUUCCUCUAAUGUAUUUUCUAAUUCGUUUUGAGCCUUGAAUGUCUGUUUUGGUGCGUAUUCUCAUUCCAUGUCGAAUCUUAUCCAUAUGGACAACCCCACUUACAAAAAAGUCUAAUGAAUCUAUUGAAGUUCAUAUGAGGUUUGUGCUUUAGAUUUAGACCUCUCUCUCUCUCUCUCUCUCUCUCUCCACUUACAUGUCUUUCACUUACCUGUUUGCAUGCAUGCCCAUUCACACACUUUCAAGAUAAUACACGGUCACUCGUACUUGUGUUUUGGUUGAAUUACUGGCUGCUAACCUCUGUAAUUCAGUUUGAAACUUGCCACCCUUAGUGCUUCACUCAAAUGGUUGGUUAGGGUGAGAUCUGUAUCGUUUUCCUGGUCUCUUUCCAAGGUUAUCUAAAGGGUUUUGGCAGUCUGAUUCUUUAGGGAAUAUCAUUGCAUAAGAUAUCUAUUGUUUGUUAAUGAAUAAUUUCUAUUUAACUAGUUAUCUAUAUAAAUUGGUCAAUUUUAACUGCAUAAUUUGCAUGCAAUAAGAUUUUAUAAGAAUCUUGUUUUCAACUCAUGACUUAGACUAAUGUGAUACGUUGAGCAUUAAGCUACAAGAUCUGCACAUCAAAGUGCUUCACAAUGUUAAGGAGAAAGCAUCGUUUUCUGCUUCUUCAUGUGAUUUAAAGUUUCCAAGGUACUUAUCCAAUAAAAUGUCUUUCAAGACUUUGGAAAUGCUUUUAUGUAUGACUGAGAGAAACUUGUUGGGUUGGUUUUUAGCAACAGAUGGAGUUAUGGACUUUGUGUUGACUUGUUAUUGAUUAAGACAGUACAUCGGCUGAUCUAUUGGCAUCAAGCAGCAGAUGCAGAAAUUAUGGGUGGCAUACCAUUGUAUCCAAAUAACAUACUACAUUGAUUUUUCUGACUUUCUGUUGGUCUCCGAGUGAAAUGCAGGCAUUUGCAGAUGAACUGGGGAUUCCUUUCCUGGAGACGAGUGCCAAAGAUGCAAUCAAUGUGGAGCAGGCUUUCUUGACCAUGGCCGGCGAGAUUAAGAAAAAGUAAAAUCACUUAACUCUUUCCUUCUUGCCGACUGUUCUUAUUUAACAAUCACCAUUAUUGCUGGUUAUAUGCAUUGUGAUGAAAAUUCUGCAAUGAGUAACUUUUUACCUAAUGUUUUCUGUUGGAACAAAUUACUCUGGUAGAAAAGCCCUACAGGGUUUGAGAAAUCCCAUGAUGUGAUGAUUGUGAGCAUUUUAGACACCGUGUAUGGGUUUAUUUUGUGACUAUAAAAUGUUAAGAUUGUUUCUAGUUUUGGUUUGUAGUGCAUAAAAGGAUUCAAAAUUUGACAUCUGUCUAAAUCAGAUUAAUAACAUGAUAAUGUACCUAUGCAAGAUGUGAGGAAUUGUUUUAUCUCACCCCUAAACUUUAAGAAAUUGAAACAUUAUUAUUCAAAAUAUUUAACAUUUCCAGAAUUGAUAGUUGUCUAUUUGAGCAGUGACUGGUGGUUAUCAUGAACUGAUGUGUGGUUGUGGUUUCAAAUCUUGGUGAAACCUGUUGUCAUAUGCUGAUUAACAUAGCUAGUCUCUGAAACAAUUUGUUGAUUCACUAAUUAUGAGUUCAAAUUUGAUGCAGAAUGGGCAACCAGCCUUCUGCAAACAAAUCUUCUGGAACAGUUCAGAUGAAGGGAUAGCCAAUCCAGCAAAACUGCAACCGCUGUGGUUAGCCGAGCAUCUUAUUUUACUUCUACAUGUUAGCUGACUGAUUGUAGACAGUUUUAACUAUGUUGACUGCAUUAUCUUAUGAAUCUUUUAAUCUGUCAAAUAUUUAUUUCCUGGUUUAAGUUCUUUCCCGUUUAUAACAAAUUUAAUUUCUUGCUCCAUUGCAUUCCAAAUUCCUGUCAAUUUACGAGGGAAAAGGAAAAGAGAGACAAAAUGGGAGAAAAUGGUCAAAUUUGUUAGGGGGAGAGAGCUGUUCAAGUAGUUUUUGUUCUCGUUUAUUGUCAUAUCGGAUGGGUAAAGUUACCGAAACAGCGUCAUUUUGGGUGAAUUAUCAUAUUUAUGUAACACUUUUGAUAAUAUUUUUAUGCAACAAAAAAAUGUUAGUACCCUUUUCACAUUGUGAAGCGCAUGAUCGGAUGAGAGCAGUCUGUAUUCUGGCAUCACAAGCUAAUGCUUUGAUUUGCUUAGUUUGUUUUUUUUUUUUUCAUGGAAUUUGGAGAUGUUGUACAUGUAUGAAGAUGACGUAAUAAAGUUGUUUUGAUAAAUUUCCCUGGUCGGUUUACUUCACUAACCAUUAAUGCGCAAAGCCUCCUAAUGACCCUAAAAAAUCCCGUACAUAAUUAAAGAAUUUCAAUUUUAUACGUACAAAAAUAAAUAACUCUCAAAUAUAUUAUUUGAUAAUUCCAAAAACAGCAAUUCAUUCUAAUAAAUCUCGUAGGAAAUACAUGGUCUAUAUUGCAAGUUUUUUUUAGACUAAUUCAAAGAGAAAAUAUGAAGGACAUAUUAUUGUCCUUUAAUUGUCAUAAAGAACUCUAAAUAAAUUCUUAUACGCAUUGCAACUAAUUACAGCCUUGAUACUUCAUUUGGUUUUUGUUAAUUUUCUAUACAGUUGUGCUGUGCAUUAAAGUUUUGUUAAAUGAAAUCGGUAGGUGAGGAUUAAUUAAUCAAUUAAUUAAGAUCCAGUUAAUGUAAUUAAUUUUAUUUGAUUUUUUUAAUUCGAGUUCUAAAUUAAUCAAUUAAUUUAGAUUCAUGUGAAAUUGAAGUGAAUUAGUUUCGAUCUGUUUUUCGUCCUAUGUUUGUCUGUGUUUACUCUUACUUUGUUUUUUUUGUUUAAAUUUUGUUUUCUUAUUGUUUACUGAAUAAAUUUCUGAGCUUUAUUUGAGUAUGAUGAUUGAUUUGUGAUUUUAAUCUAAAUGUGUUGGGCUGCGAUUUAAUUGAGUGAUGUGUGAGCGCCAAAUAUUCAAUAACUGAUAAAUUAUAUUUAUAAAUAUUAAUAGCGAUGGCACAUAAACAAUUAAUUCAAGAACUUGCCCAUAGUGAUUAAUUUAAAGAGUAUAAGUAACAUCGCAAUACAGUCUAGCCCUUACAUGUUUAAUUAGCAAUUGAAAACUACUGUUGCUGAUGAGGUAGAACAUUAUAACACUGUUGCUGAUGAGGCAGCUGGUAAUUCUUCUGGUGAAGAUAUUAAGACUAUUAAAGCUGAAAUGUAAUUAGAGAAAUAUAAUGCAUUCCCUUAGUUUGCUUUUUGUUUUUUAUAUUUGUUUGGCUAAUGCUUUGCUUAGAUUGCUUUUUGUUUUUUGAGAUUUUAUUGGCUUAGUCGUGGGGUAUUGUUUUCUCUUCUAAUUUCUAUUUUUGUUGUUAUGGGAUUUGAUUGUGGUGUACAUAUACGAAAAUUAUGUAAUCAAAUGCUUUCAAUAAAUUAUUUAAAUUAGUUUUCAACUGAGAUUUGAAUUUUGAAAUUACAUACACAAACAAGCCCUUUUUUUAAAAUACUAAUAAUAAAAUAUUUCAUUUUUCAUCUAUUACUACAAGAGGUAUAAUCGCAAAAGUGAGGAAGGCAGUCAUCCUCUGUUCAAUUAUCAAAAACUCCUUUUACCAUCCAUUUGAACAUACAUAAUCACGCCCAAUUUGAAAAAAAAAAAGUAGUAAUUUUAAAAUAUUUCAAUCGUCCACUGUUCAGUCACCAAAAACCAAUUUACCAUCCAUUUCAACGCCUAAUUUGAAAAAAGAAAAUACUAAUAAUAAAAUAUUCCAGUCGUCCAUCCUUUCACAAACCAAAAAUAUCACCAAAAACCAAUUUCCAAUCUAUUUCAAAACAAUUUUUGCCAAAGUCCUCCUCGGCUAAUUAAUUCAUACAUUAAUACAGUCCUCCUCUGCUGAAUAAUGCAAACCCGUUACGUUAUUCUACCAUUUCUUUUUAAAGCAUUCCACCAUUUAAUAAAAAAAUUCGAAAACCCAUUAUAUACAAUACAAAAAGCCCACCGACACCAAACCAUAUUAAUUUAAAAUAGUUUUCAAUUGAGUUUUGAAUUUUAAAAUUACAUACACAAACACACCCGAUUUAAAAAAAAUAAUAAUAACACUAACAAUAAAAUAUUUCAGCCGUCCUAUGUGUUAUCGCCAAAAACGGAUUUCCAAUCUAUUUCAACGCGCGGUAUAUGAGUUAACAAGUCCCAAUACUGUCCUCCAUCCUUUCUGCACUUCUCUGCUAUCAACGGACAUCUCGAGAUCCGUAAUUCCAAAAGUGAGGAAGGCAGGCCCUUCUCCGGAAAGUAUUUGAGCUUGGGACAAUCAAAGAGAUACAAUUCAGUGAGGUUUUGAAGAUCAACAAUUGAAGAAGAUAGGCGUUCCAGAUUUGGAAAAGCUUCAAUCCACAGAGAUGUUAGAGAGGCAGGAAGAGGAAGCGCGGUCCCUAAUCUUUUGUCCUCUAGUGGAAAUGAAACCAUGUCCUCAUCGCAUCUGCUGAUUGUAAGACGUCGCAGAGAGGAGAAUCUGUGAAAUCCCCGUCCCCGCUCAAUCAUUGACUUCCAAAUCUCCAUAUUACCCCAAAUAUCAAGUGACUGAAGGUUGGUGGGAAGGCCAUCUUCUUCUUCAAGGCUUGGAAGCGCACCUCCUUUUCCUAUUCUUAAGUAUUGAAGAGAGGUCAGAUUGUGCAUUCCCUUGGGUAAGGCCUCUAGUCUCUUACAAUCAAGUAUCGUCAGCCUCGUGAGUUUCGCACAAGGCAAUCCCCCUUCGGGAAAGGACACCAGAUUUCCACAACUAUCUAUACUGAUUGUUUCAAGAGAUGUGUUGUUGUCCAACCUUUCUGCUAUUGACCCCAGAGGUAGAUUGCCAACUUCAAGGGACUCAAGCGUGGCAGGUAACUCGUUUUUUGAAAAUAUACAUGUCAGAGAUGGACAACUAAUAAUUUCUAAGUGCUCGAGAAGAGAUGAGGUGUACCUUCUGCUGCUGCUGCUACACUGGAUGCCCUCUUCCACUGUCAAAGUCCUUAUAUUAUAGCAAUCGCAGAUCUGCAACUUCUUAAGGCUCGAUGGUAGCUGGACCGCAGCAAUAUAUGUCAAGGAAUGGCACUUCUCAAUAUCCAAGAUCUCGAGAGACGAAUUGGUGUCGCACAUCCAUGCCUCUGGUAACGAUUUCAGUGCAUCACAAUGCCUAAUCUGAAUUUUCUUCAACUUGGAAGGCAGAGCAACCUCAGGAAAGGAAACAAGGGAACUGCACUUGCAGAUUUCUAUCUCUCUCAAGGAACUGAGGCUGAACGAUGAUUGUGGCAGCUUCACAAGGCCUUCGCAAUUACUCAAUCUUAGAUAUUCAAGUCUGCAUGACAACUCGCAGAGCUGCUGUUGUUGGUCUUUCUUUUCCUCCGCCACCAAGGAUUGAAGUUUGGGACAGCUGUCAAUCGUCAGUCUUUUGAGAGAGCAAAUGUCUUGCAGUAAUUCGUUAUGACUCUUCCAUAUAUGUGUUUCAUUUUUAAUAUUUUUUAUCUCCAAUUCUUCCAGUUUUGGUAUUCGCGGCUUCAAUGGCCCUGCGAGAAACACUUGAUUUGAUGUAUCUCUACAAACCACUGAAUUCUGUGAGCCGAGAUGAUCAGUUGCACUUCUCCACACAACCUUUUUACAUCCACCAAUUUCCAUUUUGCAAAGAGCUGGAAGACUCGCAAUUGAAAUUGAUAAUUCUUCGCAUUCUCCAAUAACAAGCAUCUCCAAUGCAGGAAGGUGCUCUGGAAAUGUUCCUUGCAGUUUAGAACAUCUUAAAAUGUGAAGCUCUCUCAAUUUAGGAAACCGUUCAACUCCUUGACUGGAUCCAUGAGGAAUCCACUCUUCCCACUCUUGCAGGUCUUCAAAACGAAGAGUCUCCAAGCAUGUAAAUGGAAUUUGAGAGUCAUCCCCAUAGAACUCUGAACCCAAUCUCUUUACUCUACUCAUUCCACGCACUGUAAGAUGCUUUAGAGAGGGCAGUUGGCCGACUGACGGCAGGGCAGUACACAUGCCGCAAUCUUCAAAUUUAAGUGUUACUAAAUUUAAGAAUGAGGAAUCUCCUAACCAUGUUGGAAAUUUUGUACCUCCAUAGCCACAGAUACCAAAUUGUUCCAGAUUUUUAUGGGGUUUGAGCACGUCAAGCACACCCAUUUCAGUUUCUGCCUCCCUUGAAGAUGAACCAUCGGUGCUGCAAGUCCAAUUAAGCGAUAAUUCUCUAAGAUUCUUCUUUCCAUCCAACCGAGCCUCCUUUGCAUCACCAAUGUCUUUUACAUUCUCUAAUUUUGAAAUUUUAAGUGUCCCCUGAAGAUGUAUCAAUGACUUUAGCUCUCGUAACCCAGAACCAUUGUCUUUUCCCACAGCGAAAUUACCCAGCAUUUGAAGACAAGUCAGCUUACCAAUUCCUAGUGGCAUUUCCUCCAAGGAAUCUGUAUUUGAAUUAUUGAGAUGAUGCAAUUUGAUGAGAUUUCCCAUGUCUGCACACAACUUCUUCAGUCGUCGACAGCCCUCCAAAAGAAGGGUGUGCAAGUUGUAAAGCUUGCUGACUGAUUCAGGCAGAGUUUUAAUUUCAGUUCCAGACAGGUUAAGGUGCCUUAAAUACCUCAAAUCACCAACUGAAUCCGGCAGCUCGGCUAUGCAAUAUCCACGCAGAGAGAAGACCCUUAAGCUUUGGAGUUUGAACAACUUAGGAAGAAUGCUAUGAGCCAAGUAUCCAUGCCGACUAUUUAACAUCACUGGUAAAAAAUUUCUCAAAUGUUGGAUAUCAUACAAUUUCUCAAACCUUUGAACGCCAUCAUAAUCUCCACGAAUGUACGACAGAUGACGAAGAUUUCUAGAAAAACUUUGUUGCUUGUUAACCUCCGAGGUAUACUCCAGUGUGAAGUAUGUCUCCCCUGCAGCCCAACGGGCAAGGUCGUUGAUAAGAUCGUGCAUAACAAAUCGUGACAUACUGUUGCUCGAUUGCUGGAAAAAAGAUCUUCCACGUAGCUCUUGAAAGAACUUUCGACCAAGAUCUUCACUAGGAUUCCCACUCUCUCCGUGAUUCAAGAAACCCACAGCACUCCAUAAUAAAAUUAUCUCCCCCUCUUCAAAUUCAUAAUCCUUUGGAAACAAUGAGCAAUACGCAAAGCAUUGUUUCAAAGGUGCCGAAAGAUAAUAGUAGCUCACUCUAAGCGCCGGCAUAAUGUCACAUCUCUCUUCUUGCAAUUCCCAUAUCUUGGUACUGAGCACUCUCUCCCAAUCACAUCUGUCAUCUUUUCCUCGCAAAAGUCCUCCAAGUGUUUGCGCUGCCAAGGGCAAGCCAUCGCAUUUGGCCACUAUCUUCUUGCCAAUUUCCUCCAAUAACUUAUCUGACCCCAAAGAGUGUUGAGCGAACACAGACAGACAAUCAUCGUUUGACAACUUUUUCAAUUCAUAAGCCGGAGCAGUCCCCAUGAUGGCUGCAACCCCUUGAUUACGAGCUGUGACAAUAAUCUUACUUCCCGGUGCGCCAGCUUCAAAUGGACGCCUGAGUCGAUCCCAAUCAUUGUAAUUCUCAUUCCAAACGUCAUCUAAAACAAGCAAAAAUUUAUUUUGAGAUAAUUUCUUCUUCAGCUCCUCUUGAAGCUUAUUCAAGUCGUGAUUAUCCACAUUCUGGUCACUAGCAAUUGAAAGUAGGAUUGAUUUUGUAAGCCUGAUAACAUCAAAAUCAUCAGAGACGCAAGUCCAUGCCUUGAGAUCAAAAUGAUCCUGCACUUGCUUAUCAUUGUAGACAAGCUGAGCGAGAGUGGUUUUGCCCAGCCCGCCCAUACCAAUGAUAGGAAUAACGGAGAAUUCACCAUCAUUUCUCAAAUCAUCCCUCAACAACAAUACAACAAUUUCCUUCUUUUCUGUUUCCCUCCCAUAUACCUUGGCUUCAUUCACCAAAGAGGUUGUGGGUAGUCUUUGCCUAUCUUUUUUGGACCUUCCAACUGAACUUACGUUCAAACCCAGCGAGUCUUUCUGUGUUACAAUAUCUUGAAAUCUGUCGUUGAUCUCUUUGAUUUUGGACAUUAUGGCGUAAUCGAACUGAAUCGAUUGUGGAGUAAAAGUGGUGCAGCAAGUAGGAAUGAGCUUCCGAAACUUACUUGUUCUUGUACGACUGCUACUGGGUUGAUCAAGAGCAGCAGCUGGAUCUCGAUUUCCAAGCAGCAACUUCCUCCGGAAAGCCUCAGUUUGAAACUCAUCCAGCAAGUCUUCAACAUCAAAAGCCAAGUUCUGAAGCUCGCCAAGCCACAACUUCACAGACUGAUCAGUCUUCUUCUCCUCAGCAUCAGCAAGCACCGCCUUGAUCAUCACCAACAUAUUCUUCCACUUCUUUAGGUCGGCUUGGAUUUGCUCUUGGCGUGCAAACAGCCGAAUCCCCUCUGAAGCUAACUUAUUGACCAGCAAAUCAAUGGACGCCGUAAGGAUUGCCUCUCCGAUGAAUGACAUUUUUUGUUCUUUUGCUUUUUUUUUUUUUGGUUUUGCAAAGAAAGAAAGGAGCAGAAUUAUGGGUUAUGGAAAGCAGAAUGAGAAAAUGGAACAGGUGAGAAAAUGGAUAAUUAAGCAGAAUGAGUGUGUGAUUGUGAAGGGUCUGGCCCAGCAAGCUUAGUAGAAAUCACGCGUUGAUACUUUAUUGACCAAUGACUAAUAAUUUGGCAAUUCACUCAUCACCACCACUUGGUAAGCAAAAUGAAAAUGCUUAGUAAUUAAGUGUCAAGGGUCAAGCAAAUACGGCGUUAAUCCAGUGUCUAUUUCCUAGAACCUUCAUCUCAUAAACCAAGUUCAAUCAAAACGUUCCUCUCUCGCUAUUUUUUUUUUAAAAAAAAAAAACUCCUAAAACGUUUCUUUUUAGAAAUAUUUUACUUUAUUCAUCUAAUAUGUUAUCUAACAAAUACACACAAUUGAAAUCACUCUAAAGUGAAGAUGAAAGGGGAAAAAAAUUACCUUCCAACCACCAGUAAUCUAGCAAGCUUCACUUUAUUCCACCAAAGUGUAAAUAAAGCCAGCCCCCACCGGCAUCAAUAAUUUUGCAAGCUUCACAGGCUUGUUGUCUUCUCCUUGACGAACUGGACAUGAGUGCACCAAGAAUCAAUGACAGAAUUUUAAAAAUAAUAAUAAGAGAAAAACCUACAUAUUUUCGACUUAGAGUAGAACCUUAAUUAAUGCUAAAAUCUACUCAGCUAAUUUUCAAAACCGUGAUUAGGGUUCAUCUCAAAUGUUUGAAGAGAGUCUAUCAGUUCUUCUACGUUAAGAAUAUCAAAAUUCUUGCUUUUUCUUCAAACAUUGAAGAAUGAAAACAAAAAGUUGAAUAUGGAAGAAAAGAGAAUGCAUCCAUCUUCGCUGUAGAAGUCUUCUACUUAUAAAAGCAAGUUAGAAUAAACUAUUUUAAUCUCUCUUUUUAUUCUUGUAAGUGCACUACAUUUUUUUUUUUAAUCUCAAUGCGAAAUCAUAUCAUAAUGUUAUAUUCAUGUUGUAAAACGAAAUUUUAGAUAAAACAAAUUCGACUCAUUUUUUAAAGGUAUAUAUUUAAUAGGUUACUAACAUAACUAACAAAACGUGAUUAUUACACUAAGGACAUGUUUGGUUACUGUAUUAUAACCCCUCAUUGCAUUAGUUUUAUACAAGCCUAUGUUUGGUGAAUUAAAAACUACAGAAACACUGCAUUAUGGGCCUAGCUAAUGCGGCAAACUGCCGCUUGCUGUUUCCUUUUUUUUUUUUUGCCUUUUCAUUUCCAACUUUUCAGUUUUUGCUAACUUUUGUUUUUACUUUAAUUUUUUUUUUCUUUUCGUUUCCAACUUUUCAGAUUUUACUAACUUUUGCUUUUACUUUAAUUUUAUUAUAAUAAUAAUAAUAAUAAUAAUAAUAAUAAUAAAUAUUUUUAAUUUAAUAUUAUAUUAUUUAAUAUUUUUAUUUUUACAUUUUAAUUUAUUAAUAAAUUUACAAUUUAUUAUGACUAAUAAUAAAUAUUUAAAUAUGAAUAAUAUUAAUUUAAAAUUAAUAAUAAUAUAAAAUAUUAAUAUAAUUUAAAUAUAUUAAUAUAAUAUAAUAUAAUAUUUAAUUUAAAUUAAUCAAAAAAAUUAUUACAGUACAGUGUAGUACCAAACAUUGUACAGUAUUAUUAUAAUAUAAUACUAAUAUAAUACAGCAUAAUAUAAUACAACAACAUUAAAGUAAUGCAAUACAACAUAAUACAAUACGUGUACCAAACACACCCUAAAUGAAAUAAAAGACAGUACUAUCACCAAUAAUUUAGCCAGUUUCGCAUGCACGUGUUUCUAAAAACAUUAUAUGGAAUCAAACAACAGUGAUACAAAGAGAAAAGUGGAAAUCCUCUGAUUGUAUUUUUUUUUUUUUUUCAAAAGAAAUGGUGGGGUUGGUUUGUUUGCAAAGUUAUUAGCGUGGGUCUAUUUGUUUUUGUUUUAACUUUUUUUUUUAAACCAUUCAGUUUCUGGCGACCGCAUUGAAUCCUGACUAAUUCGAAUUCGAAGUGUAAUCACAGUUAAGACUCAUUACCCCUCCCAAAUGGUGUGUUUAAUGGGGAUCGAAACCGAGAGCCCUUCUCACAAAUCCAACCAGCGUUGCCAACGGAGCCACAACCAUUUGGUUUGUUUUAACUUUAUUAUUCGAUAAGCAAACGUGUAAUGAUUUGUAAAUAUCACUAGCAUCACAUUAUUGGGAGGUAUUGGGCUUAGUAUUCACAAUUUUUGUAAGAUGAAUUUGUAAGACUAAUUAAUUUUGAUGAAAAUGUAUCGUUAUUAAGAUAUUAUUUAAUUCAUUAAGUUAACUUGAGGUAUUAAUAUUCACUAAUUGUGGUGCUGAUUAAUUUACUUAACUUGUCACUAUUUGCAAUUAUGAAUGAAGUUCAAUCAAUUUAUUGAGAAAAAAAAAAAACAAAGAUACCUUUUUUCUUUUGAUUUUAAUUCUUAGGAUUUGAUUUCACACUCUUUCGUUUUUUUACGUUGCUAAAGAGGCAGUAAAAAGCUUGCUGAAUGUCAUCAAAUUGGCAAUAUUUGUUUGGUAUUUCAUCUCAACGGAUGCAGUAAGAAUUGCCUCUCUGAUGACUGAAAUUUUUUUUUCUUUUUUUGGGCAAAGAAAGAAACAGAAUUUUGAGUUUUGAAAAGCAAAAGGAGAAAAUUGAACAGUAAGUGUGGAGGGUCAAGCAAAAUGCGCGUAACAAGCCUUCCGCUUGUUGUUUAUUCCAGUAAAGCGAUAAUAAAAUCAGAGCCCGCCACCCAUUAAUAAUUUAGCAAUUCACCAGUCACCAGUCACCAGUCACCAGUCACCAUGAAUAUAUUAAAUUGCACCUUGUAUUUGCGGGAUCCAGCAACAUUGACCCAGUGUCCGGGUAAAUACUGAAUAAAGAGGAAAAUGGAAUGUAUCCACUACGAACCUUCGCUUUGCAAGUCUUCAAACUCAUAAACCAAGAUAAAUCAAAACGUUUAUCUCUUCUAUCUCUUUUUGCCAUAUAAUUACUUUAUUUAUUGAAUUAAUUUCCAUGCUAAAAGGAAGACUUAAAACUGCACUACAAUUUUUUAUAAUCACAAUGAUAAUUCCUACUACCAUGUUAUUUUAAUAUCGUGUCAAAAUAAAUUAUAACAAAAUUUUUUUUAUAUGAACACUCUUUUUAUUUAUAAAUUUCUCGAUUUUUAAUAUUUUUUUCACUCUUUUAGUCUUAAUAUUUGUAUUUCUCUCUUCAAACUUUCUUUAUUAUUUAAUUUUUAAAUAAAAAUAUGAAAAAAAUAAAAAAAAUAUUAUAUUUAAAAAAUAAUAAAUAUUUUAUCGGUCUAAUCCAUUGACAAUGAAAGAGCACGCGAAAAAUCUCACGCAUAGAAAACUUUGUGAAAGGCAUUUGAAUGUGUUGCCACAUUUUCCAAACGAAACGAUAAGGCUUUAGCCUUAUAAUUGCAAUUAGUUUGUCUUGUAACGAAAUUAUUGCCGACAAACACCAUCAUGCUGACAAGCCGUGCAUGCACGUCCUCAAUCACCCAUGUCCUCUACUUGUCUUUUGGUGUUUACGGUGUAGUUAGGGAUGGUAGCGGGUAGGGUCUGGUACGGGUUUGACAUCACCAAACCCGCAUCUACAAAAAAUUUUAAUUACGUAAUUCAAAUUAUAAAUUUAUAACCGUUGCCUAAAAAAGCCACAUAAAAUACUUAAUUCUACAUUUUAUCAAUAUAAAUGAGAAAUGAAAAUAUCAACAUUAAAACAAAUACACAAAAUAUAUCAAUUUAACACCAAUUCUAAAAUUCAAUUACCAAAUAAAUAAGUCUAUCACAACUCGAAGUGCUUUUAAUUUAAAAUGAAAAAAGAGAAAGAGAAAAAACAAAGAGCUACAAAUCAAAGUAGCACCCAGACCUAUUUCAUAGGCUCAUUCGACACUAAGAUCUUAGAAUUAAGAUCUUCAAUUCAUUCAUUACCACUAGCACCCAUUCAACGUGGUUUUUCUAAGCAAAAUAUAAAGUACAAAAUUACAAUAAGCAUAUGAUACUCCAUGCUUUAAGUUAAAGGUCCUUAUAUAAUUUUAUGAAUAAUGAUUUAGUGAAAUUUUAUGAUUAAAGUUAAAAAUACACAAAUAUUAAAAUAAGAAUGUUGGACACUUGCACAACUAUUUGCCAAAUUUUUUCUCUAUAAAAAUUCACUUGCAACUUGCAGCAGGUUUAAAUUUAUAAUAUCAAACUUGAUUGUAGCUCGCAAAAUUUUUAGAUUUGCGAUAAUUUUGCCACCCUAAGUUUAGUUAGUAUUGUAUAUCGUGUGUUUCCAAUUGGCUCUUAUAAAAAGCCUAGAAGUUGUAUGAAUAAUGAGGGAGACAAAUAUUUCCCAAAGAUAUUAUCUUUUUCAAAUUUUUUUCUUUUCUCUAUUAUUGUAACUUCAAAUCCUUAAAAAAUUACAUAUUACAGACAUGAACACAAUGUUUUGACAUAGUGGCUUUUGGCUUGUCUAGAGAAAUUUAGGAUAGAUUUUGAUGUACUAAGGCUCUGUUUACUAUUAAGAUUUUGGAACUUUUGAGCCACACUUGAAAUUUGUUUAAUUCUAAUAGAGUUGUAGCCUUCGAUAUGUGAUUGGUAUUAAUCAAGUGUUAUGUUUACAACAGUUAAAGGCAUAUUGAAUCAAAGUCCACUUUUGAUUGAGAUUUUAAAGUAGGUUUUUAACUUGAUAGCCACUCAAGUUCAAAUAUUGGAACCACAGUGCACCUUUCACUUACUAGGCUUUAACCAAACAGACGACGUUAUACAAACUUCUAUCCAAUAAGGCAAUGCAAACAAAAGCAAGUGAAUUAAAAAUAAAUAAUUUCUCAUUAAUUUGCAACAAGUAUUAAUAAAGUGCAUGAGAAAAUAUGUCUUUUUUUAAAUGAAAAUAAAUGUGUUAAUUAGUCAAUUUAAAUGGUACGAUAUUUUGAAAUGAUAGAAGCGAUCUGGAGUUUAAAUCUUACUCUUGACGUAAUAUUUAAUAACGAAUUUGAAGAACAAUUAAAAAUUAAAAGAAAAGAAAAAAACACUUUCUUUCUUAAUGAUGGUAAUUUGUUCAGAUGAUGAAAAUUCUUAGAGUGGUAUAAUAAGUAUUUUUGAGUGUUGCCAUCGCCAAUAAUAUUUAAUUUCCUUUAUAUAGUUAUAUCUCAAGUAACAUUUAAAUAGAAGCAAGUUGGAAAUUAAAAAAAAAUGAACCAUUGAGAGAAUGAAAAACAAACAAAAAAAAAGUUAAAAAAUUGUAUCUCAAUAAAUUUACUUGAGGGCUACUCUACUGAUCUGUGAAGAGAAAACACAAAGAAUAAUGAUGUAUCUCAAUUAAUAGGACAAUUUUUGUAUUUUUCGUUUAUUCAAGAAUCACGAAACUUCAUUUAAACUUGUUAUUUCAUUGAUAAUAUAUUAACAUUGAACAAUGUAGGGGACAUUCCUUUCCAAUUAUGCCCAUAUAUUAACUAAAGGCCACCAAAAAGUUCAGGGAUACUAUAGUAAUUUAAGUCAACAAUUACUAUGCUUGAAAUCAGCCAAUCAAACUCACUUUAGAAUAAACUGAGAAAUCAAAAUCACAUUCUCCAAUUCUACGAUUUCAAUUCAUCUUCUUUCUUCAACUGAAGAAUUGGUUGUAUCUCGUUUAGAUAAAUAUAAAAUAUAAAUGAUGAGGAGACUAGAAAAGUAAAAUCAAAAGAAGAGCACGAGUUUUGUUGAAAAUGACUCUUUUUCAUCAUUGUGCCGGAGUGAAUGUAUCUACAUAUAAACUAAAGAAGCACAUUUGUUUGUAUUAGCUUUUUUAUUGUAUUUUUAAUAAUAAGUCAUUUUUCAAUGAACUUAUAUCAAUUUUUAUGAAAAUAAUAUGUGUUAGUUAGUUGAUUCAAAUGGCAAAACCUCUUGGGAUAGAGCUUGUAAUUUAUUGGCUCAUGAAUUGUCUAAAUUGACACUACCGAAGCCAAAUUAUUGUAUUUGGUUAAAAAAGCUCCUGCUCAGCUUCAACUUUAUUAUUCUAUGAUGUUUGUUAAUAAAUAACAAUUUUAUUGAAAAAAAAAGACCCCUUGAACUUAUACAAAAGAUUUGGGAUCUGAAUCUGACUUGAAUUUAGCUUGAGGUUGACAUUGUUAGCAUAAUAAUUGAAGAUAGAUUUUUUUAAAUUAAAAAUCAAAAGAUAUAUAUAUUUUUUUGGUUCACACUAGUUAGUUUUAACUCAUAGUGAGAUUUAAACAGAAGCAAAAUAAUAAAUCUUAACAUCCUGACUCAUGGAUAACAUUUACAUAAGAUAGUAAAAUCUAUUAUGUCCAAAAUAAGAGGUGUGAAGUUUGAAUUUUGCUCACAUAGGUAGUAAGAGAAUCAAAUUAUUGUUAGAUUAAAUUAAUUAAAAAAAUUAUCUGAUAUCCAAAACAGCGUAUCAACAAAAUUGAAAUAAAAGAAAAUUGAAGAGAAAAACCAUUGAGAGAACGAAAAAUUAACACAAGAUAAAUUCGAUAACUAAUUGUAUCAGUGUGCGCUAACUUCACUUAUUAAAACUUGGUUAUUUCAUUUUCAUUGAUAAUCAUUUUGACAACGAUUUUUCUUUCCAAGUAUGCCCAUGAACUAAUAAGAGAACUGCCGAAAGGGUUCGGGGAUAAUAUGGUAAUUUAAAUUAACAUUUCCUGUGCUUCAAAUCAUCAAAUCAAACUCACACUUCACAACAACAGAGAAAUCAAACUCACGGUUUCUCUCAUUUUUAAUUUAUUAUAUAAAGAUAAAUAUAUAAAAUUAAAUGGCGAGAAGACCGGACGAGGAAUACGAUUACUUGUUCAAAGUGGUAUUAAUCUAAAAACAAUAAUAUUAAAUAAAACACCUGGGAGUCGUAAUGGAAAGAAGAAUACAAUAUAUGAAACUUAUAAUGUUAUUUUUACUAUAUUAUAUUGAUACUUUGUUUUGUUAAUCAUAUAAGUCAAUCAGUAAUUAUUUAAUCAUUGGAAUUAAAACUAAUGUAUUAAUUAAAAUUCAAAAUCUAUUAUAAAAAUAGUAAAUAUUAAUAUAAAGAGAUGGACCUAUUACAAAAUACAUUCACCAAAAGUUCUAUUAUACUUAAAAUUCUCAUUCACAAAAAAAAAAAAAAAAAUAGUUGAAUACAUGUACAAAAAAAGGGGAUAAAUAAAAAAUAAUAAUAAUAAAUAAUAAAAGGAUAGUUUAUAUAAUAAAAAAUAAAUUUAUUGAAUAGAGAUGUUAAUAAUAAAGAAUAAUAGCCUAAUCAAACUCACUUUAGAAUAAACUGAGAAAUCAAAAUCACAUUCUUCGAUUCUACAAUUGAAUCUUUUUCAUCAUUUUGUUGGAGUGAAUGUAUCUACAUAUAUUGGGGACCAUAAUGGAAACCGGUAGAACCUACAAGGGCUAAAAUCAAAACAACGAACGAUAUCUCAAGGUCGCCGAAACGUAAAUAAUUAAUCUUAUCUUUCAAUUGAUUUUUGUGGAGCCAGAGACAAUUAAACCCGAACAGCAAAUAGCCAUAAAUGAUAGGACAAUUAAAUUGGAACUCUUCACAGACCCACGAUUUAAUAUCUUUAGAUUGUAACGGUUUAACCCAAAAAAAAAAUAGUAAAAUAUUUCUUAAAAAAAUGAAAAAAAAAUGUUGAAAAGAAGAACAAAAUUCUGGUCCACGUGUCAUUUCAAAAUAGGUUGCUGGCAUAAACAACCGGCCCCAUCCCGGACAGAUGUUAUUUGAGUGGUUGGUACGCAUUUCCACUUUUUUGUUUUAGAUGCAACGACUCAUGCACUAAAUAUAUAUAUAUAUAGGGAAUCCCUAUCUUACAUGCAUGUAAAAUAUAUUUUUCUCAUAUAAAUAAUAUAUGUGUAGAAUUCACGUACUGUUUAUGUAAGAGAGAUGUAUCUUACAUACAUGUAAGAUAUGAGGAUUCAUGAAUAUAAUGUUAUUAGUUUAAAUAAUGGGUGCAACUCAUGUUUUUGAAACAUUAAGAUCUUUAGCCAUUCUCUUACUAUCCCGUGGUUAUUUAAGUUACAAGAGACAGUAAAACAACAACGUCAUAUUUUAAUUACUUACACUAAAUAAAUUACUCACACUGAUGCCGCGACUGCCGCUUGCUUUUUUUCUUUUUUUUGCCCUUUUAAUUUUGACUUUUGCUUUUACUUUUUGAUUUUUGCUUUUGGUUUAUAAUAAUAAUAACUACUUUUUAAUUUAAUAUAAUAUUAAAUAAUAUUUUUAUUUUUAAUUUUACAUUAUAAUUAUUAAUAUAUAAUUUAUUAUUUAAUAUUAUUAUAUUAUGUUUUUUAUUUUUACAUUAUAAUUUAUAAAUAAAUUUAUAAUUUAUUAUAACUAAUAAUAAAUAUUUAAAUUUGAAUAAAUUUGAAUAAUAUUAAUUUAAAAUUAAUAAUAAUAUAAAAUAUUAAUACAAUUUAAAUAUAAUAUAAUAUUUAAUUUGAAUUAAUCACAAAAAAUUAAUAUAAUACAGUGUAGCACCAAACAUUGUACAUUAUUAUUAUAAUACAGUACUAAUACAACGCAACAUAAUACAAUACACCAACAUUAAAAUAAUACAAUCUAAUAUAAUACAAUACAGUGUGCGAAAUGCACCGACAUGGUAUUACUUUGUUUGUCUUGUUACUUACAGUUAUUUAAUCUGUAGACCCACUCAUGCUCCUUCUAUGUAACAUAGAUACAAUUUGAGGAAGAUUAUCAAUUUUUUUAUUAAAAAUAAUAUAUACCACUUAUUUUUUAUUAUUUUUAUAAUGUUCAACAAUUCGCUUGAGAUCAAAAAAUUAAAUGAAAAGAAGGAGUAAAUAGAUGAUUUACUUGAUGUUGUAUCUUAGAAAUAUAAAAUAUAUUUAUUUAUUAUUAAAAAUAUUUAAAAAUAAUAAAGAGUAUAUAAAAAGUAUCUUAUCCUCAACAACAAGAUCAGACGACGUCAAUUCAGCAAAAUGACUUGAAUAACUUGAACGUCCAGCAACGGUCACCUCUUGGCGCACACAUGGCAACGUGCGUAGCUUUGGCAAGAGGUCUCCCAAAAGGACGAUUAAGAAAAGAUUGCAGGACAAAUCAUGAAAAUAGUAGUACAGAUAUGCAAUGGCUAAAUUUCCUCGAUUAAGUCCAUCGCAAUCAAGUCUUAGAAAUCACACCCCUGUAUUAAUUUCCAGAAAUAUGUUUGUUCCAUAUUUAUCGUGCACGUAUAUAUUGUAUGUAUUGGGAAUAGAAAGAGUGUAUGUAAAAAAUUCUUCAUUCAUCGAUUAAAACUUAAUUUAUGUACGAGGGUUAAGUGUAGUGUUUUUAAAUUUAAAAAGGACAAGUGUCAAUCCACUGAGGCUUGACUCAAUGGCUAGAGCCACACUCCCUCACAAAGUGGUUCGAUCUCCCACAGAUGUAUUAUAGAAGUUUAAUUUAAAUUUUUUUUCUCAAAUUUUGAGUGAAGACAGUCUUUCUCCCCUAAAUAGAGUUUUUCUAAAAAUUUAAUGUUCUUCGAAUAUUUGAGAUGAUUAAAAUUUGAGCGGUGCUAUAUAAAAUAUAAUGUAAACUAAUCUAAAUAAUUAUAUAAUUAUAAAUAUAAUGAACAAUAGUCUCAUACAAAAAAAUGACAAGUGUAGUAAGCCCAUUUAAAUUAACUUAUAUUUGAGGGGAAAAUCUCUGUAUAUCAUAGUAUAUAUUAUAUAUCCAGUCGUGGGACCCAUACAUGGUUCCAUGUAAUUCGCACAGUUGAACUGGAGACACUGAUUAGUUCGUUGUCUAUUUGCCAACUUAUGUACAACUAAGUAAUUUCAUGCACCAUUUGCGCCUUAUCUAUCCAUCCUGCUUGCAUUGCAUUUUACUAAACAUACAAUGAAAUUAACCCUUGUAAUUUCGGCCUUUGCCAUAGUCGUUUUGUUUAUUAGGUUUAUGUUUAUCAACAUGAUAUGUUGUCAACCAUAAUCACAAUCAAGUUGUUAAUUAUUUUUUAAAUAAUGUGAAGGAACAAGAUUUUGGUCUUUGACUGUGGAGUUAAAAAUAUCUCACCUCAACAUACGGUGUUGUGCUCUCAUCAUCUUAACAUUAUUUGUUAAAAAUUAUGUCAAAGAGGAAAGCAGAUUCAAACAUUACUUCAAUUUUCUUUAAGAGCAUAAAAAAAUCGUUAAUAGGCUACUGUUAUUUGUUAGUACGAUUUCACAGAAGGAGGCUAGAGGAAGAUGAAGCUUUCACGUCAUGUGUGCAUCAAAGUAAGAAACAGAGCUAACGAGAGAUGGACAAGUAUUAACCACUGUUAUCAGAAAUUAAAUAUAUCAGCAUUUUGUUAGUUCUGGCCAUAUUGGAACUAUUAGCACCCUAAUUUUCUUUUGAAGCUCCUUUUCUGUCGAAACCUAUUUUAAUUUCCAAAAUAUUUUUUUUUCAUUUUUUUAGUUUCUUUCUGAUAAAAAAAAAAUCAGUUUCUUAAACAACUCCAACUACAAAUAUUGUUUUACAAAUUUUUGAAUUAUUAAAUCAUAUGUGUGUGUAUAAAUUGAAUAGAAUUAAAAAAGUGGACUCAAAUGGGUAUUGUGUAAUUUUUUUUAUAAUUAAAGAAAAGUUUAGAAUGCAAAAGAGUGUGAGAAAACAAAAAAUAUAAAUCACCUUUGAUGUAGUUGUAUGGUUGUAAAGAGUUAGAUGGAGAAAUAUAGUAUAUAAUUAAAUUUAUUUUGUUCUUUAAAACGGAUAGGUUUUAUACGAAUUUUUCAGAGGAGUGCCAAUAUUUCAACUCUAUCAUUGCUAUUAGUUUGUCUUGUAAUUCAAUCAUUGCCGACAAGUAUUAAUUGUGACUAUUAUUAUUAUUAUCGUCGUUAUUCUUAACAGCAAUGACUAGAAUUAUAAUAAUAACAAUAACAAUAACAAUAACAAUAACAAUAACGUCAAUACAAUAAUAUGGGUCCGCCUAUGUUGCCACUUAUGUAUGUUGCUACAGCUUUUGUCUUUUGUGAUCAGUUAUUGUAACAUCUCAUUGAGUCCCUUACACUCUAUUUUAUUUACAAUUUAUUUAUAAGUAUUAUGAUUUUUUUAUUUACCUACACUUUUAAAAUUUAAAUUUUCACUUCACACUAUUUUUUAUUUACCAUUUUUUAUAAGUAUUAAAGGAGUUUUCGUUUUCAACCACAAAACAAUAAUCAUCAUAACACAUUAUUAUCAAUAAAAAAAAUAAAAUACCCUUAAAUUAGUACUAAAAGAAACUCUUUUCUCUCUUGGAGGAAUCACAAUAGCUCAUCUUCCAUCACUUAUCAUCAAUAAAAUUUUCAAGGAUAUAAUCAAUCAUCUUCUUUACUAUAUCAUCUCAUAAUAAUUAAGACUUUAAUGAUAAAAGAAUUAACAAAAUAAAAAAAAAUUUCCCGUGAAUCCAUCCCUCUCCACUAUCAAUUUCUCUUCAUCAGCAACUUUUAUCAACAAUUGAAGCCACUAUUAGAACUCACCACAAAGAGAGAGUAUGGGAGGGGAAGAAGAAACGGGUAAAAAUAUAUGAAAUGUUUUCAAUUUUAUGAUACGUUUACUAAAUAAGAAUCAUAAUUAGAUAGAAUCAUAGUAAGUUGAAAUUAAAAUGAGCAGGAAUCAAAAUAAGAAAUUGUAAUUAGAAUAAAUUAUUUAUUUGAACUAUAGAAAUAGUAAUUGGAAUAAGCUAUAUUACAAUUAAUGUAUUUACUUUGUUUUAAAAUCAUAAUCGAAAUAAGUUAAGUUGUAACAAACUACCAUAAAGUACUUAAUUAAUUAUUAUCAUAAUUAUUACUUUGUAUUUUAAUUAUUGUGAUUAUUAUUAUUAAAAAAUUUAAUAAUUAUUGCUAACUAUUAUUAUUAACAAUAUAACUCAAAAAUUAUUAGUUAUUGUUAAUAUAUUAAUUAAUUAUAAAACUUUUAUCAUUAAUAAUAAUAAUAAUAAUCCAUUUAAAUAAUAAUAUUAAUUAUUAAUUAUUGUUAAUAUAUUAAUUAAUUAUAAAACUUUCAUCGUUAAUAAUAAUAAUCUAUUUAAAUAAUAAUAAUUAUUAAUUAUUGUUAAUAUAUUAAUUAAUUAUAAGCUUUUAUCGUUAAUAGUAAUAAUAAUAAUAAUCCAUUUAAGAAAAUAACAAUAAUAAUAAAAAAAUUGUCAUCAUCAUCAACGGCAACAAAAAAUGGGAAUCGGUGGCGGCAUCAUCAUCCACAACGUCGGCAUCAUCAUCAUCAUCUUGAAGACGGUCGGUAAAGACGAAGACGACGACGAGAAGGAGAGGUGGAGAUUUGCUCUUUGAAGAUGGUGAUGAGGUCGUUACCUGCAGGGGACUAAAUCAUGGACGGUGAAGACCAAUGACAACCAGCGAGCUAGAACCGAUCCUAGUGCUGUGCUUCUUCUUGGAUGCAACUAAAAAAUUCUUCCUCUUGGCUGCGAUGGAGGGUCGAAACGUUGGAUGUGUUUGUUAUUUUUUUAAUUUUGCUGGCUGUGUUUUCUAAUUAACUGUGGCGUAUUUUGAGAAUUUAAAAAGCUUGAAGGAGUAAAUUUGGUACUUUUAGGGGCUCAAUCAAAUAAAAUAGAGUGCAAAGGGUUCCAUGAAAUUUUAGAAUAAUUAAGUCACAAAAGACAAAAGCUGUUGUAACGUACAACAGUGGCAACAUAGGCGGACCCCAAUAAUAUAACAACAUAAUAAUAUUUUAAUUGGGGUCUUCCACCUGGGUAUGCAUGAUUCCUUGUGACAUGUGCCAAUUAAAUUCUGACAUACGUGCAAUAAAGACUGUAAAGUGACCGGUUAUUCCGAUUGAAUUCACAAGAGCUCUUGUUUGUGUGUUUGUGUUCCAAGUUGUGUACUCUGUGUUACGAGUUCUCUAAUUAAUCUGAUAUUAUCGCAACUGUUGCUCAAUAAUGUUACAUGCAUUAUAAUAUAUGUCACUGGUACGGUCGCUGUCUCAAGUGGUAAACAUUAAGGCACAAAUUUAGAAUGAAAAGUUUCCCAGUAAAAUAAGUUAUUUAAUUAAUUAAAUAAGAAUAAAAUGAAUUUGUGAAAGAAAUUUAAAUUUAAUUUUGAAUUAUUUUGACCAAAAUUUAAGUUUCUUUUUAAUUUGUUUAAGAAAGUGCGUUGUAAUUAUCUUGUUUUAAUUGGAAAAUCAAUGAAAAAAUUAUGUAACAGGAAACAAAAAAAAAAAAAACAAAACAAAACGGUUUGUUUUGGAUGGAGGCCAUAGAUUCCAAUAUUUCCUUCACGAAAACUACAAAAAAUUAUCAAAGGCAUCAAUUUCUACACUCUCACCGAGCAAAUACUCUCAACCCAGAAGAAAGUGUAUAAACCAACCCCAAUUAGUCCAUCAAUGUCGUCAACCUCAUACAACACAAAAAAAUAUGUGUCCAUUAAACCGCCAUCUUGCCAUCUCGUUGUAGUAUUUUGCUGUUCAAAUCUAGUUAUUAAUUGGGGAAAAUGGGGACCAAUCUGCAAGUCUUUAAAAUAGAAAGAAACUUUAAUUGAGCACUAUGUUCACAGUGGUGGACCCAGCGGCAGUAAUCUUUAAGGUGGAGCUAUUUAUACUUUAAAAAUUAUUUUAAACACUCUAAUUUUAAUAAGAAUAUGUAUUGCAAAAAUACUUAUCAUAUAAGUUACUGUUAAGGACAAUAUAUUAUAAGUCAACAUUAUAUAAUUACUUUGAACACUUAUAUAGCACAAUCCUUAUUCAAUUUAUUAUUCUCAUGACUUAAAUAUAAAAAAUUUUAUUUUCAACAUCUUAAUUAAUAUGUAGGUGAAUAAUAAGGAAAUUAACUUUGAGAAAAAAAAUUAAAUACAAAAUAUGUGUAAUACUUUUAAAAAAUAAAAUAAAACAACAGUAUUGCACAAGAUUUUUUUUUGGGGGGGGGGGGGGGGGCUUUGGCCAUUCUUCUUCUUCUCCUUCUCUCUCUCUCUUUUUUUUGGGUAGUAUUUAUGGAACAUUUUCUAUAGUUAUGUUCUCAUCGCAAGUUAUUUUGGGUGCAAAAUUCAAUAUUGAAAAUAAAUUAAAUAAAAAAUUAGUAACUAAAAUUAUGUUAAAUUAUUUUUUUACAACUUAAUUUUUAAUUAUAUUAUUGUGAGUAUAUGCUAAAUCUCUUAAAAAUAGAGUGUUGAAUAAUUUUAUUAGUUUUUUAAAUAAAUAAAGCUAAGUAACUUAAAAAGUUUAAGUAAGGAUAUUUUUGAAUUUUAAACAGUGUACAAAGUAAAAUUUAAUUUUUUUUAUAAUUAAGCUACGAGCGUGUAAAUUAAUAGAGUGCUCAAAAUAAUAUUUAGAGUGCUAAUAGUCAUAUCCUAAUAUUUAUCAUCACAUUAUUUUCCAUAAAAAGUUUACAACUACCUCUUUAUUGGAUAAUUUUGUUCCCUCUCUUACCUUAUGUUCCCCUACAUUCUCAUUUCUGCAUCACUAUUUAAAUUGUAAUCAUAACGUUAAUCUUUCGUGUCCUUUCGUUUUUUUCGAGUUUACUUUUGCUUUUUUUUUUUUUUACGUUUCUCCGGAAUUCACUUCAACAUCACUGGCGCGUUUUCUUCUUUCUCACUGCAACAUCAACUGGGCCACCACCUCUUGCCUCAAUAUACGUUGUGAUCUCAUCAUCUUGACAUUAUUUGUUAAAAAUUAUGUCAAAGAGGGAAAGCAUAUUCAAACAUUACUUCAAUUUUCUUUAAGAGCAUAAAAAAAUCGUUAAUAGGCUACUGUUAUUUGUUAGUACGAUUUCACAAAAGGAAGCUAGAGGAAGAUGAAGCUUUCAAGUCAUGUGUGCAUCAAAGUAAGAAACAGAGCUAAUGGGAAAUUUUCAUAAGAGUGCCAAUAUUUCAACUCUUUUUCAAAUGAAGUGAUGUCCUGGAAUAAAGGACUUGACUAGCUUACAGAUUCUGUAAGCUACAGACUGCAGCAUCAGCCGUUGGAUGUGGAGUGAGAAACUAAACAAUAGAAAAUCGGAUGGUGGGAUGACGGGAGAUGUUUGUUACAGAAUCUGUACCAUAGACAGGUCCUGGAAUAAAAUCACUACUCUAUCAUUGCUAUUAGUUUGUCUUGUAAUUCAAUCAUUGCCGACAAGUAUUAAUUGUGAAUAUUAUUAUUUUAAAAAUAUUAUUAUUAUUAUCGUCGUUAUUCUUAACAGCAAUGACUAGAAUUAUAAUAAUAACAAUAACGUUAAUACAAUAAUAUUACAACAUAAUAAUAUUUUAAUUGAGAGGAUAAGAAUGAAAUUAUGAAAUUUAGGUUGGGUAAAAAUGGUGAGUAUGAGGAAAUUAAUUUACCAUUUUUUAAGCUAAACAAUUUAUAAAUUCCACAUAUUUCAUUUUUAUUUCUCUUAUAUUUUAACAAAUAAACACUAUCAAUCGUUUUAAUAUUUUAAUUAAUAAACACGGCAUUAACUACGGAACUAAAAGAUCCCCCCAAAAAAAAAAAAACAGAGACGCGUGUAUGUAUUGCUUGUGACAAAUCUCACCCAUGGAAAACUUUGUGAAAGGCAUUUGAAUGUGUGGCCACAUUUAAUGAACGAAACGUUAACUUUAAAAGAAAGUAUGUACUGUGUUAAUUAUUAGGAUUACCCAAUAACCCGCUUAAUAUCUAUAUAUUAAACAAAAGUUACAUUAAAUAUUUAUACUUUGUCAUACAUAUGUAUGCACAUACAUACAUACAUACAUACAUACAUCCAAACAUACAUACAUAAUUUAUCAAUAUUAUAAAAUAUACAUAUCUACUAAAAUAUUACACACACUAUUGAGGUUUUAAUUAUAUGUAUGUAAAUAAUAUUAUAUAUCAAUAUUAUAAAAUAUACAUGUCUACCAAUAUUUUAUACAUUUACGCUAUUAAAGCUCUAAAUGUAUUUAAAAUUUUAUAAAUAAAAUAUUGUGUCUAUAUUCAUCUUUUUAAAGAAUUAAAAAAAUCAUCUCUAAUAUUUGAGUUUUGAUGACAAGAAUCUGUAAAUUAUUUUAAAAUAGAAAAUAUAAUCGGGUCAUUGAUCGGGUAAAUGGGUCAAGAAUUUUAACCCUAAUCCGACACGAAAAAAAAUCGUGUUGACCCGGACCCGACCCAUUUAAUAAUCGUGUUAAAUUCGAUGACCCAUACUUAUUUAUUGGUGUCAUGUUCGUAUCGAGUAAUCGGAUCGUGUCAAAUUUUACCAGCUCUAACUAUAGUGAUUCCACUUAAAAAUGAAAGGGGAGGCGACGAAAAGGUGAUAAAAAGCGGUAUUGUGUUCUUUUUUUUUUUAAUAUAAAUUUACUGGAAUGAUGAAAUAUUUAAUUGAAUAAUAUUAAAAAAGAGAAAAGGAGAGAGAAUUUUGAGCUCUCUCUACCGAGCCCACUCCCUCUCUUCUUUUUCAACGCAUUUUCUCUCGUCUUUAUCUCUCUUUAGCAUUUUUCUAUUUAAUUACGUGAAAUUGACUCUAAGAUAGACCGACGUUUGCUUUCAUAAUGGAAAGUAGAAAGUCGAAAAGAAACCACCCAUGCCAUGCGUGUGGACCAUUACUCUCAUUUGGAGGCUAUCAUAAGUGAGCAAGUACAAAUUAUGUUACUGUGGGGUCUCACUUAAAUGAACUCAUCCAUCGUGCGCUGGUCCAAUCCUUGGCAACAUCCCAUGUGACUUUUUCGGUUUUCCCCCCACUUUUCUUCACAAGGGUAGUUCCGAAUUUUCACUUCCCCUCAAUUCCAAUUCAGUGGCGAAAUUAGAUUUUCAUUUCAAGUUUUCAACCCAGGGCCAAGCUAUAAUAAUAUACUUCAAUAAUUUGUAUUCGUCGGAAGUUCGGAACCAAUGCUAAACUUUUUUAGUUAUAUAUAUAUAUAUAUAUAUAUUGUAAGAGGCUAAUAUGAACAUUACUAUUGUUAUAAGAGUAUAGAAAACGACGAAUAUUACUUAUUUUUUUUGUAGUUAAUAAGAAUUAUUUAAAAUUAUCCAAGCUCAAAAUUUAGAAUCAUGAGAGUGUGACUUGUAAGUUUCAAAGAAGCAUGUGUAAAUAUAUGCAUUAUCGAUGCCCAAUUAAGGGUGGGCAUUAAGAUCGGGUUAACCCGAACCGAACUUAAAAUUUAUUUUGGAUUCAAUUUGGUUAUGGUUGAAGCUUUCAACUGAGUUCAAAACUUAAAAAUGAUUGGGUUGUAUUUCUGUUCGAAUUUAACCCCAAAAGACUAAUCAAUCCAAUCGAGUUAAGUAAGCAAAUUAAGAAAAAAAAUCCCAAAAAUUAAAACUAACCCUAACUAAAAUAUUCGACGGCGGCCUCCUCGUUUUCUUUUCUUCUUCCUCCUCUCGCUCACCCCUAAUGCCCUUCAUGGAAAUCCAACAGCUCCAAACGCGUUUCAGCCGCUCGCACGUGUGAGAAAUUUUCCUUCUCAUAGGGUUAUUCGUUUCCUUCGUUUGCAUGCUAGCAGAAAAUUCAGGCCGAGGAUUUUUCCGGGCCUAGCCCAACUAUAAGCUCUCCCAAAACCCAAUCAUAAGUUCAAAACGUUUAGCGUUUGCUAUUACUAUAAUUUUUUUAACCAAUUUUCACAUUCAUCAACAUAGGCUGACAGAUUUUGUAGAAAAUAAAAUUAAAUAAAAAUACAAGCUCGCGAAAUUCCUUUGCCGAGCAUGAGUGAAGAAAAAUUAAAAAUAAAUAAUUUCCCAUUAAUUUGCAACAAGUAGUAAUAAAGUAAAUAACUCUUUUCAUCAUUUUGCCAGAGCGAAUGUAUCUACAUAUAAACUAAAGAAGCACAUUUGUUUGUAUUAGCUUUUUUAUUGUAUUUUUAAUAAUAAGUCAUUUGUCAAUGGACUUAUAUCAAUUUUUACGAAAAUAAUAGGUGUUAGUUAGAUUAUUCAAAUGGCAAAACCUCUUGGGAUAGAGCUUGUAAUGUAGUGGCUCAUGAAUUGUCUAAAUUGACACUACCGAAUUAUUGUAUUUGGUUAAAAAAGCUCCUACUCUGCUUCAACUUUAGUAUCCUAUGAUGUUUAUUAAUAAAUAACAAUUUUAUUGAAAAAAAGACCUCUUGAAAUGAUACAAAAGAUUUGGGAUAUGAAUCUCACUCGAAUUUAGCUUGAGGUUGGCAUUGUUAGCAUAAUAUUUGAAGAUAGAUUUUUUUUAAAUUAAAAAUCAAAAGAUUUUUUUUUUUUUGGGGUUCAUACUAGUUAGUUUUAACUCAUAGUGAGAUUUAAACAAAAACGGAAUAAUAAAUCUUGAUAUCCUGACUCAUGGAUAACGUAUAGAUAAGAUAGUAAAAUUUAUUGUGUCGAAAAUAAGAGGUCUGAAGUUUGAAUUUCGCUCACAUAGGUAGUAAGAGAAUCAAAUUAUUGAUAGAUUAAAUUAAUUAAAAAAAUUUCUGAUAUCCAAAACAACAUAUCAACAAAAUUGAAAUAAAAGAAAAUUGAAGAGAAAAACCAUUGAGAGAACGAAAAAUUAACACAAGAAAAUUUCUGUAACUAAUUGUAUCAGUGUGCGCCAACUUCACUUAUUAAAACAUGGUUAUUUCAUUUUCAUGGAUAAUCAUUUUGACACCGGUCAAAUUUAAAAGUUUUAAAAAAUAUGGGCGAUUUUUCUUUCCAGCUAUUCCCAUUAACUAAUAAAAGAACCGUCGAAAGGGUUCGGGGAUAAUAUAGUAAUUUAAACUAACAGUUUCUGUGCUUCAAAUUUAUAUAUAUAUAUAAAGUUGUGAUUACAAGAGGUGAUGUGGCAUCACUAUUUCUCAUCUUCUCAUAUUCUCUAUUAUCUAAUAAAUUGGUUGAAAUUAAAAAAUAAUUACAUUACAAAAUAUUAAAAAUAGAAAAUAAUUAUUAGAUUAUAAAUGAUUACAUGUCUUUUCAUCUUUCUAUUUAAAUUCAACAAUAUGUAACCAUUAAUAAUAAUUAAUUAUAAGUCUUAAAACAUUCAUUUAUUUUAUUAUGCCAACAAUUAAAUUUUAGUGGCUUAAAAUACAUCAAUUAAUUAAUAUAGGAAGGAAGAGAGGUUCUUUCAUCUUCCCUCAAUAAUGCCACUAGGGUCUAAGUUUAAUUUUAAUAAUUUUAAUGUCUCUUCCUCUUUCUAUUUAAAUCCAACAAUGUGUAACCAUUAAUAAUAAUUAAUUAUAAGUCUUUUGAAACAUUCAUUUAUUUUAUUAUGCUAGCAAUUAAACUUUAGUGGCUUAAAAUACAUCAAUUAAUUAACAUAGGAAAAGAGGUUCUUUCAUCUUCCUUCAACAAUCCUAAUUUUAAUGCCAUAAUCCCAUAUUUAAUUAUGCAAUCUUUUAUUUAGUGCUUUUUGACUUCUUCAAAUUUUAUUAUGCUAGCAAUUAAACUUUAGUGGCUUAAAAUACAUUAAUUAAUUAACAUAGGAAGAUAAGUUCUUUUAUCUUCCCUCAACAAUGCCACUAGGGCCUAAUUCUUCUUAUUCUAAAUUUAAAUUUCAUUUGCUUGCUAUCAUCAGCAACACAAGUCAAUUAUGAUGCAACUGCCAUUAUAAUUAAUGGAGAACGACGAGUUAUCUUCUCUGGUGCAGUUCACUAUAUCCUCGCAGCACUCCACAAGUACUACAUGCAAAUAAUUAAUUUACAAUUUCUGAAAUCACUUGCACUUUCACAUUUUCUUCUUCUUUUAACCAAAAAAAAAAAAGGCUACUUUGCUGCGAAAAUAUUAUCUUAAUUUUUUUUCCUAACAAGCCAAACAUGAUCCCACAUUCAAAACGGUGCGCUUUCAUGUUUAGGAAAAAUCAUGGGCAAUAUUUUUGGAUCAAAUAGCAUUGUUAUUUUUUAAAUAUGCAAAUUUUGAUAUGAUUUAUUUCUAUAUGCGUUGUAUUUGUGCAGAUGUGGCCAGAUCUUAUACAGAAGGCAAAGGGUGGACGGCUCGAUGCAAUUGAAACUUAUAUUUUGUGGAAUGCUCAUGAGUCUCAGCGUCGCCAGGUGUCAACUAUUAUUAUUAUUAUUAUGUGCGAUAUUUAUUAUUAUUGAAAUAGACAUACAAAAUUAAUUUAUUUAAUCUUUCUUUUAAGAAGAGAUCAGUACGAUUUCUCAAGAAAUUUAAAUUUUAUCAAAUUUUUAAUUUUUAAUUUGAUAUUUUCAAAGCCGCGCUAAGCGCGGUUAUAUUUUCUAAUCAUCAAAUCAAACUCACACCUCACAAAAGCAGAGAAAUCAAACGGUUUCCGACUUUACGCUUUAAAUUCAGCUUCAUUUCUUCAACUGAAGAAUCGGUCGUCUCUCAUUUUUUAUUUAUUAUAUAAAGAGAAAUAUAUAAAUUUAAAUGGCGAGAAGAGCGGACGAGGAAUACGAUUACUUGUUCAAAGUGGUAUUAAUCGGCGAUUCGGGAGUCGGCAAAUCGAACUUACUCUCCCGAUUUUCUGGUAACGAGUUCUGUUUGGAGUCCAAAUCCACUAUUGGCGUCGAAUUCACCACCCGCACUCUUCAAGUAACUAACUUUUCCUCUUUCACUUCUCUUCAUUUUUAUUAGUUAAUUAAGAUCCAGUUAAUGUAAUUAAUUUUAUUUAAUCUUUUAAUUAAAGUUCUAGAUUAGGCUAACUUAGAUUCAUGUCAAGUUGAAGUGCUUUACUUUCGAUCUCUUUUUCGUCCUAUGUUUAUUUGUACUUACUAUUACUUUGUUUUUGGGUUUAAAUUUUCGUUUUUGAAGUGUUUACUGAAUAAAUUUCUGAGCUUUAUUUGUGUAUGAUAAUUGAUUUGUGAUUUUAAUUUUGUGACUUUUUUUUUUUUGGAAUUUAAAUUUGAAUGCUUUUUAAGUUGAAUCUGAAUGUGUUGGGCUGCAAUUUAAUUAAGUCAUCUGUGAGCGCCAAAUUGUGAUAGCUAUAUAUUGGGGUGAAAAUUUGGGAUUUAAAGUUAUGUAUUUAAGAUGCAGUUAAUUCGCAAGUGAAAAUUAUGGGCCGGCAGAUUUUGUCAUUGGAAGACUGUUCUCCACAUGUUGAAGUUGGAAGACUGUUCUCAUUGAAUUUAUGUUAAAAAGCUAUGCGCGCAUUAAGUUAGUGCGAGAAACUGCUGAAGCAUAUGUCAGCUGUGUGUUUGGAGCUGAGUAUUCUUCAUUCCAAAUUUUUGGUUUUGGUUGACCUCCACCAUGACUCAACCCACUUGAGUUAAAAUCCCUAGAGUUACAUUCUACCCAUGAUAUUUGAGAUCAGGUCACCGUAUUUUAAUACUUCUCUGGAAAACAAAUAAAUAUGUUAAAUCAGGUAGGAAAAAGAAAAAGUUAAUUAUUGAGUUGUAAUGGUGCAACUAAUGUUUUGAAAAGAUGGGGCACAGGUUACAAAAUUUUUUUGAGUUUUGGAUUAAAGGAACAAAAUUAUUGAUGUCUAGCUCACAAUACUUGAAGUCACUCUGUGCUUCAUCAUGUAAAAUGGAUUGAAUUGCUGUAAGAUCAGGUCAAAUUAAAAUGUUUAAACUCAUUUAUAAGAAAUGAAUUCUCAAUUGGACUAGUCUUUCACAGAAACUGAUAUCACAGAAGUUUUGAGUCAGAUGCAUCCAACCAAAGCCCCUGGCCCAAAUGGUCUCCCAGCAGUAUUUUUCCAAAAGCUUUGGAAUUCAGCAAGCAAAGGAGUUAUAGCCACUUGUCUGCAUAUCCUCAAUGAUGGAGGUAAUAUUGCUCCUUUGGAUCAUACAUACAUUGCUUUAAUUCCCAAAAUAGCAAAGCCUAGGACUGUGAUGGAGUAUAGACUAAUCAGCUUAUGUAAUGUAAUUUAUAAGAUCAUUGCAAAGACUAUAGUGAAUAGGGUGAAGCUAAUCUUAGAUCAUGUUAUUUCACCAACUCAAAGUGCUUUCAUGCCAAAUAGGCUCAUAACUAAUAAUAUAAUUAUUGGGUAUGUGUGUCUUUAUAAGAUUCAGCAUUGCAAAAACAAAAAGCAUGGUCUAGUGGCUUUGAAAUUAGACAUUAGCAAAGCAUAUGACAUAGUAGAGUGGGAGUUUGUAAGAUGCACUAUGGAAAGGUUGGGUUUUUCUCACAAAUGGGUGGAACUGGUCAUGAGAUGCAUAUCUGCACCAUCUUUUUCUAUGCUGAUCAAUGGGGUAGCAAAAGGCCUUAUCCAGCCUCAAAGAGGCUUAAGACAAGGCUGCCCACUCUCUCUAUAUUUGUUCAUUAUUUGUGCUGAGGUUUUCACAAAUAUUUUGAAGCAAGUUGAAUUGAACCAGCUGAUUCAUGGAUUAAAAUUCAAUAGGGACCUGCCUAUUACUCAUCUUCUGUUUGCAGAUGAUAGUUUGGUUUUCACAAGAGCCACUAAAGAAGAUUGUACGAACCUGAAGUAACUCUUUGAUUGUUAUGCUGCUGCCUCAGGCCAGAUUUUUAAUUUUGAAAAGUCCUCCAUGUUCUUCAGCGAUAAUCCCAAGCAAGAGCAGAUAGCUACAAUUAAGGAUAUAUUUCAACUUCAAGUGGUUUCAAGACAUGAAAGGUAUCUUGGACUACCUUCAAUGGUGGGAAGAAAUAAGACCAGCUUCUUAAACGAUAUCAAGCUUAGAAUUAUAAACAAAAUCUCCAAUUGGCAAGCAAAAUUUUUCUCAUGUGGAGGGAAGGAGAUACUCAUAAAGGUAGUAGCUCAAGCAGUGCCUGCUUACGCCAUGAGUAUUUUUAAACUUCCUUUAGGGCUAUGUGAGGAUAUACAGAAGGCCAUUGCUGGGUUUUGGUGGAGAAGUUCAAGGAAGCAUAUGUCUAUUCACUGGUCCAAGUGGGAAAGAAUGUGUCAAGCUAAGAAGAGGGUUGGCUUGGGUUUCUGAGACUUGUCUAGUUUCAACCAAGUGCUUGUGGCAAAACAGAGUUGGAGGAUCAUUCAAGCGCCAAAAUCUCUCAUAGCUAAGGUGAUGGAGGCAAGAUAUUUCAAACAUUCGGAUUUUAUGGAGGCACAAAUUGGCUCAAACCCUUCUUAUAUGUGGAGGAGCAUCCUGUGGGGGUGAGAUGUUAUUCAUAAGGGUCUUAGAUGAAGAAUCAGAGAUGGAAAGUAGGUGAAAGUGUAUCAAAGUGACUGGUUACCAAGACCUGUAACGUUCAAACCAAUAUCUCCUACAAGUCUCCCUUUGGAGACUAUGGUUUCAGAGUUGAUUGAUCAAGACCACUACUGGAAAGAUCUUGUAAUAAGACAACAUUUUCAUCAAGAAGAUGCUGCCCAGAUACUUAAGAUCCCUCUGCCAAGACAACCAAGACCAGACCAAGUUUUGUGGCAUUGCGACAAAAAGGGUUACUACUCAGUCAAGAGUGGGUAUCAACUAGCUCUACAAAUGAAGUUUCCAACCAAGCCUAGCAGUUCAUAGGAAGGCAAAAGUGCAUGGAACUCAAUUUGGUAUUUGUCAAUUCCAGAGAAAGUAAAGAUAUUUAUGUGGCUGGCUGCAUAUGACAUGCUGCCCACAGCAGAGAAUUUAUGGAAGAAAAUAAUAUUACAAGCCCCCUGGUGUCAGAGAUGCAGGAGUUAUGGAGAGUCUAUCUUCCACACAUUGUUUGAAAGUAAAGCCUUGCGGAAAAUUUGGAAGCUCACAUCUUUUAAAGAUAAAGUGAAAGCCCCAAAAUGUAAAGAUGUCCUAAGCUUGCUGUUGGCUUUGGCUGAUCGACGAAGCAAGACUGAAAUGGAGCUGAUAGUUGUUUUGUGCUGGAGCAUAUGGCACUCAAGGAAUCUUUUUAUUUUCAAAAGCAGAAAUGAAGAUUCCCAAUUAUCAGUAGUUGGAGCUGAGGCAAUUGUUAAGUCUUAUAAAAGAAUUCAAAUGCCACAGAUGCAAGCAAUAUCAGAUCAAAGUUCUGCAUCCCAGAAGUAUUGGAAGUGUCCCCCUGCAAGUUGGUUCAAGGUGAAUGUUGAUGCAGCUAUAAAGAUAGACCAACAAAGAGUAAGUCUGGGCAUUGUAAUCAAAAAUUCAGAAGGUAAACUUAUAGCAGCAACCUUAAAGCCAACGAAAUGGCUUGAUAAAGUGGAUCUGAAGCAACUAAGUUUGGGCUGGAAGUAGCUGAAAACGCUGGAUGGUUACCUUUGAUUGUUGAGAUUGAUUCACAGGUAGUAGUAGAUUUAGUCUUAGGUAGAAAAAUCACAAAGGCUGAGAUUUUUGGGUUUGUAUCCAAGGUCCAAGAGAUGAUGAAGAGAUUAAAACAUGUCAAGUUACAACACACACCAAGAACUUGUAAUGGUUUUACUCACACACUUGCUAAGUUAGUUUUAGACUAUUUUGAUUAUCUGAUUUUGUACUAUGGGUGAAUAACAUACCAGCCCAUCUUUUGUAUCUAUUCACAAAAUUGAAUGAUUGAAAAUGAUACUUUGAUUUCAAAAAAAAUAAAAUACAAAGAGCUAAUUAUAAAUACAUAAUCCAAGAAAACAGUAAUAAUAAUUUAUCUCGUAAACAAAAUUAAAUAAUAGCAAUAAUAAGUGGAUAAAGCUAAGUUCGAGAGGUGAGAUAGGAAAUUCUCCCGCACGACACAGCACAAACAAACUUUCCCUUUCAUUUUCUUUUCUCUUUCUCGCUAUCCAAACAGAGCAAAAGGACCGUCGCAAGAUUCUUCACUUCCAUCCAAAAUCACGAGCAACGAAUAGCGAGCCUCCCUGUUUCCUUCCUUUUUUUGAUAUUAACAUUGUUAACAUCUGCUCAUUUUCAUUUGACAAUACUUCAAUUUUUUUUUUUUUUGCCUUUUCAUAUUUUUUUGGUUGAAGCGAUUAUCUGUUCAAGCUGUUGCUUAUCGGAGACUCGUCAGUCGGAAAGUCCUGCCUGCUGCUCCGAUUUGCUGUCUGUUGACUUUUCCUUUCCAUUUUUAUUUUCUUUUUUUUUUAUAUUAAUUACUUUCUAUUUUAGCUUUUUGUUCUCUGAAUUUGUGUUAUUAAAAUGAUAAUUUAGAUGAUAAAUAAUUAUUAUUCUUGUAAAUUUCAGUUUUCAUUACAUUAAAUAAUGUAAUUUUUUUUUCAAUUUUUCAGGAUGAUUCUUAUGUCACAGCUACAUCAGUACCAUUGGAGUUGAUUUUGUAAGUCUCUCUUCUAUAUAUAUGUAAUUAUGUGUAUAAGUUAUAAUAUGAGUCUCUGUACGUGUAUGUAUGUAUGUGUAUGCAUAUGUGGAAAGAAAUGUUGGCAGACUUCGGCAUUUUACUUUUUUUUUUUUAAAGGGAAAUUAUCACCGGUAUACCCUUAAAUGUCACCGGUAUCAAACGUACUACAACACUUUUCGCUUAUAUCACUCGUAUACCCUAAGUUGACAAAAGAGUUCUGGCGUCCACCUUUCCGUUUACUACCGUUAAGAACUUAACAGAAUUUGAGCAAAAUGACUAUUUUACCCUUUAAACUAAAAUGAGGUAAAAAAACAAUUUUGCCUUGAAAAUUAAUGUAAAUUUUCAAUACACAAAAUUUUUUUAUUUUGUUAUUAACAAUACAUUUUUUUAUUAAAAAAAUAUGAAUUAUUAAUGGUAUAUAUUAUUAACAAUUAUCCAUAAAAAACUUCAUCUUAUACCAUAAAACAUUAUUAACAACAUAUUAUUUAUAAUUAUACAUAUUAUAACAUAAAAAAUUCAAGUUGGAUCUUGGAGGAGUAGAUCUUUAAUAAUUUAGGUUAAAUUUUGGAGGAGUAGAUUUGGUUGUAAAGUAGUUUUUUUUUUUUAGCAAUUAUUAACAAUUAUCUGAUAAAUGGGAUGACAUGUCAUUUUUAUCAAAAUAUAUCAUAUGACAUGUCGUUUUUUACUAUAUAAAUGGGAUGACAUGUCGUUUUUAAAAAAAGACUAGAUUACCCUUAUGAUGUCAGCGCUCGCAAACGGCAGUUAACGGAUCGGUGGACGGCAGAAGUGUUUUGUCAACUUAGGGUAUACGAGUGACACACUUGAAAAGUGUUGUAGCACGUUUGAUACUGGUGUCAUUUAAGGGUAUAUGACUGAUAAUUUCCCUUUUUUAAAUUUUGGCAGAAAAUAAGAACUGUGGAGCUGGAUGGGAAGACGAUCAAACUGCUGAUUGUGAGUCAAAAUUUCCUUUUAUCUUGUAUUGGGAGAAAUUCAAUUUGUCUUAUUUAGUGAAGGUUAUGUUCAAGAACCUUGCCUUAUUUUCUUUAUUUGAAGAGUGAUAAGUUGAAAUGAGUGUAUUUUUCUUAUAAACAUCAUUUAGGUAAUGUCUGAUGUUUGAUUGUUUUUCAUCUGUUUAGUGGGACGCUGCUGGACAGGAGCGAUUCAGGACUAUAACUAGCAGUUAUUACCGAGGAGCCCAUGGAAUCAUAGUAAGAAGCCUUCCUGCUUCUUGGUUUAAAUCAGAAAGUUUGUGAUUUACAUGUGACAUCUUAACAACGUUGUAUGUGUUUAUUAACUUAUUUUUCAUCUUUCAUUACGCAGUACAUUUUCCAAUAAAUCUGUAUACAAGAUGAUGUAGUCCAAGAAUGGGAGUGAUAAUAUGAUGCAAAUUGUCUAAUAAAUUCUUAUGACAUAUGAUGUUGUCGGAAGUAAAAGUCUUGCAAUGCUGUAUUCUCUUUUAAGAAAGAAUAAGUGGUAAUUUUGUUUUUCCAAUUUUUUAAUUGAGCAACUGUGUGAGAUUAAUUAAAUGUGUUGGGAUUUCAACAGAUUGUCUAUGAUGUAACGGAGAUGGAGAGCUUCAAUAAUGUCGAGCAGUGGUUGAAUAAGAUUGACAGAUACGCUAAUGACAGUGUAUGCAAGCUUCUAGUUGGGAACAAAUGCGAUUUAGUUGAGAACAAGGUUGUGGACACAUAGACAGCCAAGGUAUGUUCGUGAGUUCUGUCGCCUGAACUUUGAAUAUAAUUUUAAACUCUUCUCAAGUGCAUUUGCUUGAUAAGUUUCUGCAUACCCAGGACACUUAAACUUUGGACAGUCUGUAUCUCGAGCUGGAAUCUUUUUUGUCAAUACGACUUGUUAAAAUAAGGGUUAUUAUCGUUUGAAUCCUUCAAGAAUUGCAAUAAAUCUAAAGUCAAUUAAAAAUAUGAUUUCAUCAUUUUACUGUUAUAUCUAGACAAAAUCCAUUAUUUUACUACAUUUUAUUAGCACCGAUAGUUGACCUAUUGGCUGACUGAUAAAAUAUCAAUUUUGUACUUUAUAUUAAUUCUUUUUUGGUUAGAAAAUAACACACAAAGUAUUACAAUAUUAUAAAUUCAAAAUAGAAAGUAGUUACAAAUAAUUCCUAUUAGCCUAUGAAUAUAAUAUUUGAUACCUCUAUUUGUGUAAUUUUUUUUAAAGGGUGAAAUUGGUAUUUUCUUUGUACUAACGGAAAUGUAGUAAAAUGAUAAGUUUUGUAAAGAUAUAGUAGUAAAAUGAUAGACUAAAAUACUUCUGUAGUUGUUUGAUAUAUUGUAAUUCUUAAAGUAGUCAAUUGAUAAUAUCUCCUAAAAUAAGUGUUUGUAAUAUUUUCUCAUUUUAAUGCAACUGAUUGUUUAAUAAAAUUGUAUUUCUUUGUUAAUCUUUUAUCAUGUGCAUGCUCAGUGAGAAUUUGACUUACUAGCACACAAGUUUGACUCUUCAUGUAAAUGUCCCUUGUAUCAUAUCCUUCAGUGUUGAGUGUGUUUCCAAUAAAACUGAGUAGGGGAAUCCUUAAAUACCUUUUCCCUUUUUCCAAGGGCCGUGCCAAAUUGCUCUAAGUGAUUAUCAAUGGAUAAUGAAAAUAAAAUUUUUAUUAAAGCAAUUUUUUCCUUAAAUGGUGGCUAAUAGUACCCCUUUUUUGGAAAAGAAAGUCAAAACAUGCCCAAAGAGAAUCAUUUACUUUCCUCUAAUGUAUUUUCUAAUUUGUUUCGAGCCUUGAAUGUUAACCUCUGUAAUUCAAUUUGAAACUUGCCACCCUUAGUGCUUCACUCAAAUGGUUGGUUAGGGUGAGAUCUUUAUCAUUUUCCUGGUCUCUUUCCAAGGUUAUCUAAAGGGAUUUGGCAGUCUGAUUCUUUAGGGAAUAUCAUUGCAUAAGAUAUUGUUUGUCAAUGAAUAAUUUCUAUUAAUUAGUUAUCUAUAUAAAUUGGUAAAUUUUAACUGCAUAAUUUGCAUGCAAUAAGAUUUUAUAAGAAUCUUGUUUUCAACUCAUGACUUAGACUAAUGUGAUAUGUUGAGCAUUAAGCUACAAGAUCUGCACAUCAAAGUGCUUCACGAUGUUAAGGAGAAAGCAUCUUUUUCUGCUUCUUCAUGUGAUUUAAAGUUUCCAAGGUACUUAUCCUAUAAAAUAUCUUUCAAGACUUUGGAAAUGCUUUUAUGUAUGACUGAGAGAAACUUGUUGGGUUGGUUUUUAGCAACGGACGGAGUUAUGGACUUUGUGCUGACUUGUUAUUGAUUAAGACAGUACAUCGGCUGAUCUAUUGGCAUCAAGCAGCAGAUGCAGAAAUUAUGGGUGGCAUAUCAUUGUAUCUAAGAAUAUUUAUCUCCGAGUGAAAUGCAGGCAUUUGCAGAUGAACUGUGGAUUCUUUUUCUGGAGACGAGUGCCAAAGAUGCAAUCAAUGUGGAGCAGGCUUUCUUGACCAUGGCUGGCGAGAUUAAGAAAAAGUAAAAUCACUUGACUCUUUCCUUCUUGCCUUGUGAUUGAUUCUGUGAUCCAUUGCCUAUUUGCAAAUGCUGACUGUUCUUAUUCAACAAUCACCAUUAUUGCUGGUUAUAUGCACGGUGAUGAAAAUUCUGCAAUGAGUAACUUUUUACCUAAUGUUUUCUGUUGGAACAAAUUACUCUGGUAGAAAAGCCCUACAGGGUUUGAGAAAACCCAUGAUGUGACGAUUGUGAGCAUUUUAGACACCGUGUAUGGGUUUAUUUAUGACUAUAAAAUGGUAAGAUUGUUUCUAGUUUUGGUUUGUAGUUCAUAAAAGGAUUCAAAAUUUGACAUCUGUCUAAAUCAGAUUAAUAACAUGAUAAUGUACAUAUGCAAGAUGUGAGGAAUUGUUUUAACUCACCCCUAAACUUUAAGAAAUUGAAACAUUAUCAUUCAAAAUAUUUAACAUUUCCAGAAUUGAUAGUUGUCUAUUUGAGCAGUGACUGGUGGUUAUCAUGAACUGAUGUGUGGUUGUGGUGUCAAAUCUUGGUGAAACCUGUUGUCAUCUGCCGGUUAACAUAAUAAUUUCUUGAUUCACUAAAUAUGAGUUCAAAUUUGAUGCAGAAUGGGCAACCAGCCUACUGCAAACAAAUCUUCUGGAACAGUUCAGAUGAAGGGACAGCCAAUCCAGCAAAACAGCAACUGCUGUGGUUAGCCGAGCAUCUUAUUUUACUUCUACAUGUUAGCUGACUGAUUGUAGACAGUUUUAACUAUGUUGACUGCAUUAUCUUAUGAAUCUUUUAAUCUGUCAGAUUUAUUUCCUGCUUUAAGUUCUUUCCGUUUAUAACAAAUUUAAUUUCAUGCUUCAUUGCAUUCCAAAUUCCUGUCAAUUUACGAGGGAAAAAGAAAAGAGAGACGAGAUCGGAGAAAAUGGUCAAAUUUGUUAGGGGGAGAGAGCUGUUCAAGUAGUUUUUAUUCUUGUUUAUUGUCGUGACCCUCUUGUAGCUUGUCUAUGACCUGGAAGUCCGGUCAUAUCGGAUGGGUAAAGUUACCAAAACGGCAUCAUUUUGGGUGAAAUAUCAUAUUUAUGUAACACUUUUGAUAAUAUUUUUGUGCAACAAAAAAAUGUUCGCGGUACCCUUUUCACAUUGUGUAGCGCAUGAUCGGAUGAGAGCAGUCUGGAUUGUGGCAUCACAAGCUAAUGCUUUGAUUUGCUUAGUUUGUUUUUUGUUUCUGAUUUUUUCUUGGCAUUGGGUGGCAUAUUAUUUCUCUUUUGAGUUUUCCUUUUUUUUUUUUUUUUUUUGUUAUGGAAUCUAGAGAUAGUGUACAUGUAUGAAGAUGACGUAAUAAAGUUAUUUGAUAAUCUCAAAAAAAAAAAUUCACUCUAAUAAAUCUCGUAGCAAGCACAUGGUUUAUAUUGCAAGUCUUUUCGAAACUAAUUCAAAGAGAAAAUAUAAUUGAUCUUUACUUGUCAUAAAGAAUUCUAAAUAAAUUCAUAUACGCAUCGCAGCUAAUUAGAGCCUCUAUACUUACAUUUGGUUUUUGUUACUUUUUUGUAGAGUUGUGCUGUGCAUAAAAGUUUUGUUAAAUGAAAUCGGUGGGUGAAGAGAAUUUUCAGAAGCAUACAUCAAAGUAAUGAUCAAUAUAAAUAUUGAUUGUCUCAAGUUAGAUUAUACAAAGAUGAAAUAAUGCUAAUCUAGUAAAUUCAAUCAUAAUAAUUUGACUUCCAUUAUAUUAAUUAUGUCCAAUCGUGCUACUUUAAUAAAGAACCCUCGAGCAUUUAUAUGUAUACAACAAACAAAAUUAAUUACAAAACGAUCUUUGACAAAGUCUGACCGGUCAACUAUCCACCAAAUUUUGUAAUAUGUUACCGUUGAACUCUCAUAUCAAAUAUGGAUAGACAGCGCUUUGGCUAACAGUGAAAUAUAUACGAGCAUAAGAGCUCCGUUCUCUGUUUUGAUGGUGUUUCUCUUUGUGGUUGUUGGACAAAUUGUAAUGUGAAUUUCUAUUUAAUGGGUAUCAUAAUACUUUUAGUUACUUUGGGAUUGUUGAUUUAUAUAUGACCUUCAGUAUCCAAAAUUCAGAUAAUGAUAACCUUUAGUACUCUUGUCAUAUUACCUUUCGUGUUGGUGUUAAUAUCUUAAUUAUGUACCCAAUGGUAAGGACAAUAUAUAACUAAUUUGAAACUUCUAUAAUUUUAUAUAUAUAGAUGCAAAUUCAUUUUUAAGAGUGCAUUUAAUCAAGCAGUCCAUGCGUUUAUACUGAGUAAUUGGUUCAAUAUUAAUACAAAACUAUUUUAAGUAACAUGUGGCAUAUUCUAAUUCCAGCGAGCUUCCAACUCAUAUUCCCAAUUUAAAAGAAAAGUUUUCAAUUUUCUCCAGAAUGUUCUACAAAACGUUUCUUCUAGUCUCUACACUGUGCUAGAAUUUUCUCUAAGUUUCUUUUGCAAAGACUUUUAAAGAACUAUCCAGAUACUGAGCUAUAAUCCAGUCUAAGCGUAUAUAUCUCUCUAUAUUUCACCUCCCUCCAUUUCACUAGAAGAUCAACAAACACUUAGCUUCGAAACAAACACUCUCAAAAAGCUAGCUUAGCUACCCAGAUGGCGAAAUCAAGAAUUCUUGCAAUGACAAUGUCGUUUCUUGUUAUGGCUGCAACAUUGAUUAUCAUGGCAUCACAAGCAAACACUAUGAUGUCGUACACACAAUCACCUUUCUUUGACGUGAUGUUUGCAAUGACAGAAGAUCCUUUCAGGGUUCUUGAACAAACCCCUCUAACAAUCCCAAAAAGAGCUGAUCAGCAUCAAACUCUAGCCCUGGCGAGAGCAGACUUGAUGGAGCACCAACAGCACACGUGAUCGCGCUCGACAUUCCAGGGAUGAAGAAAGAUGAAGUGAAGAUUGAAGUUGAAGAGAACAAGGUACUCAGAGUGAGUGGGGAGAGGAAGAGUGAUGAUUAUUAUAAGGAGGGAGUUGAAGGAGAGAAACGGCACAGAGCUGAGAGCACAUUUGGCAAGUUUUAGAGGCAGUUCAGGAUGCCUAUGAGUGCUGACUUGGAACAUGUUAAGGCUUAUUUGGAAAAUGGUGUUCUGAGGAUCACAGUGCCAAAGUUUGCUGAGGAGAAGAGGAGGCAGCCUAAGGUUAUUAGCAUUAAUGAAGAGCUCGCAGGUAAUUCUUUCGGUGAAGAUAUUAAGGCCACCAAGGCCCAAAUGUGAUUGAUUAAAGAAAAAAGUGCUUGCUUCGCUUGAUAUGCUAUUUAUCAAAAACUCCUUUUACCAUCCAUUUGAACAUACAUAAACACGCCCAAUUUGAAAGAAAAAAAAGUAGUAAUUAUAAAAUAUUUCAAUCGUCUACUGUUCAGCCACCAAAAACCAAUUUACCAUCCAUUUCAACGCCUAAUUUGAAAAAAGAAAAUACUAAUAAUAAAAUAUUCCAAUUGUCCAUCCUUUCACAAAUCAAAAAUAUCACCAAAAACCAAUUAACCAACUAUUUCAACAUAAGGUAUAUGGGUUAACAAGUCCCAAUAUUGUCCUCCAUCCUUUCUGCACUUCUCUCCUAUCAACGGACAUCCCUGGAUCCAUAAUUGCAAAAGUGAGUAAGGCAGGCCCUUCUUCGGAAAGUAUUUGAGCUUGCGACAAUGAUAGAGGUGCAAUUCAGUGAGGUUUUGAAGAUCAACAACCGAAGAAGAUAGGCGUUCCAGAUUUGGAAAUUUAGAAAUGCUCAGAGAUGUUAGAGAGGCAGGAAGAGGAAGCGCGGUCCCUAAUCUUUUGUCCUCUAGUGGAAAUGACACCAUGUCGUCAUCGCAUCCGCUGAUUGUAAGAUGUCGUAGAGAAGAGAAUCUGUGAAAUCCCCGGCCCCGCUCAAUCAUUGACUUCCAAAUCUCCAUAUUACCCUGAAUAUGAAGUGAAUGAAGGUUGGUGGGAAGGCCAUCUUCUUCAAGGCUUGGAAGCUCACCUCCUAUUGUUAAUUGUUGAAGAGAGGUCAGAUUGUACAAUCCCUUGGGUAAGGCCUCUAGUCUCUUACAAUCAAAUAUCGUCAGCCUCGUGAGUUUCGCACAAGGCAAUCCCCCUUCGGGAAAGGACACCAGAUUUCCACACCUCUUUAUCCAUAUCUCUUGAAGCUGGCGGAGAUUAUGUAAACCACUCGGUAAAAUUUUCAGAUUUUCACAACGAGAAAUGUCGAUUUCUUCAAGAGAUGUGUUGUUGUCCAAUCUUUCUGCUAUUGACUCCAGCUUUGAACAUCCAUAAACACGAAGGGACUUAAGAGACGGAGGUAGAUUGCCAACUUCAAGGGACUCAAGCGUGGCAGGUAACUCGUUUUUUGAAAAUAUACAUGUCAGUGAUGGACAAUGCCAAAUUUCUAAGUGCUCAAGAAGAGAUGAGGUGUACCUUCUGCUGCUGCUGCUACUGUGGAUGCCCUCUUCCACUGUCAAAGUCCUUAUAUUAUCGCAGCGGCUGAUCUCUAACUUCUUAAGUCUCGAUGGUAGCUGGACAACAGCAAUAUAUGUCAACGAUCGGCAACCCUCAAUAUUCAAGAUCUCGAGAGACGAAUUGGUGUCGCACAUCCAUGCCUCUGGUAACGAUUUCAGUGCAUCACAAUGCCUAAUCUGAAUUUUCUUCAACUUGGAAGGCAGAGCAACCUCAGGAAAGGAAACAAGGGAACUGCAGCCUUGGAUUUCUAUAUCUCUCAAGGAACUGAGGCUGAACGAUGAUUGUGGCAGCUUCACAAGGCCUUCGCAAUUACUCAAUCUUAGAUAUUCAAGUCUGCAUGACAACUCGCAGAGCUGCUGUUGUUGGUCUUUCUCUUCCUCCGCAACCAAGGAUUGAAGUUUGGGACAACUUGUAAUCGCCAGUCUUUUGAGAGAGCAAAUGUCUUGCAGUAAUUGGUUAUGGCUCUUCCAUAUACAUGUUUCAUUUUGAAUAUUAUUUAUCUCCAAUUCUUCCAGUUUUGGUAUUCGCGGCUUCAAUGGCCCUGCGAGAAACACUUCAUUUGAUGUAUCUCUACAAACCACUGAAUUCUGUGAGCCGAGAUGAUCAGUUGCACUUCUCCACACAACCUUUUUACAUCCACCAAUUUCCAUUUUGCAAAGAGCUGGAAGACUCGUAACUGACACUGACAAUUCUUCACAUUCUCCAAUAACAAGCAUCUCCAAUGCAGGAAGGCAUUCUGGCACUGUUCCCCGCAGUUUAGAACAUCUUGAAAUGCGAAGCUCUCUCAAUUUAGGAAACCCUUCAACUCCCUGACCAGAUCUAAGAGGAAUCCAGUCUUCCCAUUCUUGCAUGUCUACAAAACGAAGACUUUCCAAGCAUGGAAAAGGAAUCAGGGAAUCAUUCCCAUAGAACUCUGAACCCAAACUCUUUACUCUACUCAUUCCACGCACUUCAAGAUGCUUUAGAGAGGGUAGUUGCCCGACUGAUGGCAGGGUAGUACACAUGCCACAAACUUCAAAAGUUAAGGUCGCCAAAUUUGAGAAUGAGGAAUCUCCCAACCAAGUUGGAAAUUCUUUACCUCCAUAGCCACUGAUACAAAAUUGUUCCAGAUUUUCAUGAGGUUUUAGCAUGUCGACCACAUCCUUUUCAGUUUCUGCCUCCCUUGAAGGCAAACCAUUGGUACUCCGUGUCCAUCGAAAGGUUAACACUUUAAGAUUCUUCUUUCCAUCCAAUUGAGCCUCCUUCGCAUCACCAAUGUCUUUUACGUUCUCUAAUUUUGAAAUGUUAAGUGGCCCACGAAGAUGCGUCAACAAUUUUAGCUCUCGUAUCCCGGAACCACUGUCUUUUCCCACAACAAAAUUACACAGCGUUUGAAGGCAAGUCAACUUACCAAUUCCUAGUGGCAUCUCCUCCAAUGAAUCUGUAUUUGAAUUAUUGAGAUGAUGCAAUUUGAUGAGAUUUCCCAUGUCUGUACACAACUUCUUCAGUCGCCGACAGCCCUCCAACAGAAAGGUGUGCAAAUUGUAAAGCUUGUUGACUGAUUCGGGUAGAGUUAUAAUGCCAGUUCCCGAUAAGUUAAGGUACCUUAAAUACCUCAAAUCACCAAUUGAAUCCGUUAGCUCAUAGAUGCAAUAUCCACGCAAAGAGAAGACCCUCAACCGUUGGAGUUUGAACAACUUAGGAAGAAUGCUACGAGCCAAGAAUCCACGCGAACUAUUUGACAAUGUUACUGGUAAAAAAGUUCGCAAAUGGUGGAUAUCAUGCAAGUCCUCAAACCUUUGAACGCGAUCACAAUAUCCACGAAUGUAUGACAGGUGACGAAGAUUUUUGGAAAAACUUUGUUGCUUGUUAACCUCUGAGUUAUACUCCAUUGUGAAGUACAUCUCCCCAGCGGCCCAAUGGGCAAGUUCGUUGACAAGGUCGUGCAUCACAAAUCGUGAUUUGUUGUUGCUUGAUUGCUGGAAAAAAGAUCUUGAACGUAGCUCUUGAAAGAACUUUCGACCUAGAUCUUCAUUAGGAUUCCCACUCUCUUUGUGAUCCAAGAAACCCGAAGCAUACCAUAAUAAAAUUAUCUCCUCCUCUUCAAAUUCAUAAUCCUUUGGAAACAAUGAGCAGUAUGCAAAGCAUUGUUUCAAAGGUGCCGAAAGAUAAUAGUAGCUCACUCUAAGCGCCGGUAUAAUGUCACAUCUCUCUUCGGGUAAAUUCCAUAUCAUGCAACUGAGCACACCUUCCCAAUCACUCCCGCCAAGUUUACCACGCAAGAGUCCACCAAGAGUUUUCGCAGCUAAGGGCAAGCCGUUGCAUUUGAUCACUAUCUUCUUGCCAAUUUCCUCCAAUGACUUGUUUGAACUGAAAUCUCUUGUCCCCAAAGAGUGUUGAGCGAACACAGACAGACAAUCAUCAUUUGACAACUUUUUCAAUUGAUAAGCCGGAGCAGUCCCCAUGAUGGCUGCAACCCCUUGAUUACGAGUUGUGACAAUAAUCUUACUUCCCGGUGCGCCAGCUUCAAAUGGAGGUCUGAGUCGAUCCCAACCAUUGUAAUUCUCAUUCCAAACGUCAUCUAAAACAAGCAAAAAUUUCUUUUGAGAUAACUUCUUCUUCAGCUCCUCUUGAAGCAAAUUUAAAUCACUAUCAUCAGUAGUCUGCUUAGUAAUGGAUCUUAGAAUUGUUUUUGUUAGCCUGAUAACAUCAAAAUCAUCAGAGACACAAGUCCAUGCCUUGAGAUCAAAAUGACCCUGCACUCGAGCAUCAUUAUAGACAAGCUGAGCGAGAGUGGUUUUACCCAGCCCGCCCAUGCCUAUGAUAGGAAUAACAGAGAAUUCACCAUCAUUUCUCAAAUCAUCCCUCAACAACAAUUCAACAAUUUCUUUCUUUUCUGCUUCCCUGCCAAAUACCUUGGCUUCAUUCACCAAAGAGGUUGUGGGUAGUCUUUGCCUGUCUUUUUUGGACCCCCCAGUUGAACUUUCUUUCAAAUCUAGCAAGUCUUUCUGUGUCACAAUUUCUUGAAAUCUGCCGUUGAUCUCUUUGAUUUUGGACAUCAAGGCAUAAUCGAAAUGAAUCGAUUGUGGAGUAAAAGUGGUGCAGCAAGUAGGAAUGAGCUUCCGAAACUUACUUGUUCUUGUACGACUGCUACUGGGUUGAUCCUGAGCCGCAGCUGGAUCUCCAUUUCCAAGCAGCAACCUCCUCCGGAAAGCCUCAGUUUGAAACUCAUCCAACAAGUCUUCAACAUCAUAAGCGAAGUUCUGAAGCUUGCCAAGCCACUUCUUCACAAACUGAUUAGUCGUCUUCUUCUCCUCAGCAUCAUCAAGUACCGCCUUGAUCAUCUCCAACAUAUUCGCCCACUUCAUCAGAUCGGCCUGGAUUUGCUCUUGGCGUGCAAAAAACAGAAUCCCCUCUGAAGCUAACUUAUUGACCAGCAAAUCAACGGACGCCGUAAGGAUUGCCUCUCCGAUGAUUGACAUUUUUUUUUUGUUUUGCAAAGAAAGAAACAGAAUUUUGAGUUUUGAAAAGCAAAAUGAGAAAAUUGAACAAUAAGUGUGGAGGGUCAAGCAAAAUGCGCGUAACAAGUCUUCCGCUUCUUGUUUAUUCCAGGAAAGUGCAAAUAAAAACAGAGCCCACCACCCAUUAAUAAUUGAGCAAUUCACCAAUCACGAGUCGCCACCACUCGUUACCAUGAAUAUAAUAAAUUGCACCUCCAUAUUUGCAGGGUCCAGCAACAUUGACCCAGUGUCCGGGUAAAUGCUGAAUAACGAGGAAAAUGGAAUGUAUCCGCUACGAAGCUUCGCUUUACAGGUCUUCAAACUCAUAAACCAAGAUAAAUCAAAACGUUUAUCUCUCUCUCUCUCUUUUUGCCAUAUAAUUACUUUAUUUAUUGAAUUAAUUUCCAUGCUAAAAGGAAGACUUAAAAGUGCACUACAAUUUUUUAUAAUCACAAUGGUAAUUUCUACUAUCAUGUUAUUUUAACGUCGUGUUAAAAUAAAUUAUUACAAUUUUUUUUUUUAUGAACACUCUUUUCAUUUAUAAAAUUUUUAAUUUUUAAUAUUUUUCUCACUCUUUUAGUCUUAAUAUUUGUAUUUCUCUCUUCAAACUUUCUUUAUUAUUUAAUUUUUAAAAAAAUAUGAAAAAAAGUAAGAAAAAUAUUAUACUUAAAAGAUAGUGAAUAUUUUAUGGGUCUAAUACAAGCCUGUAUUGUUUUUGACAAUGAAAGAGCACGCGAAAAAUCUCACUCAUAGAAAACUUUGUGAAAGGCAUUUGAAUGUGUGGCCACAUUUUCCGAACGAAACGAUAAGGCUUUAGCCUUAUAAUUGCAAUUAGUUUGUCUUGUAACUAAAUUAUUGCCGACAAACACCAUCAUGCUGACAAACCGUGCAUGCACGUCCUCAAUCACCCCAUAUUUCCCAUUACUUCCCGUACUUUAUGCGUUAUUGUUUUGUAUGUUUUUUGGUGUUUUCGGUGUAGUUAGGGAUCGUAGCGGGUAGCGUCUGGUACGGGUUUGACAUCACCAAACCCGCAUCUACAAAAAAUUUUAAUUACGUAAUUCAAAUUAUAAAUUUAUAAACAUUGCCUAAAAAAACCACAUAAAAUACUUAAUUCUACAUUUUAUCAAUAUAAAUGAGAAAUGAAAAUAUCAACAUUAAAACAAAUACACAAAAUAUAUCAAUUUAACAUUAAUUCUUAAAUUCAAUUACCAAAUAAAUAAGUCUAUCACAACUCGAAGUGCUUUUAAUUUAAAAAGAAAAAAGAGAAAGAGAAAAAACAAAGAACUACAAAUCAAAGUAGCACUCAGACCUAUUUUAUAGGCUCAUUCGACACUAAGAUCUUAGAAUUAAGAUCUUCAAUUCAUUCAUUACCACUAGCACCCAUUCAACGUGGUUUUUCUAAGCAAAAUAUAAAGUACAAAAUUACAAUAAGCAUAUGAUACUCCAUGCUUUAAGUUAAAGGUCCUUAUAUAAUUUUAUGAAUAAUGUUUUAGUGAAAUUUUAUGAUUAAAGUUAAAAAUACACAAAUAUUAAAAUAAGAAUGUUGGAUACCUGUGCAACUAUUUGCCAAAUUUUUUCUCUAUAAAAAUUCACUUGCAACUUGCAGCAGGUUUAAAUUUAUAAUAUCAAACUUGAUUGUAGCUCGCAAAAUUUUUAGAUCUGCGAUAAUUUUGCCACCCUAAGUGUAGUUAGUAUUGUAUAUCGUGUGUUUCCAAUUGGCUCUUAUAAAAAGCCUAGAAGUUGUUUGAAUAAUGAGGGAGACAAAUAUUUCCCAAAGAUAUUAUCUUUUUCAAAUUUUUUUUCUUUUCUCUAUUAUUGUAACUUCAAAUCCUUAAAAAUUACAUAUUACAGAUAUGAACACAAUGUUUUGACAUAGUGCCUUUUGGCUUGUCUAGAGAAAUUUAGGAUAGAUUUUGAUGUACGAAGGCUCUGUUUACUAUUGAGAUUUUGAAACUUUUGAGCCACACUUGAAAUUUGUUUAAUUCUAAUAGAGUUGUAGCCUUCGAUAUGUGAUUGGUAUUAAUCAAGUGUUAUGUUUACAGCAGUUAAAGGCAUAUUGAAUCAAAGUCCACUUUUGAUUGAGAUUUUAAAGUAGGUUUUUAAUUUGAUAGCCACUCAAGUUCAAAUAUUGGAACCACAGUGCACCUUUCACUUGCUAGGCUUUAACCAAACAGACGACGUUAUACCAACUUCUAUCCAAUAAGGCAAUGAAAACAAAAGCAAGUGAAUUAAAAAUAAAUAAUUUCUCAUUAAUUUGCAACAAGUAUUAAUAAAGUGCAUGAGAAAAUAUGUCUUUUUUUAAAUGAAAAUAAAUGUGUUAAUUAGUCAAUUUAAAUGGUACGAUGUUUUGAAAUGAUAGAAGCGAUCUGGAGUUUAAAUCUUACUCUUGACGUAAUAUUUAAUAACGAAUUUGAAGAACAAUUAAAAAUUAAAAGAAAAGAAAAAAAUGCUUUCUUUUUUAACGAUGGUAAUUUGUUCAGACGAUGAAAAUUCUUAGAGUGGUAUAAUAAGUAUUUUUGAGUGUUGCCAUCGCGAAUAAUAUUUAAUUUCCUUUAUAUAGUUAUAUCUCAAGUAACAUUUGAACAGAAGCAAGUUGGAAAUUAAAAAAAAGAAUGAACCAUUGAGAGAAUGAAAAACAAACAAAAAAAAAGUUAAAAAAAUUGUAUCUCAAUAAAUUUACUUGAGAGCUACUCUAUUGAUCUGUGAAGAGAAAACACAAAGAAUAAUGAUGAAUAUCAAUUAAUAGGACAAUUUUUGUAUUUUUCGUUUAUUCAAGAAUCACGAAACUUCAUUUAAACUUGUUAUUUCAUUGAUAAUAUUAAUAUAUUAAUAUUGAACAAUUAAUGUAGGAGACAUUCCUUUCCAAUUAUGCCCAUAUAUUAAUUAAAGAUCACCCAAAAGUUCAGGGAUACUAUAGUAAUUUAAGUCAACAAUUUCUGCGCUUGAAAUCAGCCGAUCAAACUCACUUUAGAAUAAACUGAGAAAUCAAAAUCACAUUCUCCGAUUCUACGAUUUCAAUUCAUCUUAUUUCUUCAACUGAAGAAUUGGUUGUAUCUCGUUUUAUUUUAUUUUUAUUUUUAUAUUAAGAUAAAUAUAAAAUAUAAAUGACGAGGAGACUGUAAAUGUAAAAACAAAAGAAGAGCACAAGUUUUAUUGAAAAUGACUCUUUUCAUCAUUUUGGCGGAGUGAACGUAUCUACAUAUAAACUAAAGAAGCACAUUUGUUUGUAUUAACUUUUUUAUUAUAUUUUUAAUAAUAAGUCAUUUUUCAAUGAACUUAUAUCAAUUUUUACGAAAAUAAUAGGUGUUAGUUAGUUGAUUCAAAUGGCAAAACCUCUUGGAUAGAGCUUGUAAUUUAUUGGCUCAUGAAUUGUCUAAAUUGACACUACCGAAGCCAAAUUAUUAUAUUUGGUUAAAAAAGCUCCUGCUGAGCUUCAACUUUAUUAUUCUAUGAUGUUUAUUAAUAAAUAACAAUUUUAUUAAAAAAAAGAUCUCUUGAAAUGAUACAAAAGAUUUGGGAUCUGAAUCUCACUCGAAUUUAGCUUGAGGUUGGCAUUGUUAGCAUAAUAUUUGAAGAUAGAUUUUUUUAAAAUUAAAAAUCAAAAGAUUUUUUUUUCUGGUUCACACUAGUUAGUUUUUACUCAUAAUGAGAUUAAAACAAAAGCGGAAUAAUAAAUCUUAACAUCCUGACUCAUGGAUAACAUCUAGAUAAGAUAGUAAAAUCUAUUAUGUCCAAAAUAAGAGGUAUGAAGUUUGAAUUUCGCUCACAUAGGUAGUAAGAGAAUCAAAUUAUUGUUAGAUUAAAUUAAUUAAAAAAAUUAUCUGAUAUCCAAAACAGCGUGUCAACAAAAUUGAAAUAAAAGAAAAUUGAAGAGAAAAACCAUUGAGAGAACGAAAAAUUAACACAAGAUAAAUUCGAUAACUAAUUGUAUCAGUGUGCGCUAACUUCACUUAUUAAAACUUGGUUAUUUCAUUUUCAUUGAUAAUCAUUUUGACAACGAUUUUUCUUUCCAGCUAUGCCCGUGAACUAAUAAGAGAACUGCCGAAAGGGUUCGGGGAUAAUAUAGUAAUUUAAAUUAACAUUUUCUGUGCUUCAAAUCAUCAAAUCAAACUCACACUUCGCAACAACAGAGAAAUCAAACUCACGGUUUCUCUCAUUUUUAAUUUGUUAUAUAAAGAUAAAUAUAUAAAUUUAAAUGGCGAGAAGACCGGACGAGAAAUACGAUUACUUGUUCAAAGUGGUAUUAAUCUAAAAAUAAUAAUAUUAAAUAAAACACCUGUAACUUUAAGACAUACAUAUUCUCAAAGCACAAGUGGACCCGAGAGGCUGGGAGUCGUAAUGGAAAGAAGAAUACAAUAUAUGAAACUUAUAACGUUAUUUUUACUAUAUUAUAUUGAUACUUUGUUUUGUUAAUCAUAUAAGUCAAUCAAUAAUUGUCUAAUCAUUGGAAUUAAAACUAAUGUAUUAAUUAAAAUUCACAAUCUAUUAUAAAAAUAGUAAAUAUUAAUACAAAGAGAUGGACCUAUUACAAAAUAAAUUCACCAAAAGUUCUAUUAUACUUAAAAUUCUCAUUCAAAAAAAAAUAAUAGUUGAAUACAUGUACAAAAAAAGGGGAUAAAUAAAAAAUAAUAAUAAUAAAUAAUAAAAGGAUAGUUUAUAUAAUAAAAAAUAAAUUUAUUGAAUAGGGAUGUUAAUAAUAAAGAAUAAUAGCCGAUCAAACUCACUUUAGAAUAAACUGAGAAAUCAAAAUCACAUUCUCCGAUUCUACGAUUGACUCUUUUUCAUCAUUUUACUGGAGUGAAUGUAGCUACAUGUAUUGGGGACCAUAAUGGAAACUGGUAGAAACUACAAGGGCUAAAAUCAGAACAACGAACGAUAUCUCAAGGUCGCCAAAACGUAAAUAAUUAAUCUUAUCUUUCAAUUGAUUUUUUUGUGGAGACAGAGACAAACCCGAACAGCAAAUAGCCAUAACUGAUAGGACAACUAAGUUGGAACACUCCGCAGACCCACGAUUUAAUAUCUUUAGAUUGUAACGGUUUAACCCCCAAAAAAAAAAAUUAGCAAAAUAUUUCUUAAAAAAAUGAAAAAAAAAAUGUUGAAAAGAAGAACAAAAUUGUGGUCCACGUGUCAUUUCAGAAUAGGUUGCUGGCAUAAACAACCGGCCCCAUCCCGGACAGAUGUUAUUUGAGUGGUUGGUACGCGUUUCUACUUUUUUGUUUUAGACAUAUAUAGGUAAUCCCUAUCUUAUAUAUAUAGGUAAUCCCUAUCUUAUAUGCAUAUAAGAUACAUAAUGUUAUUAGUUUAAAUAAUGGGUGCAACUCAUGUUUUUGAAACAUUAAGAUCUUUAGCCAUUCUCUUACCAUCCCAUGGUUAUUUAAGUUACAAGAGACAGUAAAAAAACGUCAUAUUUUAAUUACUUACACUAAUAAAUAACUUACUCACACUAAUGCCGCGACUACCGCUUGCUUUUUUUCUUUUUUUUGCCCUUUUGUUUUUGACUUUUUGACUUUUGCUUUUGGUUUAUAAUAAUAAUAAUAAUAAUAAUAAUAAUAAUAAUAACUACUUUUUAAUUUAAUAUAAUAUAAUAUUAAAUAAUAUUUUUAAUUUUAAUUUUACAUUAUAAUUAUUAAUAUAUAAUUUAUUAUUCAAUAUUAUUAUAUUAUGUUUUUUAUUUUUACAUUAUAAUUUAUUAAUAAAUUUAUAAUUUAUUAUAACUAAUAAUAAAUAUUUAAAUAUGAAUAAAUAUGAAUAAUAUUAAUUUAAAAUUAAUAAUAAUAUAAAAUAUUAAUACAAUUUAAAUAUAUUAAUAUAAUAUAAUAUAAUAUUUAAUUUGAAUUAAUCACAAAAAAUUAAUACAGUACAGUGUAGCACCAAAUAUUGUACAUUAUUAUUAUAAUACAAUGUUAAUGCAACGCAACAUAAUACAAUACACCAGCAUUAAAAUAAUACAAUCUAGCAUAAUACACUACAGUGUGCGAAAUACACCGACAUAGAAUUACUUUGUUUGUCUUGUUAUUUACAAUUAUUUAAUCUGUAGACCCACUCAUGCUCCUUCUAUGUAACAUAGAUACAAUUUGAGGAAGAUUAUCAAUUUUUUCUGAUAAAAAAUAAUAUAUACCACUUACUCUUUAUUGUUUUUAUAAUGUUCAACAAUCCGCUUGAGAUAAAAAAAAUUAAAUGAAAAAGAGUAAAUAGAUGAUUUGUUUGAUGUUAUAUCUUAGAAAUAUAAAAUAUAUAUUUAUUAUUAAAAAUAUUUAAAAAUAAUAAAGAGUACAUAAAAAAUAUCUUAUCCUCAACAACAAGAUCAGACGACGUCAAUUCAGCAAAAUGACUCGAACAAUCUGAAAGUCCAGCGUCACCUCUUGGGACACAUCUGGCAACCUGUGUAGCUUUGGCGAGAGGUCUCCCAAAAGGACGAUUAAGGAAAGAUUGCAAGACGGAAUCAUGAAAAUAGUAGUACUGAGUCCAUCACAGUCAAGUCUUAGAAAUCACAUCCCUGUAUUAAUUUCCAGAAAAAUGUUUGUUCCAUAUUAGCCGUACACGUAUAUAUUCUAUAUAUUGGGAAUAGAAAGAGCAUAUGUAGAAAAUUCUUCAUUCAUCAAUUAAAACUUAACUUAUGUACGAGGGUUAAGUGCAGAGUUUUUAAAUUUGAAAGGGAUAAGUAUUAUAGUCCAUUUCAAUUUAGAUACAAGUACUUCGAACUUGUAUUUGAGGUAAAAUCUGUAUACCAUAGUACAUAUUAUAUAUCCAGUCAUGGGAUCCAUGCAUGGUUCCAUGUAAUUCGCAGAGUUGAACUGGAGACACUGAUUAGUUCGUUGUCUACUUACCAACUAUGUACUACUAAGUAAUUUUUUUUUUUUUUUUAUGGUUCAAAAGCAUAUUGUCAAACCACAAUCAGAAGCAACUUAAGUUUUGAUUACGGUUCACCAGAAGUCACAGCUAGCAAGUGAUCCUUGCAUCAUUUUGCUAAACAUACAAUGAAAUUAACCCUUGUAAUUUCGGCCUUUGCCAUAGUCGUUUUGUUUAUUAGGUUUAUGUUUAUCAACAUGAUAUAUUGUCAACCAUAAUCACAAUCAAGUUGUUAAUUAUUUUUUAAAUAAUGCGAAGGUACAAGAUUUUGGUCUUUGAGUGUGGAGUUAAAAAUAUCUCACCUCAACAUUAUUUGUUAAAAAUUAUGUCAAAGAGGAAAGCAGAUUCAAACAUUACUUCAAUUUUCUUUAAGAGCAUCAAAAAAUCGUUAAUAGGCUACUGUUAUUUGUUAGUACGAUUUCACAAAAGGAAGCUGGGGGAAGAUGAAGCUUUCAAGUCAUGUAUGCAUCAAAGUAAGAAAGAGCUAACAAGAGAUAGACAAGUAUUAACCAUCGUUAUCAGAAAUUAAAUAUGUCAGCAUUUUGUCAGUUCUGGCCAUAUUUUGAAAGAUUGGAACUAUUAGCACCCUAAUUUUCUUUUGAAGCUCCUUUUCUGUGGAAACCUAUUUUAAUUUCCAAAAUAUCUUUUUUCCAUUCUUUUAGUUUCUUUCUGAUUCAAAAAAAAAAUCAGUUUCUUAAACAACUCCAACUAUAAAUAUUUUUUUACAAAUUUUUGAAUUGUUAAAUCAUGUGUGUGUAUAAAUUGAAUAGAAUUAAAAGUGAACUCAAAUGGCUAUUAUGUAAUUUUUUUUUUUAUAAUUAAAGAAAAGUUUAGAAUGCAAAAGUGCGUGUGAGAAAACAAAAAAUAUAAAUCGCCUUUGAUGUAGUUGUAUGGCUGUAAAGAGUUAAAUGGAGAAAUAUAGUAUAUAGUUAAAUUUAUUUUGUUCUUUAAAACGGGUAGGUUUUAUAAGAAUUGUUUAGAGGACUACCAAUAUUUGAACUCUUUUUCAAAUGAAGUGAUGUCCAAGAAUAAAAUCACUACUCUAUCAUUGCUAUUAGUUUGUCUUGUAAUUCAAUCACUGCCGACAAGUAUUAAUUGUGAAUAUUAUUAUUUUAAAAAUAUUAUUAUUAUUAUCGUCGUUAUUCUUAACAGCAAUGACUAGAAUUAUAAUAAUAACAAUAACGUUAUACCAUAAUAUAACAACACAAUAAUAUUUUAAUUGAGAAUAAGAAUGAAAUUAUGAAAUUUAGGUUGGGUAAAAUUGAUGAGUGAAGAAAUUAAAUUACCAUUCUUUAAGCUAAAUAGUUCAUAAAUUCCACAUAUUUUAUUCUUAUUUUUCUUAUAUUUUAACAAGUAAAUAUUAUUAAUUAUUUUAAUAUUUUAAUUAAUAAACACGAGAUUAACUACAGAACCAAAAGAUCCCAAAAAAAAAAGGGGAGACGCGUGUAUGUAUUGCUUGUGACAAGUCUCACCCAUGGAAAACUUUGUGAAAGGCAUUUGAAUGUGUGGCCACAUUUAAUGAACGAAACGAUAACUUUAAAAGAAAGUAUGUAAUGUGUUGAUUAUUAGGCUUUAGCAUGGUGAUUGCAAUUAGUUUGUCUUUUAAUUAAAUUAUUGCCUACAAACACUAUCACGACCCACGUCCGCUACUUGUGUGAAUGUGUGAAUAAAUAUCCGCAGCAUAUUAUCAAACCUGAAGCGUGAUCAUCUUUAAGUUUUGGUUACAGUUCAUCAGACGUUAAAAAAAAAACUCCACAUAUUGUUGGUUAGCUAAUUCUUGCAGCUAGCAAGUGAUCAUUUUCUUUCCCCUACUGCCGUAGCAUCAAAUCCUUGCACUUACAUAUCAAGUGGUAUUCGAGCCGUCAAAUGAUCCAUGGAAACACGCAACAAAUCAAAUGCUGAAUUUUGCGAAGAGAUUCACGAAAUCCUUGCUAUACAUGAGUCUAGUUUUGACCAAGUUCACGUCACCCAUCAGCUGCGGGUUUGAAUGGUACCUAGUGGAUAGUUUGUGAGUUCCCACUAAUAAAAUCACACUUGCAACAAAACUUAAAAAUUUAAAUUACGUAAUUCAAAUUAUAAAUUUGUAAUCGUAGCCUAAAAAAUCACAUAAAAUACUUAAUUCUAGAUUUUAUCAAUGUAAAUGAGAAAUGAAAGUUUUAACAUUAAAAUAAAUACACAAAAUAUAUCAAUUUAACAUAAAUUCUCAAAUUUAAUUACUAAAUACAUAAGUCUAUCGCAACUCAAAGUGUAGCACCAAAUAUUAUACAUUAUUAUUAUAAUAAAGUGCUAAUGCAACGCAACAUAAUACAAUACACCAGUAUUAAAAUAAUACAAUCUAACAUAAUACAAUACAGUGUGCGAAAUGAACCGAAAUGGUAUUACUUUGUUUGUCUUGUUAUUUACAAUUAUUUAAUCUGUAGACCCACUCAUGCUCCUUCUAUGUAACAUCGAUACAAAUUGAGAAAUUUUAUCAUUUUUUUCUGGGAAAAAAUAAUAUAUACCACUUACUCUUUAUUGUUUUUAUAAUGUUCAACAAUCCACUUGAGAUAAAAAAAAUUAAAUGAAAAGAAGGAGUAAAUAGAUGAUUUGCUCGAUGUUGUAUCUUAGAAAUAUAAAAUAUAUAUUUAUUAUUAAAAAUAUUUAAAAAUAAUAGAGACUUCAUAAAAAAUAUCUUAUCCUCAACAACAAGAUCAGACGACGUCAAUUCAGCAAAAUGACUUGAACAAUUUGAAAGUCCAGCGACGGUCACCUCUUGGCACACAUACGGCAACGUGUGUAGCUUUGGCAAGAGGUCUCCCAAAAGGACGAUUAAGGAAAGAUUGCAAGACAAAAUCAUGAAAAUAGUAGUACAGAUAUGCAAUGGCUAAAUUGUCCUCGAUUGAGUCAAUCGCAAUCAAGUCUUAGAAAUCGCACCCCUGUAUUAAUUUCCAGAAAUAUGUUUGUUCCAUAUUUAUCGUGCACGUAUACAUUGUAUGUAUUGGGAAUAGAAAGAGUGUAUGUAAAAAAUUCUUCAUUCAUCGAUUAAAACUUAACUUAUGUACGAGAGUUAAGUGCAGCGUUUUUAAAUUUAAAAAGGACAAGUGGUUAGAGCUCCCACAAAUGUAUUGUAGAAGUUUAAUUUAAAUUUUUCUUCCUUAAAACUUAAGUGAAGACAGUUUUUCUCCUAAAAGUAGAGUUUUUCUAGGAGUUUGACGUCCCUCAAAUAUUUGAGAGGGUUAAAAUCUGAGCAAUACUAUAUAAGAUGUAAUGUAAACUGAUCUCAAUAAUUAUAUAAUUGUAAAUAUCAUGAGCAACAAUCUCAUUAAAAAAAAAGCAGAACAAGUGUCGUAAGUGUUGGAGAAAAAUUAGGUUUUUAAAUUUUUUAUAAAACCUUUUGAAGAUCUCUCUCAUAUAAUAUAUAAGAAUACGUAAUCUAGAAAUCGUAUCUUGAAAAUCCGAUUUGGCUUUUUUCGUUGAAGUGAUUUAGGCUCCUUGAUCACGAUCUUCCAUCACCACUCCUGUUAGAUCACGAUCCGUCACCACCACACUUGUUAGAUCACGAACUGUCACCAAUGAUCUUCCAGGUUAUGACUCAGGUUUGAUCUGCACUUGACGUGUGGGCGCCUUUAUCACUACUAAAGCAACUAGCACGAGAAAAUUUUUCUCUCAACAAUAGAGAGAAAAAUAUUUUUCUCUGAUCUGUAUAAAGUGGCUGCUCUCUUUUUCUUUUUAGAAAAUAAGCCUUUUUUAUAUCACUCUUUAGUGAAAACCCUAGACUCCAAAUAAUCAAAAAACAAAACUCACGUUAUUUGUUUUUUCUAUAGGAGACCCACCUUGUAAAAUAACAUAAGGCCCCUUACACAAAAGCUAAUUAAAUGGAGCCUCCCACUAAAUGAUAUAUUUAGGCUUUUGACCCAAAUAGCUAGUUAUCUUACUUAUUAGUCUAGUAGUGGUGCAGUCAAUUAAAUGAGCUAACCCAGGGAUCAUUUGGGAACAUACAAUAGUAGCUACAAUAAUUAGGCCUGUAAUUAAACUAGCCCAAUUAUUUACUUCCAAAUCUACUCCACUAAAAGAUUGGAACUGACUUCCAUAAUUGUAUGCUCGAAUAAUAAUUCGUCCCAAGCCACAUUGAUUUCUUUACUGCACAAUCCUUUGUACCACAUCGUUAAUUAAAUUGAUAUCUCAACUGUCCAAUCAAUUUAAUAACAUCUUAUUCCUUGAUCCUUACUGGUUUUCUCUAAUGAUCAUUUUCAACAUACUAAAUAUGUUGACACACUCUGGCCAGAGAAUUCUAUGAUCAAGUGCCGAAAACCCAUCAAGAGAUGUGUUGUACAAAUUCUAUAUUGUUAAUCCAUAACUCCAAUACUCAUAAUUGCUCCCACUAAGAUACCGGGUAAUCUUGACCACAAGGAUGUGUCUGCCCAUUGGUAAUUCAAAUGGAAUAACAAUUACAAUCAUGAAAUCAUAAUUAACUCAAGAUUAAGAUUACAGUAAAAUCAAUGCCUAUGAGAUUUAAUAAGUUUGACAGUUAUUACAAAGUUAAUUAAAUCUCAUAUGUGAUCCUGUUCAAUAUAGUCAUACUACAUCAAUAAAUUCAUACAUGAAUAAGACAAAUCAUUCAAUGAAUUUAUUACAGUCUAUACCUAAAUAAAGUGCCCAAUUUUAUUUAUCAACUGCGAACUAAAUUUAUUUAAUCAUAAGAUAACUUGUAUUUAUGUUUUCUGUGAAUCCACAUGGUGAUCACAUAAAUACAUCUAAUAUGAUUAAAUGGAUUUUAAUACAAAUAUUAAUGCAAUUAAGAUAUUUGAAUAAAAUACCUUAUUUAUUUUAUUAAUCAGAAAAAUUAUUUAUUACAAUUAAAUAAACACAUAUGCUUUUAAAGAGCAUAUUUUCCCAACAAUAAGCCCAUUUAAAUAAACUAAUAUUUGAAGGGGAAAUCUCUGUAUACCAUAGUAUAUAUUAUACAUCCAGUCAUGGGACCCAUACAUGGAUGGUUCCAUGUAAUUCGCAGAGUUGAACUAGAGACACUGAUUAGUUUGUUGUCUACUUACCAACUUAUGUACAACUAAGUAAUUGCAUGCUCCAUUUGCGACUUAUCUGUCCACCCUGCUUGCAUUGCAUUAACUACGUCCCCAAUCACCCACGUCCGCUACUUGUGUGAACGUGUACAUAAAUACAUAUAUCCGCAGCAUAUUAUCAAACCAGAAUCAGAAGCAACUUAAGUUUUGAUUACGGUUCACCAGAAGUCACAGUUAGCAAGUGAUCCUUGCAUCAUUUUACUAAACAUACAAUGAAAUCAACCCUUGUAAUUUCGGCCUUUGCCAUAGUCGUUUUGUUCAUUAGGUUUAUGUUUAUCAACAUGAUAUAUUGUCAACCAUAAUCGCAAUCAAGUUGUUAAUUAUUUUUUAAAUAAUGUGAAGGAACAAGAUUUUGGCCUUUGAGUGUGGGGUUAAAAAUAUCUCACCUCAAUAUACGGUGUUGUGCUCUCAUCAUCGUACUAUUAUUUGUUAAAAGUAUGUCAAAGAGGAAAGCAGAUUCUGUUGGGAAAAUAUGCUCUUUAAAAGCAUAUGUGUUUAUUUAAUUGUAAUAAACAGUUUUUCUGAUUAAUAAAAUAAAUGAGGUAUUUUAUUCAAAUAUCUUAAUUGCAUUAAUAUUUGUAUUAAAGUCCAUUUAAUCAUAUUAUAUGUAUUUAUGUGAUCACCAUGUGGAUUCACAGAAGACAUAAAUACAAGUUAUCUUAUGAUUAAAUAAAUUUAGUUCGCAGUUGAUAAAUAAAGUUGGGCACUUUAUUUAGGUAUAGACUGUAAUAAAUUCAUUGAAUGAUUUGUCUUAAUCAUGUAUGAAUUUAUUGAUGUAGUACGACUACAUUGAACAGGAUCACAUAUGAGAUUUAAUUAACUUUGUAAUAACUGUCAGACUUAUUAAAUCUCAUAGGCGUUGAUUUUACUGUAAUCUUAAUCUUGAGUUAAUUAUGAUUUCAUGAUUGUGAUUGUUAUUUCAUUUGAGUUACCAAUGGGCACGACACAUCCUUGUGGUCAAGAUUACCCGGUAUCUUGGUGGGAGCAAUUAUGAGUAUUGGAGUUAUGGAUUAACAAUAUAGAAUUUGUACAACACAUCUCUUGAUAGGUUUUCGGUACUUGAUCAUAGAAUUCUCUGGCCAGAGUGUGUCAACAUAUUUAGUAUGUUGAAAAUGAUCAUUAGAGAAAACCAGUAAGGAUCAAGGAAUAAGAUGUUAUUAAAUUGAUUGGACAGUUGAGAUAUCAAUUUAAUUAACGAUGUGGUACAAAGGAUUGUGCAGUAAAGAAAUCAAUGUGGCUUGGGACGAAUUAUUAUUCGAGCAUACAAUUAUGGAAGUCAGUUCCAAUCUUUUAGUGGAGUAGAUUUGGAAUUAAAUAAUUGGGCUAGUUUAAUUACAGGCCUAAUUAUUGUAGCCACUAUUGUAUGUUCCCAAAUGAUCCCCGGGUUAGCUCAUUUAAUUGACUGCACCACUACUGGACUAAUAAGUAAGAUAACUAGCUAUUUGGGUCAAAAGCCUAAAUAUAUCAUUUAGUGGGAGGCUCCAUUUAAUUAGCUUUUGUAUAAGGGGCCUUAUGUUAUUUUACAAGGUGGGUCCCUUAUUGAAAAAGCAAAUAACGUGGGUUUUGUUUUUUGGAUUAUUUGGAGCCUAGGGUUUUCACUAAAGGAAGAUAUAUAAGGUUUAUUUUCUCUAAAGGAAAAGUGAGAAGCCACUUUAUACAAAUCAGAGAAUAAGAUUUUUCUCUCCAUUAUUGAGAGAAAGAUUUUCUCGUGCUAGUUGCUUUGGUAGUGAUAAAGGCGCCCACACGUCAGGUGCAGAUCGAACCUGAGUCAUAACCUGGAAGAUCAUUGGUGACAGUUCGUGAUCUAACAAGCGUGGUGGUGACGGAUCGUGAUCUAACAAGAGUGGUGGUGGCGGAUCGUGAUCUAGGAGCCUAAAUCACUUCAGCGGAAAAAGCCAACUCGGAUUUUCAAGGUACGAUUUCUAGAAUACGAAUUCUUAUAUAUUAUAUGAGAGCGAUCUUCAAAAGGUUUUAUAAAAAUUUAAAAACCUGAUUUUUCCCCAACAGAUUCAAACAUUACUUCAAUUUUAUUUAAGAGAAUAAAAAAAUCGUUAAUAGGCUACUGUUAUUUGUUAGUACGAUUUCACAAAAAAAUCAGUUUCUUAAACAACUCCAACUACAAUUUUUUUUAACAAAUUUUUGAAUUAUUAAAUCAUAUGUUUGUGUAUAAAUUGAAUAGAAUUAAAAGUGGACGCAAAUGGCUAUUAUGUAAUUUUUUUAUAAUUAAAGAAAAGUUUAGAAUGUAAAAGUGUGUAUGAGAAAACAAAAAAUAUAAAUCACCUUUGAUGUAGUUGUAUGAUUGUAAAGAGUUAGAUGGAGAAAUAUAAUAUAUAAUUAAAUUUAUUUUGUUCCUUAAAACGGGUAGAUUUUAUAAGAAUUUUCCAGAGGAGUGCCAAUAUUUCAACUUUUUUUCAAAUGAAUUGAUGUCCUGGAAUAAAAUCACUACUCUAUCAUUGCUAUUAGUUUGUCUUGUAUUUCAAUAAUUGCCGACAAGUAUUAAUUGUGAAUAUUAUUAUUUUAAAAAUUUAUUAUUAUUAUCGUCGUUAUUCUUAACAGCAAUGACUAGAAUUUUAAUAAGAACAAUAACGUUAAUACAAUAAUAUAACAACAUAAUAAUAUUUUAAUUGGGAGAAUAAGAAUGAAAUUAUGAAAUUUAGGUUGGGUAAAAAUGAUGAGUAUCAGGAAAUUAAAUUACCAUUUUUUAAGCUAAACAAUUCAUAAAUUCCACGUAUUUCAUUCUUAUUUCUCUUAUAUUUUAACAAGUAAACAUUAUCAAUAGUUUUAAUAUUUUAAUUAAUAAACACGGUGUUAACUACGGAACUAAAAGAUCCAAAAAAAAAAAAAACCAGAGACGCGUGUAUGUAUUGCUUGUGACAAAUCUCACCCAUGGAAAACUUUGUGAAAGGCAUUUGAAUGUGAGGCCACAUUUAAUGAACGAAACGAUAACUUUAAAAGAGAGUAUGUACUGUGUUAAUUAUUAGGCUUUAGCUUAAUGAUUGCAAUUAGUUUGUCUUGUAAUUAAAUUAUUGCCGACAAACACUAUCACGACCCACGUCCGCUACUUGUGUGAACGUGUGUAUAAAUAUCCACAGCAUACUAUCAAACCUGAAGCGUGAUCAUCUUUAAGUUUUGGUUAGGGUUCAUCAGACGUUGGAAGAUAUCUUUCCUAAUUUGAAGAAGAUGGAAACUCCUUAUCCAGGUUCUUAGGCCAUGUUCAGUUGAAUGUCAUUUAUAAUUUUUAUUUUAACAUUAUGUAUUUAUGAAUACAAUUAUUGUUAUGAUUUUUUCAGGUAAGAAUGGAUGGUCUGAGGGUAACCCAAUAACUAUGUACAGUAUUAUUAAUGAAAAGAGAGCGUGAGUGACAAUUUGGAUUUUAUUAUCGUCCCUCAAUACGGAAGAAAUCUUGACCAUAGCGGUUAAGUGCUAUGUAACUCUUUCGUAUUAUGUUUAAUUAAUAAUAAAAUGAUGGGUUAUUAUUACCUGUCAAUUAUGUGAGGAGUGUCUUUAUUUGGUUUACUUCCACUUAUAAAAUCUCUUGAGAUAUAUAAGAGAUUUUCUUUAUUUAAUUUUGUGUACCGUGUCUUCUUGUAAAAAGAAAUUAAUAAAAAAAAUCAUUGUUUGCAAUGUAUUAACUAAGUUAGUGUAUUCAUGUUAGGUUAAUUGUGCUCUCUCUUCUUGAUAUUUUAAAAAAAAAAAAAAAUCCACAUAUUGUUGGUUAGCUAAUUCUUGCAGCUAGCAAGUGAUCCUUUUCUUUCCCCUACUGCCGUAGCAUCAAAUCCUUACAAUUACAUAUCAAGUGGUAUUCGAGCCGUCAAAUGAUCCAUGGAAACACGCAACAAAUCAAAUGCUGAAUUUUGCGAAGAGAUUCACGAAAUCCUUGCUAUACAUGAGUCUAGUUUUGACCAAGUUUACGUCACCCAUCAGCUGCGGGUUUGAAUGGUACCUAGUGGAUAUUUUGUGAGUUCCCACUAAUAAAAUCACACUUGCAACAAAACUUAAAAAUUUAAAUUACGUAAUUCAAAUUAUAAAUUUGUAAUCGUAGCCUAAAAAAUCACAUCAAGUACUUAAUUCUAGAUUUUAUCAAUGUAAAUGAGAAAUGAAAGUUUUAGCAUUAAAAUAAAUACACAAAAUAUAUCAAUUUAACACAAAUUUUCAAAUUUAAUUACUAAAUACAUAAGUCUAUCACAACUCAAAGUGCUUUCAAUUGAACACGAAAAAAGAGAAAGAGAAAAAAAAUAAAGAACUACAAAUCAAAGUAGCAUCCAUGACCCAUUUUGCAGUCUCAUUCAAUACCACUAGUACCCAUCCAACACGAUUUAUCUAAACAAAGUAUAAAGUGCAAAAUUACAAUAAGCAUAUCAUACUCCAUGCUUUAAGUUAAAGAUCCUUAUAUAUUUUUAUGAAUAAUUUUUUGAUGAAAUUUUAUGAUUAAAAUUAAAAAUACAAACAUUCAAAUGAGAAUGUCGGACACUUGCGCAACUAUUUACCAAAUUUUUUCUCUAUAAAAAUCGACCUGCAACUUUCAAUAGGUUUAAAUUUAUAAUAUCAAACUUGAUUGCAGCUCGCAAAAAUUAUCUGUUGCGGCCAAGACUUUGGAUUUACGAUGAUUUUGCCACCCUAAGUGUAGUUAGUAUUGUAUCUCAUGUGGCUCUUAUAAAAAGCCUAGAAGUUGUUUGAAUAACGAGGGAGACACAUAUCUCCCACAGAUUUUUUCUUUUUCAAAGUAUUAUGUUUUCUCUAUUAUUGUAACUUCGAAUCCUUAUAAAUUAUAGAUUGGAGACAUGAACACAAUGUUUUGACAUAGUGGACUUUUGACUUGUCCAGAGAAAUUUAGGAUAGAUUUUUACGCACUAAGGCUCUAUUUACUAUUGAGGUUUUAGAACUUUUAAGCCACACUAGAAAUUUGUAUUGUUUUGAUAGAGUUGUAGUCUUUGAUAUGUGAUUGGUAUUAAUCAAGUGUUAUGUUUACAAUAGUUAAAGGCAUAUUGAAUCAAAAUCCACUUCUAAGGGCUUGAUUGAGUGAUUGUAAAGUAGGUUUUUAGUUUGCUAGCCACUCAAGUUCAAAUAUUAGAACCACAGAGCUUUAUAGCCAAGUGAGAGAACUUGUGCCCUAAAAAUUGAGGGGUGCAUAUCAAGUUUUACCACCAAUAAAAGUUGGUGUUAAAACUUUAAUUUCCCUCUUAUUGAUGGAUAUGGGUAAUUAGGAGUUUACAUCCCCUCCUAUUAAUAGACAGGGGUUAUUAGGAAUAUUAAAAAAAAGUUUAAAUAUUGAAAAUAUAGGUAUGAGUUAUAAAAUUCAUAAUAUAAAGAAAAAAAAUCAAGAUAAAGAUUUAAAAAUUUAGAACCAUGAGAGCGUGACUUGUAAGUUUCAAAGAAGCAUGUGCAAAUAUAUGCAUUAUCGAUGCCCAAUUAAGGGUGGGCAUUAAGAUCGGGUUAACCCGAACCGAAUCGAACUUAAAAUUUAUUUUCUCACAAAUGGGUGGUUUGUGCGGGGGAUUCACUGGCUUUUGUUUGCAUUGCCUUAUUGGAUAAAGUCGAGCAUGAGUGAAGAAAAAUUAAAAAUAAAAAAUUUCCCAUUAAUUUGCAACAAGUAUUAUUAAAGUGCAUGAGAAAAGCCACCAGGAUAUGUCUUUUUUUAAAUGAAAAUAAAUGCGUUAAUUAGUCAAUUUAAAUGGUAAGACAUUUUGAAAUGACAGAAGCGAUCUAAAGUUUAAAUCUUACUCACACUUAAUUUAGGGUUGGGGAUUAAUUGACGUACGAUAUAAUAACGAAUUCGAAAGACAAUUAAAAAUUAAAAGAAAAUAAAAAAGUACUUUCUUUUUUAUGAUGAUAAUUUGUUUAGAUGAUGAAAACUCUUAGAGUGGUGUUAUCAGUACAUAGUUUCGAGCGUUGCCAACGUGAAUAAUAUUUAAUUUCCUUUAUAUAGUUAUAUCUGAACUAACAUUUUAACAGAAAUAAGUUGUAAAAAAAAAAAAAGGAACCAUUGAGAUUUGAGAGAACGAAAAACGAAUAAAAAAAAAAAAGUUAAAAAAUUAGAUCUCAAUAAAUUUACUUGAGAACUACUUUACUGAUUAGUGAAGAGAAAACACAAAGAAUAAUGAUGAAUAUCAAUUAAUAGGUCAGUUUUUGUAUUUUUCGUUUAUUCAAGAAUCAUGAAACUUCAUUGGAGACAUUCCUUUCCAAUUAUGCCCAUAUAUUAAUUAAAGACCACCAAAAAGUUCAGGGAUACUAUAGUAAUUUAAGUCAACAAUUUCUGUGCUUGAAAUCAGCCGAUUGAACUCACUUUAGAAUAAACUGAUAAAUCAAAAUCACAUUCUCCGAUUCUCCGAUUUCAUGCAAUUCAUCUUAUUUCUUCAACUGAAGAAUGGAUUGUAUCUCGUUUUAUUUUAUUUUUAUUUUUAUAUAAAGAUAAAUAUAAAAUAUAAAUGACGAGGAGACUGUAAAAGUAAAAUCAAAAGAACAACACGAGUUUUAUUGAAAAUGAAUCUUUUCAUCAUUUUGUUGGAGUGGAUGUGUCUACAUAAAAACUAAAGAAGCACAUUUGUUUGUAUUAACUUUUUUUUUAUUGUAUUUUUAAUAAUAAGUCAUUUGUCAAUGACCUUAUAUCAAUUUUUACGAAAAUAAUAGGUGUGUGUUAGUUUAUUCAAAUGGCAAAACCUCUUGGGAUAGAGCUUGUAAUUUAGUGGCUCACGAUUUGUCUAAAUUGACACUACCGAAUUAUUGUAUUUGGUUAAAAAAGCUCCUACUCUGCUUUAACUUUAUUAUCCUAUGAUGUUUAUUAAUAAAUAACAAUUUUAUUGAAAAAAAGACCUCUUGAAAUGAUACAAAAGAUUUGUGAUAUGAAUCUCACUCGAAUUUAGCUUGAGGUUGGCAUUGUUAGCAUAAUAUUUGAAGAUAGAUUUUUUUAAUUAAAAAUCAAAAGAUUUUUUUUUUUUGGGGUUCAUACUAGUUAGUUUUAACUCAUAGUGAGAUUUAAACAAAAAUGGAAUAAUAAAUCUUGAUAUCCUGACUCAUGGAUAACGUAUAGAUAAGAUAGUAAAAUUUAUUGUGUCGAAAAUAAGAGGUUUGAAGUUUGAAUUUCGCUUACAUAGAUAGUAAGAGAAUCAAAUUAUUGAUAGAUUAAAUUAAUUAAAAAAUUUUCUGAUAUCCAAAACAACAUAUCAACAAAAUUGAAAUAAAAGAAAAUUGAAGAGGAAAACCAUUGAGUUUGUGAGAACGAAAAAUUAACACAAGAAAAUUUCGAUCGCUAAUUGUAUCAGCGUGCGCCAACUUCACUUAUUAAAACAUGGCUAUUUCAUUUUCAUGGAUAAUCAAUUUGACACCGGUCAAAUUUAAAAGUUUUAAAAACUAUGGGCGAUUUGUCUUUCCAGCUAUGCCCAUUAACUAAUAAGAGAACCGCCGAAAGGGUUCGGGGAUAAUAUAGUAAUUUAAACCAACUGUGCUUCAAAUCAUCAAAUCAAACUCACACCUCACAAAAGCAGAGAAAUCAAACGGUUUCCGACUCUACGCUUUAAAUUCAGCUUCAUUUCUUCAACUGAAGAAUCGGUCGUCUCUCAUUUUUUAUUUAUUAUAUAAAGAAUCGGUCACUCUUCAAGUAACUAACUUUUCCUCUUUCACUUCUCUUCAUUUUUAUUAGUUAAUUAAGAUCCAGUUAAUGUAAUUAAUUUUAUUUAAUCUUUUAAAUAAAGUUCUAGAUUAGGCUAACUUAGAUUCAUGUGAAGUUGAAGUGAUUUACUUUCGAUCUCUUUUUCGUCCUAUGUUUAUUUGUACUUACUAUUACUUUUUUUUUUUGGGUUUAAAUUUUCGUUUUUGAAGUGUUUACUGAUUAAAUUUCUGAGCUUUAUUUGUGUAUGAUGAUUGAUUUGUGAUUUUAAUUUGUGACUUUUUUUUUUGGAAUUUAAAUUUGAAUGCUUUUUAAGUUGAAUUGAAUUGCUGUAUGAUCAGGUCAAAUUAAAAUGUUUAAGCUCAUUUUUAAGAAACGAAUUCUCAAUUGGACCAGCCUUUCACAGAAGCUGAUAUCACAGAAGCUUUGAGUCAGAUGCAUCCAACCAAAGCCCCUGGCCCAGAUGGUCUCCCAGCAGUAUUUUUCCAAAAGCUUUAGAAUUCAGUAAGCGAAGGAGUUAUAGCCACUUGUCUGCAUAUCCUCAAUGAUGGAGGUAAUAUUGCUCCUUUGAAUCAUACAUACAUUGCUUUAAUCCCCAAGAUAGCAAAACCUAGGACUCUGAUGGAGUAUAGACCAAUCAGCAUAUGUAAUGUAAUUUAUAGGAUCAUUGCAAAGACUAUAGCGAAUAGGCUGAGGCUAAUCUUAGAUCAUGUUAUUUCACCAACUCAGAGUGCUUUUAUGCCAAAUAGGCUCAUAACUGAUAAUAUAAUUAUUGGGCAUGAGUGUCUUCAUAAGUGGACAAAGCUAAGUUCCAGAGGUGAGAUAGGAAAUUCUCCCGCACGACACAGCAGAAACAAACUUUCCCUUUCAUUUUCUUUUCUCUUUCUCGCUCUCCAAACAGAGCAAAAGGACCGUCACAAGAUUCUUCACUUCCAUCCAAAAUCAUGAGCAACAAAUGGUGAGCCUCCCUGUUUCCUUCCUUUUUUUUAUAUUAACCUUGUUAACAUAUACUCAUUUUAAUUUGACAAUACUUCAACUUUUUUUAAUUUUUUGCCUUUUCAUUUUUUUUGUUGAAGCAAUUAUCUGUUCAAGCUGUUGCUUAUCGGAGACUCGUCCGUCGGAAAGUCCUGUCUGCUGCUCCGAUUUGCUGUCUGUUGACUUUUCCUUUCCCUUCUUAUUUUCUUUUUUUAUAUUAAUUACUUUCUAUUUUAGCUUUUUGUUCUCUGAAUUUGUGUUAUUAAAAUGAUAAUUUAGAUGAUAAAUAAUUGUUAUUGUUGUAAAUUUCGGUUUUCAUUACGUUAAUUGUUAGCUUUUAGGUUUAUUAAUGUAAUUUUUUUUUUUUCAAUUUUUCAGGAUGAUUCUUAUGUCACAGCUACAUCAGUACCAUUGGAGUUGAUUUUGUGAGUCUCUCUUCUAUAUAUAUGUAUAUAUGUGUAUAAGUUAUAAUAUGAGUCUAUGUACGUGUAUGUAUGUAUGUGUAUGCAUAUGUGGAAAGAAAUGUUGGCAGACUUCAGCAUUUUACUCUUUUUUUUUUUGGCAGAAAAUAAGAACUGUGGAGCUGGAUGGGAAGACGAUCAAACUGCAGAUUGUGAGUCAAAAUUUCCUUUUAUCUUGUAUUGAGAGAAAUUCGAUUUGUCUUAUUUUCUUUGUUUGAAGAGUGAUAUGUUGAAAUGAGUGUAUUUGUCUUAUAAACAUCAUUUAGGUAAUGUCUUAUGUUUGAUUGUUUUUCAUCUGUUUAGUGGGACACUGCUGGACAGGAGCGAUUCAGGACUAUAACUAGCAGUUAUUACCGAGGAGCCCAUGGAAUCAUAGUAAGGAGCCUUCCCGGUUCUUGGUUUAAAUCAGAAAGUUUGUGAUUUACAUGUGACAUCUUAACAGCAUUGUAUGUGUUUAUUAACUUAUUUUUCAUCUUUCAUUAAGCAGUACAUUUUCUAUUAAAUCUGUAUACAAGAUGAUGUAGUCCAAGAAUGGGAGCCAUAAUAUGAUGCAAAUUGUCUAAUAAAUUCUUAUGACAUAUGAUGUUGUCGGAAGUAAAAGUCUUGCAAUGCUGUAUUCUCUUUUAAGAAAGAAUAAGUGGUAAUUUUGUUUUUCCAAUUUUUUAAUUGAGCAACUGUAUGAGAUUAAUUAAAUGUGUUGGGAUUUCAACAGAUUGUCUAUGAUGUAACUGGGAUGGAGAGCUUCAAUAAUGUCAAGCAGUGGUUGAAUGAGAUUGACAGAUACGCAAAUGACAGUGUAUGCAAGCUUCUAGUUGGGAACAAAUGCGAUUUAGUUGUGAACAAGGUUGUGGACACACAGACAGCCAUGGUAUAUUCAUGACUUUUGUUGCCUGAACUUUGAAUAUAAUUUUAAACUCUUCUCAAGUGCAUUUGCUUGGUAAGUUUCUGCAUACCCAGGACACUCAAACUUUGGACAGUCUGUAUCUCGAGUUGGAAUCUUUUCUGUCAAUACGACUUGUUAAAAUAAGGGUUGUUAUCUUUUGAAUCAUUCAAGAAUUCACUACUACAAAAAUGACCUUUACUGACACUUCGUUUCUGACACUUCGUUUCUGACACUUCGUAAAAAGUGUCAGUAAUGGUUUACAUUUUGGUCAUUUUUUCCAUUUAACAAAUAUGUAUCAUAAAUCACUGGUACUAAGGUGUCAGUAGCAUAAAACUCAGUAAUUACUGAUGCUUUAGUAUCAGUGAUAAAGACAAAUAUAAUUCUAAUUAUAUUUUUACUUGGACUCGAACUCAAUAUCUCCGAAGUUAAAAUUUUAAUUUCAAACUACAAGCCACGUGUGCGCAUAUUUUCUUUGUUUGGUUAAACCAUAUAUAAUUAACCAAAAACCCUUUGCCAUAAUUUAACACAAACUUUUCGAUCUCCCUCCACCAAAUUUUGUUCCCUCUCAAACAAACUAAAAUCCAAAUCCCUAAAAUUCCAAGUGCCUAAAUCCUUAACUCUCCCUAAGUGCUAACCAGUGACAGCCCCUCUCUAAGGCCUUAGCAGCACGCACGAUGACGGCGGCACACGUAGCCCGAGUACCGGCAGCCCAGCAGGUCGCACCACACAUUGCAGUAGCUCGCUCGCUUUCACUCUCUCUCUGAAUGCACACACAGCAGUGGCAGCCCCUCUCUCUCACGCUCGUUUUGUCGCUCUCACUUUCUCCGUCUCUGGUCACCAUCUCACCUUCCGGUCUAAACUGUUGUCGUCGCAGCCGCGUUCAGCCGUCGCCAUCGUGCCGGCCGCUUGAGACAGUGAGUUGAGAUUCCACUUUUUAAUUUUUUUUCAUAAAAUUUUUGCCUGAAUUUGAUUAGUCAAAUACUCAAAUUAAUUGCGUUGUGAGUAAUACUGUAAUGAUUUAAUUUGCCCUGCAUCCCCUGCAGAAGGUAAGCAACUCCAUUUUUAGGGUUCGUGUAGUAGUGUCUUGACUGAAUCGCCUUAGUAAUCAUAAGGUCAGUUUUCUCAAGAAGGGCAACUUCGAUCUUUUGGCAUUUUCAGUGCUGCUUCUGAAUCUCUGUUUACUGUAGCCUGCUUCUACAUGUGAUUUGAGGGCCAAGAAUUUAUCUCAAGGGAAAAUCACAUUAUGUUUCAAUUCUCUGUUUGACCCUUUUAACUUUUGAAUAUCAACAUUAUAUGUUUAGUGUUCCGUCAAUUGUUUUAUCAAAUACAUAGACCUUUGGGCUUUAGACACUAGUGUUCAAAAUUAGCAUCUAGUUUUUAUGGUAUCUUUGAGCAGGGGUUUCGCUUCAUUUGGUUGAAUAAAAGAUCAGUUUUCAUUGUCAUGGAUCAAAAAAAAAAAAAAAGGCCUUGGCCACUAGUACCUCAGGAGGUCAAAGCCAAGGCUUCCAAAGACAAUGUUCCCAUGAUCGAUGUGACUCAAUUUGGCUACUUUAAGGUUUUAGGUAAGGGCCUUUUGCUUGAGAACCAACUCGUUGUGGUGAAGGCCAAGCUUGUUUCCAAAAUAGCCAAGAAGAAACUUAAAAAAUCUGGUGGGUCUGUCGUGUUUACUGCUUGGGUUUAGUGUUAUUGCUUUUAUAAUUUUUUUUCUGUUAUUUUGGUUUCAGCUUUUGAGGAUUUGACUAUAUAGUUUUGGAUAUUUAUGUUAUCAUCGGAAACUUUUUGUUUUAUAUUAAGGCAUGUUAUUGAUUAAGAAGAAGAAGAAGAAGAAGAAGAAGAAGAAGAAGAAGAAUAUUUUGCAGAAAAUGUUUUAGUUUCUUUCUUCCAUUCGGCAUUUGUAGUAUUUAUUUGAUUCGAUUUCUGUCAUGGUGUGUUGAUUAUGCGGAUGAUAAGAUACUACCUUGCUCCUUUACUUAUGUUUGAUUCCUUAUACUAGAAACAUACCUCUAGUAGAGUUGCCAUUUAUCUACUUUAUUGUUGUAAAAUCUGUUAUAAAAUGUAUAAGCAAUCAUUCAUUUGAACUCUCUUUAUAUGCUUAAAAUCUGAAUUCAUGUACAAGGUGUUAGUGUCAAUGUUGUUGAUCAUUUCAAUAAGUAGUGCCAAUUUAUAAUGACCUUGGUGCAUUUCUAUUCAGUCAGUAAACUUUUGUCAUUUAAGUUGUUUAUUUGUUUAACAAAUGUAUAACUAGUUUCUACAAAUUUACUUUGUGUAUAAUAGAUGAUUCAAAAUCUUGGCAUAGAGGAAAGUGAAGUUUCUGAGGUAAAUAAGGUACUUUACAAAAACUAUACCACAUCAAUGGUUGGUCUAAGAUACAAUAUAUAUGUAAGUUUAAAUGCACUAUUAUUUAUAUACAUAUCCUUGCCAAAAAAAAAAAAAACCAAUAAAAGCAGUUUCAUAAACUGAUGUAAAUGUUGUUAUUAUUGUUAAUUUGCAGGCUAUCAGCUAUGAUGUCGACAAUGGUGACUAUCAUAGGUAACAUUAUUUUCCUUUCUAAUUCAUCUGAAAGUGUUAAUUUGCAGGGGCUGUUUCUACUACAGAAUAGCAACAAGACAGCCCCUGUAGAUUUCUAGUGGUUGUUUUCACUGCACAACAGCCCCUACAGAUUUCCGGGGGAUGUUUUGUUGCUAUUCUAAAGUCAAAAAAACUCGUAUAAUUUUUUUGGGCUAUUUUGCAAUGAAAAUACUUUUGAGGUUUGUUGAGGAAGGAGGGGAAUGAGAGCGGUAGUUUUUUAGAAGGCUUGAUGAGAGUUUCAUAAAUUUGACAAGUUUUAUGAGAUUAAAGUGAAAGAAGUUUAUGCUAAGGCUGAAAGUUUGAGUGGGUAAAUGGAUGUUUUGAUUGCAGAUUUCUGUUGUUUGAUUAUAAAAAAUAGGAAGGUUUUAAUUAGAUUGACUUAGAUGUUUUGUUUUCUGUGACUUGUAGCAGGUUAUCCAACAUGGCUUCUUUAGACAACUUAAGCUAAGGUUCUUUAUUUCUAUAACUUUCAGUAUUAUUGUAAUAUUAUUUCUUAUUAUUUUAUUAGUUGUUGAAACAUCCUUCAAUUGCUUUGUUUAACUACUCGCAAUCAAUUUGUUUUCCAUAAUCUAUUUCCAUACUAAUUGAUUUUAAUUAUGUUGUUGUAGGUGGGGAAAAAAUGAAGCUGCAUAUGGAUAUUGAGUGAUGUUCUUGUGCUUCUUUUUGGUGGAAACUAAAUUAGUACUUUGUGGUUGUUGAAAACUUAAUUUAGUACUUAUAUUUUUCUUUUCCAGAUAGUGGUGUAGUUGAAUCAUGUGAAUUUGAGUGAUGUAUUUGGGAUGUUUAUUAUGUGAAUUAUAUUGUGACAUUUUAUAUAUUUGAUAUAUUUUGAGCUUUCUUUUAGUUGUAAAACAAACAGGAAAAAUAUAAUUAGAAUAAAAAAAAUUUAUUAACCAAUCCUCAAUAACAUUACGAAAUACUGACAUUAAAUAUUUAAAUUGAAAUGAAUAUUUUUUGAUAUUAUCGAGCUAGCUUGUUAUUGAUACUAUAGUCACAUAAAUCACUGACAUGUAAAUAGUAUCAUCAAAUAUUAACAUUAUCGUAUCAUUAUUUUGGUGAUACUAUAGUGACAUGAAUUACUGAUACAAAAAUCACUGACACUAAAAAUUAGUGUCAGUGUGUUCUGGCUUGAGCAUCACUGACACAAUUAACAAGUGUCAAGAAAAGUAAUUACUGACACUAAUUUAGUGUCAGUAAAACCCAUUUUUGUAGUAGUGAUUGCAAUAAAUCUAAAGUCCAUAAAAAAUAUGAUUCCAUCAUUUUACUAUUAUAUCUAGACAAAACCCAUUAUUUUACUACAUUUCAUUGGCACCGAUAGUUGACCUGUUGGCUGACUGAUAAAAUAUCAAUUUUGCACUUUAUAUUAAUUGUUUUUUGGUUAAAAAAUAACACACAAAGUAUUACAAUAUUAUAAAUUCAAAAUAUAAAGUAGUUACAAAUAAUUCCUAUUAGCCUAUGAAUAUAAUAUUUGAUACCUCUAUUUGUGUAAUUUUUUUCCAAUGGUGAAAUUGUUAUUUUUUUUGUACUAACGGAAAUGUAGUAAAAUCAUAAGUUUUGUAAAGAUAUAGUAGUAAAAUGAUAGACUAAAAUACUUCUUGUAGUUGUUUGAUAUAUUGUAAUUCUUAAAGUAGUCAAUUGAUAAUAUCCCCUAAAAUAAAUGUUCGUAAUAUGUUCUCAUUUUAAUGCAACUGAUUGUUUAAUAAAAUUGUAUUUCUUUGUUAAUCUUUUAUCAUGUGCAUGCUCAGUGAGAAUUUGACUUGCUAGAACACAAGUUUGACUCUUCAUUUAAAUGUCUCUUGUAUCAUAUCCUUCAAUGUUGAGUGUGAUUCCAAUAAAAUUGAGUAGGGAGAUCCUUAAAUACCUUUUCCUUUUUUCCAAGGGCCUGCCAAAUUGCUCUAAGUGGUUCUACCCUUUAUCAAUGAAUAAUGAAAAUAAAAUUUUUAUUAAAGCAUUCUGUUCCUUAAAUGGUGACUAAUAGUACCCUUUUUUUUUUGGAGAGGAAAGCCAAACGCCCAAAGAGGAUCAUUUACUUUCCUCUAAUGUAUUUUCUAAUUCGUUUUGAGCCUUGAAUGUCUGUUUUGGUGCGUAUUCUCAUUCCAUGUCGAAUCUUAUCCAUAUGGACAACCCCACUUACAAAAAAGUCUAAUGAAUCUAUUGAAGUUCAUAUGAGGUUUGUGCUUUAGAUUUAGACCUCUCUCUCUCUCUCUCUCUCCACUUACAUGUCUUUCACUUACCUGUUUGCAUGCAUGCCCAUGCACACACUUUCAAGAUAAUACACGGUCACUCGUACUUCUGUUUUGGUUGAAUUACUGGCUGCUAACCUCUGUAAUUCAGUUUGAAACUUGCCACCCUUAGUGCUUCACUCAAAUGGUUGGUUAGGGUGAGAUCUGUAUCGUUUUCCUGGUCUCUUUCCAAGGUUAUCUAAAGGGAUUUGGCAGUCUGAUUCUUUAGGGAAUAUCAUUGCAUAAGAUAUCUAUUGUUUGUUAAUGAAUAAUUUCUAUUUAACUAGUUAUCUAUAUAAAUUGGUAAAUUUUAACUGCAUAAUUUGCAUGCAAUAAGAUUUUAUAAGAAUCUUGUUUUCAACGCAUGACUUAGACUAAUGUGAUAUGUUGAGCAUUAAGCUACAAGAUCUGCACAUCAAAGUGCUUCACAAUGUUAAGGAGAAAGCAUCUUUUUCUGCUUCUUCAUGUGAUUUAAAGUUUCCAUGGUACUUAUCUAAUAAAAUAUCUUUCAAGACUUUGGAAAUGCUUUUAUGUAUGACUGAGAGAAACUUGUUGGGUUGGUUUUUAGCAACAGACGGAGUUAUGGACUUUGUGUUGACUUGUUAUUGAUUAAGACAGUACAUCGGCUGAUCUAUUGGCAUCAAGCAGCAGAUGCAGAAAUUAUGGGUGGCAUACCAUUGUAUCCAAAUAACAUACUACAUUGAUUUUUCUGACUUUCUGUUGGCCUCCGAGUGAAAUGCAGGCAUUUGCAGAUGAACUGGGGAUUCCUUUCCUGGAGACGAGUGCCAAAGAUGCAAUCAAUGUGGAGCAGGCUUUCUUGACCAUGGCCGGCGAGAUUAAGAAAAAGUAAAAUCACUUAACUCUUUCCUUCUUGCCGACUGUUCUUAUUCAACAACCACCAUUAUUGCUGGUUAUGUGCAUUGUGAUGAAAAUUCUGCAAUGAAUAACUUUUUACCUAAUGUUUUCUGUUGGAACAAAUUACUCUGGUAGAAAAGCCCUACAGGGUUUGAGAAAUCCCAUGAUGUGAUGAUUGUGAGCAUUUUAGACACCGUGUAUGGGUUUAUUUUGUGACUAUAAAAUGUUAAGAUUGUUUCUAGUUUUGGUUUGUAGUGCAUAAAAGGAUUCAAAAUUUGACAUCUGUCUAAAUCAGAUUAAUAACAUGAUAAUAAUGUACAUAUGCAAGAUGUGAGGAAUUGUUUUAUCUCACCCCUAAACUUUAAGAAAUUGAAACAUUAUUAUUCAAAAUAUUUAACAUUUCCAGAAUUGAUAGUUGUCUAUUUGAGCAGUGACUGGUGGUUAUCAUGAACUGAUGUGUGGUUGUGGUUUCAAAUCUUCGUGAAACCUGUUGUCAUAUGCUGAUUAACAUAGCUAGUCUCUGAAACAAUUUGUUGAUUCACUAAUUAUGAGUUCAAAUUUGAUGCAGAAUGGGCAACCAGCCUACUGCAAACAAAUCUUCUGGAACAGUUCAGAUGAAGGGAUAGCCAAUCCAGCAAAACAGCAACCGCUGUGGUUAGCCGAGCAUCUUAUUUUACUUCUACAUGUUAGCUGACUGAUUGUAGACAGUUUUAACUAUGUUGACUGCAUUAUCUUAUGAAUCUUUUAAUCUGUCAAAUAUUUAUUUCCUGCUUUAAGUUCUUUCCCGUUUAUAACAAAUUUAAUUUCUUGCUCUAUAGCAUUCCAAAUUCCUGUUAAUUUACGAGGGAAAAAGAAAAGAGACGAAAUGGGAGAAAAUGGUCAAAUUUGUUAGGGGGGGAGAGCUGUUGAAGUAGUUUUUGUUCUUGUUUAUCAUCGUGACCCUCUUGUCGCUUAUCUACUACCUGGAAGUCCGGUCAUAUCGGAUGGGUAAAGUUACCGAAACGGCAUCAUUUUGGGUGAAAUAUCAUGUUUAUAUAACACUUUUGAUAAUAUUUUUAUGCAACAAAAAAAUGUUUGCAGUACCCUUUUCACAUUGUGAAGCGCAUGAUCGGAUGAGAGCAGUCUGGAUUCUGGCAUCACAAGCUAAUGCUUUGAUUUGCUUAGUUUGUUUUUUGUUUCUGAUAUUUUCUCGGCAUAGUGUAAAUGUAUGAAGAUGAAAUUGUUGGGUUGGUUUUGUUAUGGAAUUUGGUUUACUUCACUAACCAUUAAUGCGCAAAACCUCCUAACGACCCUCAAAAAUCCCGUACAUAAUUAAAGAAUUUCAAUUUUAUAUGUACAUAAAUAAAUAACUCUCAAAUAUAUUAUUUGAUAAUCCCAAAAACAACAAUUCAUUUUAAUAAAUCUCGUAGUCAAUACAUGGUCUAUAUUGCAAGUGUUUUCGAGACUAAUUGAAAAAGAAAAUACGAAGGAUAUAUAAUUGACUUUUACUUGUUAUAAAGAACUCUAAAUAAAUUCAUAUACGCAUCGCAGCUAAUUACAGUCUUGGUACUUCAUUAGGUUUUUGUUAAUUUUCUAUACAGUUGUGCUGUGCAUUAAAGUUUUGUUAAAUGAAAUCGGUAGUGAGAAUUAAUUAAUUAAUUAAUUAAGAUCCAGUUAAUGUAAUUAAUUUUAUUUGAUUUUUUUUAAUUCGAGUUCUAAAUUAAUCAAUUAAUUUAGAUUCAUGUGAAAUUGAAGUGAAUUAGUUUCAAACUGUUUUUCGUUCUAUGUUUGUCUGUGUUUACUCUUACUUUUUUUUUUUGUUUAAGUUUUCGUUUUCUUAUUGUUUACUGAAUAAAUUUCUGAGCUUUAUUUGAGUAUGAUGAUUGAUUUGUGAUUUUAAUUUGUGACUUUUUUUUUUGGAAUUUAAAUCUGAAUGCUUUUUAAGUUGAAUCUGAAUGUGUUGGGCUGCGAUUUAAUUGAGUGAUGUGUGAGCGCCAAAUAUUCAAUAACUGAUAAAUUAUAUUUAUAAAUAUUAAUAGUGAUGGCACAUAAACAAUUAAUUCAAGAACUUGCCCAUAAGCCACUCGGCCUUUGGCUGAGUGGUCAGGACUGCUGCCCUUGGAGGGCAGCAAUUCGAACCCUCACAAUGCAUUGUGGGGGUAUUUUCUUUCUUAAUUAAAUUUGAGUGAAGGCAGUCUGCUCUCUUACCCAAAAGUGAGGAGAGGGAGUAGACAUCCCUCGAAUAUUUGAGAGGGUUAAAAUCUGGGCAUCGCUCCAUUAGCAUUGAUGUAAGUUGGUCCCAGUCAUAAUCUGAUUUGUAAAUAUCAGUUAUAUUCUCAUGUAAUAUGAGUUGUAAUCUGAGUAAUAGUCUCAUGUAAUAAAAAAAAAAAACGAACUUGCCCAUAGUGAUUAAUUUAAAGAGUAUAAGUAACAUUGCAGUAAGUUGGUCCUUGCGUGUUUAAUUAGCAAUUGAAAACUACUGUUGCUGAUGAGGUAGAACAUUAUAACACUGUUGCUGAUGAGGCAGCUGGUAAUUCUUCUGGUGAAGAUAUUAAGACUAUUAAAGCUGAAAUGUAAUUAGAGAAAUAUAAUGCAUUCCCUUAGUUUGCUUUUUGUUUUUGAUAUUUGUUUGGCUACUGCGUUGCUUAGAUUGCUUUUUGUUUUUGAGAUUUUAUUGGCUUGGUCAUGGGGUAUUGUUUUCUCUUCUAAUUUCUAUUUUUGUUGUUAUGGGAUUUGAUUAUGGUGUACAUAUACGAAAAUUAUGUAAUCAAGUGCUUUCGAUAAAUCAUGAUCGAUUUACUAUUAAUUAAUCAAAUUUAAUUUACUCAAAUUACUCAUGUACACGAUCAAAAUAAUUUUAAUUCCAUAAUAUAUAUACACACGCGCACACACAAACAAAAUGUAAUUGACAUUGAAAUAUAAAAUAUUUAAAAUAAUCACCGUACUAACAAUUCACAAGUUAGAUUUUAUAUAAAUAGAUGAAAUAAUGUUACUCUUGCGAAUCCAGUCAUAAUAAAUUGAUUUUCAUUUCUAUUAAUUAUGUCGAACCAUGCUAUUUUAAUAAAGAGCACUUGAGAAUAUAUAUCCAACAGGUAAAAUUUCAAAACAAUAUUUGCCAAAGUCUGAUGAAGAGAAUAUACACGCACGCACAUAUAUAACCAUACAGCAGAAGGAUAAAUAAAAGAAAAUGAAGUUUCAACAGCUGAAUAAUGUAAAUUCAUUUUUUUUAACAAGCAUUUUAUUGUUUAAUUAAAAAAUUCGAAAACCCAUUAAAUACAUAUAAGGACUCACUGACGCCGAACCAUAUUAAUUUAAAUUAGUUUUCAACUGAGAUUAGAAUUUUGAAAUUACAUACACAAACACGCCCAAUUAAAAAGUAGUAAUUAUAAAAUAUUUCAGUACUCGUUUUACCAUCCAUUUGAGCAUACACAAACACACCCAAUUUGAAAAAAAAAAGUAGUAAUUUUAAAAUAUUUCAAUCGUCCACUGUUCAGUCACCAAAAACCAAUUUACGAUUCAUUUCAACGCCUAAUUUGAAAAAAGAAAAUACUAAUAAUAAUAAAAUAUUCCAAUCGUCCAUCCUUUCACAAAUCAAAAAUAUCACCAAAAACCAAUUUCCAAUCUAUUUCAAAACAAUUUUUGCCAAAGUCCUCUCCUCGGCUAAUUAAUUCAUACAUUAAUACAGUCCUCUGCUGAAUAAUGCAAACCCGUUACGUUAUUCUACCAUUUCUUAAAUUUAAAGCAUUCCACCAUUUAAUAAAAAAAUUCGAAAGCCCACCGACACCAAACCAUAUUAAUUUAAAAUAGUUUCCAAUUGAGAUUUGAAUUUUAAAAUUACAUACACAAACACACCCGAUUUAAAAAAAAAUAAUAAUAAUGCUAACAAUAAAAUAUUUCAGCCGUCCUAUGUGUUAUCGCCAAAAACGGAUUUCCAAUCUAUUACAACAUGAGGUAUAUGAGUUAACAAGUCCCAAUAUUGUCCUCCAUCCUUUCUGCACUUCUCUGCUAUCAACGGACAUCCUGCGAUCUGUAAUUGCAAAAGUGAGGAAGGCAGGCCCUUCUCCGGAAAGUAUUUGAGCUUGGGACAAUUAUGGAGUCGCAAUACAGUGAGGUUUUGAAGAUCAACAAUUGAAGAAGAUAGGCGUUCCAGAUUUGGAAAAUUGAAAAUCUCCAGAGACGUUAGAGAGGCAGGAAGAGGAAGCGCGGUCCCUAAUCUUUUGUCCUCUAGUGGAAAUGACACCAUGUCCUCAUCACAUCCACUGAUUAAAAGACGUUGCAGAGAGGAGAAUCUGUGAAAUCCCCGUCCCCGCUCAAUCAUUGACUUCCAAAUCUCCAUAUUACCCCAAAUAUCAAGUGACUGAAGGUUGGUGGGAAGGCCAUCUUCUUCUUCAAGGCUUGGAAGCGCACCUCCUUUUCCUAUUGUUAAUUCUUGAAGAGAGCUCAGAUUGUGCAUUCCCUUGGGUAAGGCCUCUAGUCUCUUACAAUUAGAUAUCGCCAGCCUCCUGAGUUUCGCACAAGGCAAUCCCCCUUCGGGAAAGGACACCAGAUUUUUACAACUAUCUAUGCUGAUUGUUUCAAGAGAUGUGUUGUUGUCCAACCUUUCUGCUAUUGACUUCAGCUUUGAACAACUCCAAACAACGAGGGACUUAAGAGACGAAGGUAGAUUGCCAACUUCAAGGGACUCAAGCCUGGCAGGUAACUCGUUUUUUGAAAAUAUACAUGUCAGAGAUGGACAACUAAUAAUUUCUAAGUGCUCGAGAAGAGAUGAGGUGUACCUUCUGCUGCUGCUGCUGCUGCUACACUGGAUACCCUCUUCCGCUGUCAAAGUCCUUAUAUUAUCGCAAUUGUAAAUCUCCAACUGCUUAAGGCUCGGUGGUAGCUGGACCGCAACAAUAUAUGUCAACG